GUUUUUUUUUUUUUUGGUUCUUUUUUUAGACUAAAGCAUUGCUUUAUUACACAGACUGCAACCUGGGCAGGUGCAUUUUCCUCCCAUAAGAAGGCUUCAUUCACGUAGCAUUGAUAGCCCAAAUUGGCCAACUCGUGGGCAGCACUAAUCGCACUACGCCGGCAAACCUGAACUUCACAUCUAGAGAACCAAAGUCUCCUAUGCACCUUAGUACUCCUGAACUCCCUCCGUUCCGAAUUACUUGUCUUAGAUUUGUCUAGAUACGGAUGUAUCUAGCACUAAAAUGAGUCUACAUACAUCCGUAUCUAGACAAAUCCAUGACAAGUAAUUUAGAACGAAGGCAGUAUCUUCCAGCGUCAUAGCAUGCUUGGAGUAAUCUUGCCCCGAGAAAUUAACAGCGGCAGCUAGAAGUUGCGAAUCGGUCUCCAGAACAACACGGAUAGCUCCCAGCUCCAACGCCAUGUCUAUAGCCUGCACCAUGGCCUGCAGCUCCGCUUCAAAAUGGUUCAGAGAUAUGCUCUGUUCGCCCGGCUUUGCACGCCACCACUGCUCCCAGGUGACCCCUCACUCACAACGACACCCCAGGCCGCAACAUCGCUGCCAGGAAUAUAGGCUCACGGCCGCGCGACCGGCUGGAUAACUACGUGCAGCUGCCGCUGCGUGCAGGACGUCCGCUCUCCUCCAUCGAUGUUAAACUUGAGAUAGCCAUCUCGUCCUGUUUCAUUCUCUUCUCGGUCACUUCAGAAACAGCUAUAUAUUCAGCAUCCGUGGUGAGAGUUUGGUUCCACCCUAAGAAAAAUACGCAGGUUCCACCUUCUAUGUUCUGAACUGGAACUAUAUGAUAAACAUUCUAAAAAGUUCUGAAACUAUAUGAUGAUGGAGGAAAAAAACACUAUGCACAUUCUCAAAAAAAAAAACUAUGCACAAGCAGGUAUGUUUCCAUAAGCUUUGGUCUCCAUAGAUCAUACUUCGCAGUGUUUAGCAUCCAUCCAUCCAGCAGAAUCAGGAUUACCAUACUGCUUACAUAGAAAGCAGAGUCUGCUGUUUUAAAAAAAUUACAUAGAAAGCAGAGUCUACUCAGUUGUGAGAGCUCAGUUCAGUUCAGGUUUACACCAGUAGACUGCUGGCUGCCUCCUUAUCCUUCCAACUUUCCAAGAUGCAUUGCUAGCAAGUACAAGCAUACUAUGAAGUACUACAAAUUAAGACACCAGAUGAACAAGAGCCAAGCACAUCACAUCAUGACAUGAUGCACACAAUAACUAGCUAGCUUCGUGAGCUCUUCAGACUGACACAUGAGCAGCUGAAUGGAGUCUCAUCCACCCUCUUCAGACUUAACACUAAAACACCAUGUGGAUAGAAGCAACUUGAGAAUAAUGGAUUCUACAAAGAGUUCACAUAAAUUCCCCGCAACAAAAGAAAAUUCACAUCGACAUUGAUGGUUGAGAAUUUUAUCGCAUCACUGUUCCCAAAGCUUAAAUCUGCGCGAGCAAAAGGUAAAGCUUAAAACUGAGUCCGAAAAAGGAAAAACUCCCAAUAAGAGAGUCUCCACUUCCAUUUUGGGAAGUUUCUUUUACAUUGUUUUCACAAGUUACCUAAGGUAUAUCAGAUGAUGAAAAGCAAUGAAGUUAACCACUGAAAUAAUCUGAGGUCUUAUUAGGCAUCCUUAGAUCUAUAUAUCAUAGCUUAGAUCGUUGAUUAAUACACUGAGAUGGAUUAAAUACCCAAAGAAGCAUCACUGAAUGGCUGAAUUAACAUGUGAAGAGUUAAUCCACAUGAAGAGGAAUAUGCAGAAUUAUAGAUGUCUACCCACACAAAGAACACUGAAACGGCUGGACUUUUCCAUGUGAUCUAAGAAUCUACAUACAAAAACAUCGACUAAUCAAAUUAUCACCAUGUGUAAAUUAAAAGCACAUCUUCAACUCACUUCUACCCCCAAAACAGCAAAUUCUAUACACAAAAAUGGCACGAAAUAAGACCCUGGCAACACUAUCAGUUUACUAACACACAACAGAUGCAAGAAAUUCGUUCUUAAAACAUGUCAAAGCCAACCAAAACUACUUACUAAUAUUUUCAACAAUAACCUUACUGAUAUAAUAAUGGACACAAAUUUGUACUGAGUACCAAACUGAACCAUGUCAGGUGCUUACAACCUUCCCUGGUUCUAAAGAAAUGCAAACAGGAAGUGGGGGAUAAAAUAGAGUAGUCCUAUAGCAAAGAUUCUCCGUAGUUCAGAAAUUCGACAUUGAUGCUAAAGGCAAGAUAAUGGACACCAAAUGAUGAUAGCAAACGUGCUCUGCUACCAUCCAAAAUGUUAUGUUCUACAAGCAAACACUAUGGAGGUCAACUAAGAACAAAAGACAAAACGCAUAUAGAAUAGAUAUUCCAAUCGCGCAGCGAACCUGCAGUGUAGAACAUCAGGAUCAAGCACUGUAUCCUACAAUCCAACGAAAAAUGGAGGCUCCUGACUUGCACCAUCUUCAUCUCUCAUCUCAUGGGGCAGUGGAAGGGGAAUAACGCUCCCUCGGAGGUAAUGAUUGGUAACCCAUAAGUCGAUUUCUUGGUCAUCUUUGCUCUUCACAUAUCCUAAGAACUUGCCAUCGAUGUCAAAAUGCAACACACGCCUACGAGUGAACUGGAUCAGCAGAACACCCUCACUGAGAGCAGCCAUCCUAGGGAUCAUUGUCACCUCUGGAUCAACAAGCGCUGAUGGAUCCACCCCGGUCAAAUUAAUCUGAUGCUUGAAAGACCAGGUCUCGGCAUCGUAAUCCUGUACCACCCAAACAUCUAUGGUGUGUUUGUCACUACUGAUGCUGCACAAAGCAAGAGUGUCAUUCAUCUCCAGCAAUGACUCCUGUAAGCAGUUGCCCAAUCGGGCAGGACGACACAUCAAUCGAAAUUUUUCAGCUGAUGUGUUGAACACCAUUAUGUAGUCCGCAUCGCAGCCGUGGUAUUUUCCAAGUUUCCAGUGCAGGCCGCCACGGUGGUGGACUGGUGGAUAUUGGGACGAAUCAGGCAGGCCCCUGCGUAAUGCCAGCUCCAAGGAAGGCGACGAGGAUAUUGGUUGUGGUAUGCAUCCUUGUCUCAUGUAUCUUGUAUUAUCGGAUCCCGCCGCUAUGACGUAGUAGAAAGUUCUGUAAUUUGUGUUGUAUGCAUUGUAGAUUGCCGGACUAGAGAUCCAUAGAACUCGGAAUUCUCCUCCAGAUGGUUGGUGCCGGUAGAAGCCGAUAAUCUGGUGGUAAUAACCCUGUUGGGCCAGAGGCUUUGCUAGGCGGGCAGACUUGCGGGUGACCGGGUUGCAGAUGAACUCAUCCGUCAUGGAUCCGUGGGAGACAAUGAGGAGGCCAUCACAGGCGGCCUGGAGUUUACCGUAGUCGUAGGUCCGGACAACAGGGCAGAGUUUUUGCUGGCCUGCACCGGCAUCAAAGGAAAACAGGAGGCGGGCUUCCUGCGGCUGCGGGUCGACGACUUGGCUGAGCAUCGGGAGCAAGGGCUGGCGGCGGUGGUGGUCCAGCAUGAACUUGUCGGUGGAGGUGGCACUGUGCCACCACCUGCGGACGGCGCGGCAGCGGAGGAUGUCCUUGGGCGGCAAACGGAUGAGGAUCUCUUCGACAACGAUCCACUCGGAAAGGUCGUCCAGGACGGUCGCGCCUCCGGUUCCCGGCAUGGUGACUGGUCGCCGGUGCUCCGUACGUCAGAUCAGAUUCCGAUCAACUAUAAGAAUAACAAGGGGAACCGUAAGGAUGGCGAGAAUGCUCCGUCAGAUCCCUUGGGCACGCACGGAGGUGAGAAUGCUUACCUAGGGCGCUGCGGACGAUGGCGAGCAACGGCGGCGUUGCGAACCCCCAGCGGCGGCGACUCUGGACGGGAAGACAAGAACGAUUUGAGAGCAAAUCGAUAGACGGAGACAAAAAUUGAAUCGGAACGCGGCGGACAGCGUGCUCGAGAUCACCUCGCACGGCCGGUUUGGGCGGCGAAUCUGCCUACCGGCGUCGGGGAAGAGGGCGCUCCGGCGAGCAAUUCGCGGUGUUCCGGCGGGAUAGGUUGGGAAUUUGAGGGGGCGGCGGGGGUAGGGUUUGGGACUCCCCUGUUCCCCCUCUCGCCCUUUUCACAGUGAAAGUAUAUGCGCUGUUCAUUAAGGCCCUGUUUGGUUUCAAUUACCAACUUAUUUUACUAAAUAUACCCAACUUAUAAAUCAUAAAUUGCUCCACCUCAACUUAAAACUUAUAAGUCACCUCCUUUUGCAUGGGUCCCAUCACAUUUACAUAAAAAAACAAACUGAAAAAGUGUGGUCAAACUUAGACGGCGUUAUUCUUUUCGUCGUCUUGAUGCGAUGUUUUUAAUCAAUUAAAUCUAUCUUUAUUGAUCAAGAGGCCCGAGUGGAGAUGGAUAUUUAGCCCUGCGAUUAGCCAACAAAAGCUCUCUGCAAUAUAGCCAACUUCUAAAGUAAGUCCAUUCCUUGCACAUAUAACAAAGGAAUCCAGAUACGACGGCUAAAUGCUACUCCCUCAUAUAUUGGUUGUAAUAACAUCUUAUAUUAUGGGAGAGAAAAAAAGAUCAUGUUUGUGCAGAAGAAAAGGUGCAUACAUGGAAACAACCAAAACCCGGUGGUCAAAUAGGCAGAUCAUUUGCUUCCAGCAAAACUACAUUCCAAGAUUGGUAAUAGAAAUGAUCGACCAUAACACACAAACACACAAAAUAUAGGCAGAUCAUUUCUCCCACACAAUGGCACAGUCCGCACCGUAGUUUCCUCAAAAGUAUAUUAAAAACCACUUCCAAUAUUAGGAUUGUUCAUAGGCAACAAACUGGUUAGCAGCCAAAUACAAUUUAUACCGGGCUGAGAGUCUAGUUAGGUUCAGCAAACAAUAAUAAUUGAAUCACCAACAACUUAUCUCCAUCUCUUUAGUUUUUACACGGAGAAGAAGCAUACUUUUGACACAAGUCAUGCCUCCUUUUCACCUACAUGCUGUCGAGCAGCUCGGUCUCUUGCCCUCCAUUGCGUCUUUCUUUUUCCGACACUCCAGACAAAGAUACGGGCCUCCCCAAGGUGCGUAUGGAGAAGAGCAGUGGCUACCUCCAUUCUCCUCCAUCAAGCCUUCAAAUGGUUCUUGGUCCACUUGGCAGAUCGCACAGCGAGAAGGCGGCGAAGCUGCUUUCAAGGACAGAUUCCUACCCAGCCUGCAAGAGCAAAGGUUGGUGCUUAAUGGCCUGGGUGUGAGCAAAUUGAUAAGUAAUUCUGGACUGUCAUUUCAUUUCUCUACCAAAAACACAACACUGAUCAGAAGUUAGGCAGCUGACAUAGCUUUCAUAAUAAUCACGAUAUUUCAAAAGCGCUUCGAAGCAGACUUAUGUUCUAAUCACUCUUCAUCACGGAAUUUGUUUAUUCCAGGAUUCUGGCAGAAAUAUUACAUGUGCAAUCUACAGAAAGAAGUACUGAAAUGUAGGAAUGACAUGCUACCUCCAGACCUACUCUAAAAUGUAGAUGCCAAAUGGAAAGACCGAUAAAGCAUAUCGUGCUUUUCUUCUCAAAAGCAUACCAUGAGAGAAGACAUAUUAGUGCCCAGAGUAAGGGUAUACAGAUGGGAAUUCAGCUAAACAUUCUUAUCGGCUAUAAAUAAAGUAUGGCACAGAACUAUGCCCAAGUUUCAGCCACGCUUGAUUAAUUAAAUGGUUACAAUUUGAUUGAUCCACAGUCAUAUAACUCUAAAUUCAAUCUUUGAACCAAAAGAUCUGAAAUAUGAAAUAAAGGUGAUGCAAGAUGUCAACAAAAGGUUUCAACAAAUAACCGUGUCAAGAGAAUCAUCCUGUUGCCAGUAGCUAUCCAUAGAAUUUGUUAAAAAAAAAGUAACAGAAGAGGAGUCGCAAUAAGCAUGAUUCACAAUCACAUGACACCAAUUACAGAUGGAUGACUGAGGAGUGUCAUACUGAGUUUAUCUGCACUGAUUACUCUAUUCCGAUUCCAGAGUAUAACAUUCUGAACCAAAUAAAAUUCUUCGGUGCCAGCAAGUGUGAUACACAGCUGAAAGCUGAAUGAAGCAUAUGCACAAAAAUAAUCAUGCGGACAAGUGCAGGUGGCAAGCGGUUCAGAGGGUUCUUGUCACACAUAACAAUGGAAAGGAAUGGGAGUAGGUACUUGAUAAAAAAAAACAGCAUGUUGGCACCAAAGUGGGAAACAUGAUAUAAAAGAGUUACAUAAGCCAUGAUACAUACAAAAAGGCUAUCCAAAUGCUCAAAGAAAUUGACAAGAACACAUCCUAAUCUAUGUCUUAGCAUGCUACAGCAAAGGCAUGUGAUCAAAUAGGCAACAAGCAUGAUAGAUAUUCAAUCAAAAUUCGGAGAUGUAAAAUAGCAUAAUAUAUAAGAAAGCACACAGAACUAUGAGAAAACAAUUAAUUCAUUAAGUUUGCCGGAUCAUUGCAGUAGCAACUAGAACGUACCUUUCUUCCAACAUUGCAGAGCCUUCCUCAAAUAACUCCUCCACGGAACCAAUAGAGGCAGACUUGCCUCCAAACUUUCCAACUGAACUGUGCGACCUUCUACGAAAAAGAAGAGACUUGAGCUUGUUCUGAUUUCUCUUUGGGGAUAACUGUGGCGAUGUCAAAUGAUGAUCAGAUGGGAUGAUGUCAACCACCACACAGGUGGUAUCAUCUUUCAGCCCACAUUUUUUCAAAGCUUGCUGCAUACAUCAAAAUAGAUAUCAGAAUUGGCAAUUGACUGAAUCAUGUCCACAGCCAUGGAUAAUCUAGGUACUACAUGCUACUGGCUACGGGCAUAGUUACCUUAACCACAAGCUUUGCAGCGAGUUCUGCAGGCAAUCCUCGGCAUGACUUGGCCGCUGCCUCAUUGGAUAGCGCAUCCCAUAUGCCAUCAGAUGCCAUUAUCAGCCUUCCUCCGACACUUGAGAGCUGAGAUUACCAAAGAGAAAGAGACAACUUUCAGAACUCCACAAAAGAAGCUACGAAUUACAUUCAUUUUGUAAUGCCUACCCACCUUCACUUGCUUGACAUGUGGAACCGGCACAAUGUACUCCCCAACAUCCAUGUCUCCAAUGGAUCUUGAGAGGCACAAACCACCUGGCCAACAACGGAGAGGGCCAACCUAAGACAAAUCAUUCACACAACAAUGCAUCAUCAGACUGAUCACCAAACAAGUUAUUCACUCGCUCAAUCUAAAGUUCCAUGCUUUGUAAGGGACAGUUUGUUCGGUCCAAAGAAAAUUGCUACCUCCUGACCGCCGAAGAGAUUCAGACGGCCGACCUCCCCACCGCUCGCCGUGACACGCUCCCUCUCCUCGACAUUCUCCUCCAGCCUGUGAUCGACGGUUAGCAGCUGCAGCUCGCCGCCCUGCGUGUCCAGGAUGCACCGAGAAUCCCCGACCGACGCCACGGUGACCGUGAACCCGUCGACGACGACCAGCGUAGCCGUCGUCCCCGACACCUCCCCUGAGUAAACACACAGCCGGCGAUAUUUAGCAACAUGCUCAACAGGCGUGCUCUGAAAUCGCCAUUUGCAUACACGAUCCGUCUCACCCUUGCGCUGGAAGUCGAUGUCGGCCUUGACGAAGCCGGCGACGAGCGCGCGGGGCAGCGCCUGCAGCCAGUCCUCGCGGCUGCCGAUGUCCGGCGGGAGCGCGCUCAUCACGUGCUCCAGCAGGUGCUCCUUGCUGAACACCGCCGCCGACACCCCAUUGUGGCCGUCGAACACCUGGCGAAACGGCCACAGAUCCAGCGAACCCGUCAGAUCACAGAUUUCCACAAACCAACGACGAACCGGACACGAAGGACGGGGGCGGGGAGAGGGGGAGAGCAGUACGGCGAAGACGGAGAAGGCGGUGGAAGGGUCGCCGGGGACGCGGAGGCAGUCGGGCUUGACGAGGAAGUAGUCCUCGCCGCGCUUGGCGAAGCCGGCGUGGCCGUAGCGCAGCGCCGGGCGCUCGGAGCCCCCGGCGCGGAGCUCGCGCCCGAUCAGCGUGGCCAGGGGCAGCGCCGGCAGCAGCGGCAUCUUUCUCCUCUCCCUCUCCGCGCCGGCCAUCUCGCCGCCGCCGCUUCUUGCCCCCGCGGUCCUGCUCGUGUCUGCCUACCGCCGCCCGCAGUGCACCAUUCCCUGCCGGGGAGAAGGUCGGGGACGGCGGCAAUGGCGAGACGCGUCGGGGAUUCGGAUCUGGGACUGGGCUGCCGGCCGGCCGGCGAGGAUCGGAGCGACGGGGAGGCCACGAAAAAUUGGGAUUUGGGAUGCUCUCGUGCUUGCCUGGAGUGAGAGGAGAAAGGCUUAUAAUUAGCUGGCGAAAUGCGGCGACAGGGAGGACGAGUGGGAUUUUCCGAAAGUGCAGGGUGUUCCCUGAUAAAACAAUGGCCAGCCAAAGAAAAAAAAAAUUCCUUUCACAAAAGUAGAGCCUUUAAUUAUAUACCGCAAAAAAGGUAAAUCAGUAUUUUCGGUUUGCUAAACCUAGGCUGUUUCGGUGAGUCUAUGUGCGUGUAUGUGAGUAUUUAAGAUUGUACUAUGUGUUAGUACAAAAAACUAGGCUAUUGCAGAUCGGGUUUGCUGAUUCUCAGUCUACCGGUGAUUCGGAAAAUCUCAUUUAAUAUCGAGAUAUGUGCAAGAUAUUUGUUUGAGUUGUGAAAACAAGCACUACAUUUUUUCUGCACCAGAUAAACAAUAUUUUAAUGACACGGCAAGUAUUUAUUAGAUGUGUAUGAAUAAAACCGACUGCAUUUUCCAAUUGACGGAGGGCUAGUCGCCCCCAUUUGAGAUUUAUUUAUGCCUAUAUCGGUUUCAAGAGACGGUUGAUGCGGAUAUGGCCAUAGUUAUAGUUUCUCGACUGCAGAUUUGACCGCUUCGUUUUGUUUCUUUCUUUUUUAUUGUUUAUGCAUAGCUCUUGGUCUUAUAUCAUUUUGCUAUUUGCUAGCGCGUGUUUAUGCAUGUUGUUGAUGUUGGUUGUGCACGUCUUGGCCAUGUAAAGGCUGGGUGUGUGUCCACGAAAGGCGAAAGGGACCAGAACCAAAUCAAACGGCCAAUUUUACUCGACAUUUACGCAAAUAAAAUAAUAGGCAUGUAAUGAUGUGGUUGCAAUGUAGUAUAGUAGUAAUGCAUUGUGGCUGGCAAGUGGCAAGCCCAAGCCACGCAUGAGCCUACGCUUUACAGCAUACCCUUUUACAAAUCCACGAAUCAAACCACCGAUGCAGAAGUAGUAUAUCCAUUUUAUUACUCCAUGCUUGCUUAGGGCAUGUACAAUGAUGGCAUAUGAAUAUAGAUGCCUCAUGACAAAAAAUAAUUUGAAGCAUAUGUGUUGAUUUUUCUUUCCAAUGCAAGCUACUGCUAGUGGAUUUUAUCAAUAAAUAGAAAGUAACUUUCACUACACAUGUAUCCCUCUUUUUCAUUUCAAUUUUUUAACUUUAUGUACCGGACCAUACUUUUUGUCUCUAAGCACCUGCCUUCUGGAGAGGAUCCCGCUUGGAUCCGGCUUGCCUGCUCCCUCCCUAUGCUCCCAUCCGUGCUCCCACUCCAUUCUAUGGUUGUCUUUUUUCCUCUUUUCUUUCUAAUCUAAUCAUCUCCUCCUUGAUUUUAAGGGGGUGAGGUUGGGCCUUAUUUUGUUCCAAUCAAAUUAAGUCACGUAUGCGGGAGCACGGAUGGGCACACGUCGGGGGAGCAGGCAAGUCUCGUCCAUCCCGCUGCCCCAUCCAAACCUAUACUUUUUCUAUUAUUCGAUCCUACAUGGCAUGUGAGGCAUCACCCUGAAGCUAUGCAUUGGUCAUGCCCUUAGCAACCUUCCAAGAUUGAAAAAGGUGAGUAUAUACUGGCAUGCAGUAUAAUCCUAGUGGUACAGUACAUACAGCCCUGUUGUCCCCCGGGAGCCCACAGCCAAAGGAAAAGCAAGGCAAUGGGUGGGCCAGCGCAAGUUGCAGAUGAAUCCAGUGGCAACCAAAGAUUACAGAAAGGGGAUGCAAAUCGACCUGGAAAGCGAUUGGGAAGCGCAACUGGGCUACGAAUAUGUCUGGCGUUUGUUUGUUUAAUGGCGGACGCGUCAAUUAGGUGGGCUGAUGGGCGGGCGACGGUGACCAUCAUGCUGCGCUGCUGCCGCGAGCACAGUUGGCCGGCUAGCUAGCUAGAUAAUGCCCGGUGGUCACCGCGCCGCAGGAUAUAUUCGGGAUCUAAUAAUCCAAAUUAGACUAAACAUGACAUGAUUGUUCGUUUGUUGGUUGGCUGGUUAAUCAUUGGAAUGGGGCGAUUACAGUACGUUAGAAUCGAAUGGAUUUGUUGAGCAUGGAAGGGAGUAGAGUGCAUGAUUCAUUGACGUCCGAACGGAUCCAGGAAACUUCCUGUUUGUUGUGAUAGGUAAGAGCAGAGCAUGCUCAUAAGGGUACGAUGUGUCUGCGUGCGUAGUUGUAUAUGUUCAUAGAAAUGCGUGUGUGUGCGUCCGGAGGGGUCCUCUCUAUGCCCCUCCCCACCCGCGCACCUCAGCCUAGGCGACAGUGGGAAUGACUCCACCUCUUUCGAGGAGUCCUCGGACGGUGGGGGCAGUCAGGAGUAGCGUCCUCGCCCUCAGUGGCGGAGCCACGUCUAGGUUGUGUAGUCACUUGACUACACAACUCUUUAAAAAAAACGUAACACAUCAAGUAUAAAUCAAGCAAAAAACACACAAAAUAUGUAUAUUUGACUACACAACAUUGAAGUGACUACACAUGAUUUUAUUCCUGGCACCGCCACUGCUCACCCUCCCCCACCCGGCCCCUUGGCCUCAUCCGCGUUAGGGCAGGCAUCUUUCCCCGCCGCCUCCCUCGCGCUUGGCCCAGCGCUGACAUCUUCGCCGGCCACUCCUGAUGCCAGGCCCACCUCUCCCUCACCAAUCCUUUGUGUGGGUUCCCCUCACACCCAGAUCAGUGCGGAGGAGGACUCUUUAAAUGUUGGGACGGACGGACACCCCCAUGAUCCCCUCACUCCCCGGGGGUUGUCUGCUACUCCCACUCGCCAGGGUCCCCACCCUCACCAGUUCAGGGGCUCCUCGCCCCUGAUGAUGCCUAUCAAGCCGGUGUCACCUGGCCUGGAUCUGUCCACGGCCCGCUCCGACACUCCCGUGUGUGACCCCAUGGGCGGUCCCUCUCUCCGUCCUUCUCCAUCCCCACCUAUCGUCUCCCGCCAGAGCGCGUGUCUGGGCCGCUCCAGGGUACACGAUUAAUUGGCAUCCGAACGGAUCCAAGAAACUCCAUGUUUGUUGUGAUAGGUAGGAGCAAAGCACGCUUAUAGAGGUACUAUGUGCGAAAAUGCUCCACUUACGAACUCUAUCUACGCUAAAAGUCCUACGGACAGACGUGUUGCCUCCUAAUUCACCUCUCCGUCCCUGAUUUGCAGGGUGGGGCCUCCUUCGACCAAAUUAGGGGAUGCCACCUUUGCAUGUAGGACUUGUUCCGUGAAAAAAUGCCCGUAGUUGUAGUAUUGCUCAUAUGAUGUGUGUGCAUGCGUGCGUUCAUAGGGAUGAGUGUAUGUAUGAUAAGAAUAAUAUACUAGAUAUACAUCACUGAUAUAUCAUUAAAAAAUGCUUUCCCUAAAAAAAUAUCAUUAAGAAACGGAGAUCUCUCUGUGGCUAGCUGUGUCCAUCUGCCUGUCCUCUUUUUGAAUUGAUGGAUAAGCAUGUGUAUCUUGAAGAGCAAAGUCGGUUGGUUAGUUGGCACUAAUAAGACUAAGAACCUUGGAACACUCCUUAAACUGGUCCGUGUGUUGUGCGUGGGUUGACAACGCACGGUACGACAGGACGACGCGGCGAGAGAUUUGGGCGGCAGGUUCGUUACGCAGGCAGCUGUAUCCCACGCCGUCGCUUCAAGCCAAGCCAUGCAUAUCUCACCCGGAGCUGGGCUCAUCAUGCCGACGCCGACGCCGCCGAAUAAUUCGUGGCGCCGCGGAAUUAUUGGUGGUGUUUCGAUUGCCAUGAUGCCAUCUACGGAGUAUCUAUCUGCACAUGGAAGAGCAACAGCGACUACUCGUCGUCGGAGCGCGCGCUGCGGCGACCAUACGUACGCACGUCGUCCUUAUCCGACCCGGUGCCGGCCGCGUCGAAGACGGAGCGCCACAGUGCCACAUGCGGUCGGACCAGCAGCGACUCGGAGGGCUCGCCCGUCUCCGACAUGGACUCUGCGUCACUCCGGCAGGUCACAAUGAAGGAUAAUAAAACGGAACAGAGUAGCCGGCCGAUCGAUCGAAUCGCCUCGGGCAUCUUCAUACGGUAGAUAGAUUGAUUGAUCUCGACGAGAUGGCGAAACGGCUGCGAUCACCGGAUCGCGGCGACGGCGGGAAGCGGCCGCGGCACGGCCGGAAGCACCUCUACGUCGUGCUGGACGACCGGCAGAAUGGGUACAGCGUCCACAAGGUCGACGCGGACGCCGACGGCGUGGGUCUCGCCGACCCUCCGCUGUUGCAACUCGAAUCCAUGGAGGACUCUGGGGGCGUGCUGGUCGGCGCCCUCGGCAGCAAGAUCCUCGCCCUGUGGCAGCCGACGGCGGACGGGCAGCUCACGACCCACGCCGUCGCGUAUGGCACCGACACCGAUAAGCUGGCCGUCGGCCCCCCGCACCCGGACGCGCUGCUGACCAUGCGCUUCGUCGUCGCCGCCGGGGAGCGGCUCUACGCGCUGCACGAGGGAGGCCUGCACUGCUUGGAGUUGGUAUCGGAGUCGGACUCGGACUCGGACGAGACGCUGCCGUCUGGCGCGGACGAGGCGGAGGAGCACCGGUGGGCGUGGACGAGGGUCUCGUCGCCGCUGCGGCUGCCGGGCUGCGGCGGCGACCCGGAGGAAGACGACGAGCCCAUCGAGAUCACCUCGUACGCACUGCACCCCGACGGGCGCACCAUCUUCGUGUCCGCCCACGCAACCGCGCCGUGGCGGCUACGCGGGCACCUUCUCACUCGACACGGCGGUCGGCGGCGGGGACGCCGAGUGGACGCCCCGCGGCGAGUGGCUGCUGCCGUUCCAGGGCCAGGGCCACUACGACGCCGGCCUGGACGCCUGGGUCGGGCUCCACUCGCCGGGGUACAUGUGCGCCUGCGACGUCCCGGCGCCUGUCACCAACGGGCACCACAGCGGCGACGCGCCGCGGCAGCCGGCCUGGGAGCUCGUGAGCGCGGCCAGCCUGCUCUACGCGGACCCAGACCCGAAGGUGAGCGACUCCGCCGCCUGGCUCGUCUGCAUGGGGGGCGGCCAGUUCUGCGUCGUGGAGUCCAUGGCGCUAGCCGAGGCCGAGCAGGAGGACGAGCAUUUGCUGCUCCGUCUCGCCACGCUCCGCCUUGAACGCGAUCUCCAUGGAGGGCUGCGCGCUUCGUCUCGACGCACCCUCGCCUGCCGAGUGCUCAAGUUUGAUCCACUGUUCAGUCCGCGGGCAUUCUGCAUGUAGUUUUGUCCCAAGCAGCUCAACUGCCGUGCGUGCGUUCUGGGGCAUCGCCAUUCACAGGAUCGAGCUAGAGGAAGAAACGUGGUCCGGGGAUCUUGAUCUAGCUGCUCUCAAGUUUGUAGAGAUUUUCUUUUCAGUCUUCCUGAGUGUUACAAUGGAUAUUUGUCGAAGACUUACAAUGGAUGUUUUUGCUAGAAGAAUAUAAAUUAAGUGCUCCAUAUUUCAACAAUCGCAUAUCGAGCCUUAAUGUCAUAAAAUAGUGUCCCAACUCCCAACUCCAAAUGUUGAGUAGUAAUGUUUUUCUUUACAAAAUUAGGGAUUUGCUUUUACCCAAACAUCACUAUAAUCGCCAAGCAGCUUGACAUUGGAGGCGAGAAUGGUCCAUGUGCUGCUCCGAGAAAACGCGUGGGAGGCCGCCGCAUGUUUUGACGGUUUCCUCCAGGUGCCAGUUUGAAGUAUCCAUGUGUUCGAAAUGAAGUUUAUUGAUGACCAUCCUUCGGAGCCUAAACGUAUGACAACACUUGAAGAAGAGAUGUGCCCCAGACUCUUGUUCCUGCUUGCAAAGGAUGCACAAACCAUAAUUUGGCCUACCUAUACACGGUCCAAAUUCUAUCUUGAAUUGUCAACCAAACAAAGAAUUUGACCUUUGAAGAUGUCCACAUCUUCCACACUAUUUUGUCCAUUGAGGAUAGAUUCAUGCCCAAGAACUGGAUCGCUCAUUGACACGGUGGAAACGCCUUCCCGCCGGACAACGAUACAAACAUGAAACAUCACACGGUCACACCUGAGCGUACCUAGCAAGUUUCUUUGGGGGCCAUGCAGAAGCUGGCCCAGGCAUCACCGAUGUUGGAGCGAAGGCUAUAUGUAACGAAUGACAAAGCAAUGUCAAAAGACGUGAGACGAGUCGCAUCAGGCGGCCAGGGACAUCACACGCAAGAGUGCUGCUGAAAUCCAAGUAUUUAGCAUCCUUUAUGGUUUCCUUAGGGCCUCCUUGAGUUGCAUGAUUUUUCAAAACAUGGGAAUAGCACAAAAAACAUAGAAAUAAAGUAUAUUUUUCAUCCUUAAACUCUUUUGGAAGUAUAGAAUUGAUCCCUUAAUUUCAAAACCGGCAAACUUUAGACCCUCAACUUUUCAAAUCGGAUUACCUUAGUCCCUUAACUCGACAAAAACGGUUUUGUGCUGACUUGGCAUGGUUUUGACCCAUCAGCGCCCACGUGGCAAUCUUCUUCUUCCUUUUCCUUUUGACCGCGGCUGGGCAUUUUGUCUAACAGUUGGCGAGCGCAGAGGGUGUGUUAGACUAUAUUUACAUGUGUAUAUUGUAACGUUGUAUACCACCUCAUUAUAUAUAUAUAUAUGUGAUAGGCCAUCCCUAGAGGGUUGUGCCGGUUCCCCCCAAAGCCUAUUGUCUUACAUGGUAUCACGCUAGGUUACGUCCGCUUCCGCCUAAAAACCCUAAACCGCCGCCGCCGCCGCCGCCACCGCCGCGCCCGCCGUCGCCGUCGCCCGACUGCUAUGACGUCCGCCGCUGCGUCCGGCUCCACCGCCACCGGUUUUCUGCCGGCCUCCCUCGCGGCACUUCUCUCGAGGCCGCUGGAUGCCGCCUCCCUUCAGGCGCCGAUCGGGACACGGAGCGUCGGCUCCCUCUUCGCGCUCCCGCCGGCUGCUACUUCGCCCGGGCAGGCGCUUGUGGCCCACACCGCCGCCGCCCCGUCAACCGCGGCUGUCGCGCCCUCGGCCACUGCGCCGCUGGUGGCGGAGGACGUCGCGCUGGCAGGCUUCGCGGCGUCAACCGCGGCCAUCUCGCCCUUUGUCACCGCGCCGGCUGCCCCUCUGACUGUCUCCACGGUGGUCUCACCUCAGCCAGUCUCCUCGAUGGGAUCGCAGCCGCCGCCGCCGUUUCACUUCGGCCAUCUCAUCACCAUCAAGUUGUCGUCGGACAAUUACAUCUUCUGGCGCGCGCAGGUUCUUCCGCUUCUUGGGAGUCACUAUCUGCUUGGCUAUGUCGACGGCUCUCUCCCUUGCCCUUCUGCGCUGGUUGACAGCGUGCACGGUCCGGUCUAUAAUCCGGCUCACCGUGUCUGGACAGGGCAGGAUCAGGCGAACCUCUCCUCCAUCCAGGGGUCGCUCUCUCCGGCCGUUGCUGGGCUUGUUGUCUUCGCCAAGACAUCCCACGAGGCAUGGACUAUUCUUGAGCGCUCGUUUGCGGCAUAGUCGCAGGCUCGUGUAUCUGGGCUCCGUCGCCAACUUGGGGAGUGUCAGAAGCUUGACUCUACCGCCACUGAGUUCUACAACAAAGUCAAGAGUCUCGCCGACACGCUGGCCUCCAUUGGACAGCCCCUCACCGACUCCGAGUUCAACUCGUUUAUUGUCAAUGGUCUUGAUGAGGAGUAUGACGCCCUAGUCGAGAUCAUCAAUGAGAGAGGCAACUCCACGCCCAUGCCAGCACACGAGGUCUUUUCACGCCUCCUGCUUACUGAGCAACGAGUCGAGACGCGCCGAUCCAGGGGCAACGGCGCCCUCUCGGCAAACGCCGCCACCAAGGGUGGUCGCUCCUCUGCUUCAUCCAGGGCUCCUUUGGGGCAGUCACCACCACCCGCCUCGGCCCCUCCUCCUACUGCGACGCUACCAGGGGCUGGCGGUCCACGUGUGUGCCAGCUUUGUGGUCGCGAUGGGCACUGGGCCUCGAAGUGUCACAAGCGCUUCCAGCGGGGUUUUCUUGGUCUCGGCAAUGACGGGAAGGAUACACGCAACUUUGCUCGUCAGGUCGCCAUGGCUGAUCGUCCGCCGCCGCAGAAGCCACAGGGACACACUCAGUCCUACUCCAUUGAUCCCCACUGGUACAUGGACUCUGGGGCGACAGAGCACCUGACCAGUGAGAUGGGGAAGCUUCACACUCGUGAACCCUACCAUGGCUCCGACAAGAUCCACACCGCCAAUGGAGCAGGUAUGCACAUCUCUCAUAUUGGUCAAGCAUCACUUCUCACUAGACAUGCCAAUAGGAGUCUUCAACUUCGCAAUGUUUUUCGAGUUCCAUCUGUGACACGUAAUCUUCUUUCAGUUCCUAAACUCACUCGUGAUAAUAAUGUGCUUUGUGAAUUUCAUCCUUUUGAUCUUUUUAUUAAGGAUCGAGGCACGAGGGAUAUUCUUCUUAGUGGGCGGCUCUGCCAAGGUCUCUAUCGUCUGGAGCAUCCUGGCGUCGCUCGCGUCUUCAGUGGAGUUCGGGUAUCUCCGUCACAGUGGCAUGCUCGUCUUGGUCACCCGGCCACACCUAUUGUCUGGCAUGUUUUGCGUCGUCAUGAGCUUCCUAGUGUGUCUAGUAAUAAAGAUGUAGCAGUGUGUGAUGCUUGUCAGCAGGGGAAGAGUCAUCAACUUCCUUUUUCGGAGUCCAGUCGUGAGGUGAAACAUCCUUUAGAACUUGUGUUUUCAGAUGUAUGGGGUCCUGCUCAGACUUCUGUUAGUGGUCAUAAUUACUAUAUCAGUUUUGUUGAUGCUUACAGCCGCUUUACCUGGCUUUAUCUUAUCAAAUGUAAAUCUGAUGUGUUUGACAUUUUUGUUCAGUUCCAAAAACAUGUUGAACGCCUUCUCAAGCACAAAAUUGUUUAUGUUCAGUCGGACUGGGGUGGCGAGUAUCGCAACCUCAACUCCUUCUUUCAGUCGCUUGUGAUCACUCACCGUUUAGCAUGUCCACAUACACAUCAGCAGAAUGGUUCAAUAGAACGUAAGCAUCGUCACAUUGUUGAAGCUGGUCUGACUCUUUUGGCCCAUGCAUCUGUUCCAUUUCGUUUUUGGAGUGAUGCUUUCACCACUGCAUGUUUUCUCAUCAAUCGUACUCCCACUCGUGUUUUGAAUAUGAAGACUCCCAUUGAAGUUCUCCUUAAUGAACAACCGGACUACACCUUUCUCAAGGUGUUUGGGUGUGCUUGCUGGCCCCAUCUCCGUCCACAUACGCGCAGUCGGAGUGACAUUUUUCAACCUAAGCAACGUCACGAUGGCACAGUUGCUUGGUUAGCGGCGUGCAUGUCUGCUGCUCUCGCAGAUCCAUCCUCUGAGCCACGCACGUAUCAAGCUGCUAUGCGCAUUCCUCAUUGGAGAGAGGCCAUGGAGCAGGAGUAUCAAGCAAUCACGGGUAAAUGUCAUUGAUUCCAAAUGGGUUUUCAAAGUGAAGAGGCAUUCUGAUGGGUCCAUUGAGCGCUAUACGGCUCGUCUGGUUGCUCGUGGUUUUCGACAGCGUUUUGGACUUGACUAUGAAGACACCUUCAGUCCAGUGGUCAAGCCUACUACCAUCAGACUUCUUCUCUCUCUGGCUGUUACUCGAGGUUGGUUUCUUCGUCAGCUUGAUGUUCAAAAUGCUUUUCUUCAUGGUGUCUUGGCGGAGGAGGUUUACAUGCGCCAGCCUCCGGGUUUCUCUGAUCCGGAUCGCCCUGAUCAUCUCUGUCGUCUGUCCAAGGCAAUUUAUGGUCUGAAGCAGGCUCGUCGUGCUUGGCAUGCUCGUCUUGCAAUGGCUCUUCGUGCUCAUGGUUUUGCAUCAUCAACUGCUGACUCCUCAUUGUUUCUUCUUCAAAGGCCUGAGGUUACUAUGUACUUGUUGGUCUAUGUAGAUGAUAUCAUUUUGGUCAGCUCCUCUCAGUCGGCUGCUACUGCGCUUGUUCGCUCACUUGGUGCUGAUUUUGCGGUCAAGGACCUUGGGAAGCUUCAUUACUUUCUUGGUGUGGAGGUUACUUCUCGUGCUGCUGGCCUUGUUAUGACGCAGAAGAAGUACUCUCUGGAUUUGUUGCAGCGAGCUGGGAUGCUUAAGUGCAAACCGACGACUACACCCAUGUCUACCACUGAUAAGCUCAAUGCUAUUGAUGGUGUGCUUCUUUCUUCUUCUGAUGCGACAGAGUACAGGAGUAUUGUUGGUGGGCUCCAGUACUUGACGAUCACGCGACCAGACAUUUCCUAUGCUGUUAACCGAGUCUGCCAGUAUCUGCAGUCACCCCGUGACACUCAUUGGUCUGCUGUUAAGCUGAUUUUGCACUAUAUUCGUUUCACGGUGGCUCAUGGUUUGCAUAUUUGGCCGUCUGACUCUGGUUGUCUUUCAGCAUAUUCUGAUGCAGACUGGGCUGACAAUCCGGAUGACAGGCGAUCCACGGGGGGUUAUGCUGUCUUCUUUGGCUCUAACCUGAUUGCCUGGAGUGCUCGGAAACAGGCUACUGUCUCGUGUAGCAGUACUGAGGCUGAGUAUAAGGCUGUGGCCAAUGCCACAUCAGAGAUCAUCUGGGUACAGUCCUUGCUUCAGGAGUUAAGUAUACCCCAAUCACAGCCUCCUGUUCUUUGGUGUGAUAACAUCGGUGCUACAUACCUUUCUGCAAAUCCGGUAUUCCAUGCCCGAACGAAACACAUUGAAGUUGACUAUCACUUUGUGCGUGAACGUGUCUCUCAGAAGCAACUACAGAUCAAGUUUAUUUCUUCCAAGGAUCAACUUGCUGACAACUUCACCAAGCCAUUGCCUUUGCCACAGUUUGAGACUUGCAGGCGCAAUCUUACCCUUCUAGAUUCAUUAGAAAGUGGCUAAGAUUGAGGGAGGGUGUUAGACUGUAUUUACAUGUGUAUAUUAUAACGUUGUAUACCACCUAAUUAUAUAUAUAUGUGAUAGGCCAUCCCUAGAGGGUUGUGCCGGUUCCCCCCAAAGCCUAUUGUCUUACAGGGUGCAGGCGGCCAGGGGGUACAACUACAACACCGCUAGGCUCACAAGACGAGAAGGGCCGAGGCGGGACUGUGCUCGCGGGUAGCUUUCCAUGGCGCAACGGCGUAGGCUGUCGGCAUCUGCGCGUGCGGCAUAGAUGGCUCAACGCCGGCAGUGGCGCGGCCGCGUGCUGUGUGGCGUGGAGCUCGACGAGAGGUCGUGGGGCGGUGCACACCUGGGCGCCGUGUGUGGCGGAGAGCGCGUCCAGGAUAGCGGAGCUCCGCGCGUCAGCGCUCUGCGUCGACCCCUCCUCUAUGUGCUCCGCGCUCCGGAGCUCGCAUCCAUGUGACCAGCUCACGGCGCUCAUGACGUGCCUGAUGUGGGACUGAAGAACGUGGCGACCCCGACCUAUCUCCCCGACAGCUUCGCCAUGGCCCUUCUCUGUAUCCUCAUCAGCCUCCCGCUCCGCCGCAACCCGUCACAUAUCACGGGUCAUUGAGUCCAAUUCAUAGUAAGACUUGCGUUGAAUUUUCUUGGGGAAAACAGUGUGAUACUGCUCCGAUUUUGGAUGUGGACGUGAACUGGAUCACGGGGAGACAUCGACGGUGCCGUCAUUUACAAUGGCAGAGGCAGACCAUGAGCAUGAGACAGCAAGGAACAUAGUUAGUUGUGUUACGAGCGUGUCUUUGCAGAGCAAGCCGCCGCUUGCCUCCAUGCCUAGUGGCUCGGCCCUGCUGGUCUUGCUUGCGAGCCUCGCCGUGCCACAGCUCCCUGGUCGCCUGUACCCUCUGUGUGUGCCGUCACGAGCCACACAAACUCCACGUCUACUCCUUCUUUUGUUGCUGGGCGCGCGCCAACUGCUUGACGAAAUGCCCAGCCGAGGUCAAAAUGGGAAGGAAGAAAAAGACCGCCACAUGAGUGAUGACUGGUCAAAACCAUGGCAAGUCAGCAUGAAAACCAUUUUUGUUGAGUUUAGGGACUAAACUAAUCCGGUUUUAGAAGUUGAGGACUAAGGUUUGCCGAUUCUAAAGUUGAGGGACCAUUUCUAUACUUCUAGGAAGGUUCAGGGACAAAAUACAUACUUUUUCCUAUAUUGUACGAUUGUAAGGAUGUUUUUUCAAGGCCCCUUCUAUUCGAAGGGUUUUCAUGACAAUUUUGAAGGAUUGGAAUCCUUAGGAAAGUUACAAUCAUGGUUGUUUGGUUCAUACGAUUGAAGCCUAUAAGAUUUUUUUUCCAAGGACUCGUCUGUACUAUAUUCCAUAGAAAUUUUAGCAUCCACUCAAACCUUCUGCGAAGAUCAUUUUUUUCAUGAUAAAAUAAAAUAAACCGGUGCAUUGUUGGUAUGUCCCAUGCAUUGUUGAUGGUGGGCGAGAGGAUCGCCGUGGAGGCGGGUAUUCAAUGUGUGCUGGGUCACCAUAUGCUUGGUCCAGUGUGUAUUGUGCCGUGUCGGUGGGGGUGAGAGACCUCCCUAUUGCCUAGCAUGGCACAGCCAUUUAAUACGCUAGGUAAUAGGAUGACAUCGCCUCACACUUUUUGUACCGUUAACUACAACAUCUCUAGUAUAAGGGUCCUUCCUAGCUCCUCGAGCUUGCACACCCGCUCGACGCCUGUUGCAUUGUUCGUCCUAAGGUGGAUUCGAACCACUCUCUCCUUUCGGAUUUCGAGUCCAAAAGGCCCGAUGAAAGAGGAUUUUCAAUCCUAUGCCCGCGGCCAAGCUGAAUACCAACGUAAAAUACCCCCCCCCCCCCGUGUACAGAAAAACCGGCAGACUUCAACCGCGUGCUUGGAUGGUUGUUUUUCAUACAUAAUCUUUACGUUAGUAUCCCAGAUUGCCCCUACAGCCUUUAAAUAAAACACCCCACCCAGUUUACCAGUUUUCCCCACCCACGGAUCCAUCUCUCCAGUAAUCCACAUGCCCGCACCGCCAGAGCUAUGGACGGGGUGAAGCAUCGGUGACAGGGGCGAGCGACCACGACACCAACAUCAACAAUGAGGUGCCCUACUACCGCAACAGGAGUGAUGUGCCGACGACCAUGAAAGGGGCGGGGUCUAGGUUCAGGCGGUUGUAACCUUGACCAUGACGCGACGGUGGCGAGUGGCGGCCACUCGCUCCGGCUCCUCGUGCAAGCCCUCCAAGCAGCCAUAUCAAACCUCCUCUGCUUCACCAAUGUUGUCAACCUCCUCACCAAACAAUAUGUGUGCUUGUGAUCUGUUUGAUUACCUUGGUAUUGCAAACUGGGAGCCAAACGCAUGUUACAGUCGGAAAAAUAUUUACAACUCUCCACCAAGAUUUGUUGGAGGCAAGUAUUAUACAAGUGUAAAGAGGUACAUGGGCAGAAAAAUUCAGGAUUCCAAGCAUGGCCAAAGUCAAUCCCAUGGAAGGAAAAAUAAAUAGAAUCAACUGACAAUGUGGCCAUGAAUAAUAACCAACCCACACGCUGCCAUCCAAUAGCAAACAAUCACCAUGUAAAUGGGGCAGUGGCGUCUCUUGCUGCCUAGACAAAAAAAGCACCGCGUGGCUCACAAAGGAUAACAUGUUGAAUGUGAAUGUGAUGUAAAGAUAGAGAAGAACUGAUGAUUUCGUAUACUUGCAAUAGUAUUAUUGAUAAUUAGCCCUCAUAACAGGGGGUAAGUACAUGGUCAAUGAGCACACACAAACCGUACUUUUUUAUAUAGACUGUAAGGAAGGCCCCUAUAGACUACAGUAUAAGUGUAACAAACCCAAAUUAUAAGUACCAUGCUUUGAACCUAGGUGGGUGGGAAGGCAUAUAAAUACUGGCGGAGCUUGACUAGGAUGACACGGGGAAAAGGUAAUGUAUGAAUGUUUUUAUUCAGGGUGGAGGGCUAAUGAGAAUAUUUUCUUCUAACUAUGUCCUUCCAAAGAAACUCCCUUCAGUGAUUNNNNNNNNNNNNNNNNNNNNNNNNNNNNNNNNNNNNNNNNNNNNNNNNNNNNNNNNNNNNNNNNNNNNNNNNNCCCCUCAGAUAUACACAUAGGCACACAGCUCCAACCCUCCGACUAAUGACAGUUCUAAUUAAGCAAAGUUCAUUUUGUUCCUAAUAGUUUUAGGAAAAACUUUCUUAGGGGAAUCAUGGAUUCACUCUAGUUAACUAUAUUUUGGUAACAUGAUUCAUAUUUUCACUCAGGCUCAACCUUCUUACGCCCACAGGCCACAGCCUUUUGUUGCAACGCUUUUAUGCAAGACUCUAGCUCGUUAGCCUCCAUGUUUGUUGCUGCAAGGGAUUGCUUCGCCCUCGCGAUGAGUUGGUUUUGCUUGCUGAUCUUACGGUAGUGGAACAACACCCUCACACCAUGUUCUGACCUUUUAUUCGAAAGAUGUGUGAGAUUGCAUAUAAAUGUGGUGGUACAUCUAAUUUCUCAAACAAUGCUAACUCAAAACAGAUUAAACUGACUUAUAGUAAUUUGUAUCUCCUUUGGUGGAGUUUAUUGGGGCCAAUUGCAUCACGCCUUGAUGACCAAUCUGAUCAGUGGCGGAGCUAGACGGAAAUAUUUAUUUUGGGUGGGGUGCAAAACACGGAUCAUUAGUACUUGGGGUGAUAAAAAUAUAUAAUCUGAGCCCUCCUAAAAAGUUUCCCUUCACAACUUUAUCCUGGGUUGGGGGCCAUGCCCCCCCCCCCCCCUAAGUGCACAUAGCUUCUCCUCUAAAUCUGACGGAGCAGAGAAAAUGAAAAGAAAAGACAUGGGCUUUAAACUAUCUUUCUAAAGUUUAUGAUAAAAAGGUAACUUGCAUUGCUCAAUGUUAUUUUACGAAGACAUAAAAUAUGGCAAGGGAAAUGCAAGGAAAAUUCUUGGCGACUCAAUAUUCUCUGCCAAAAGAAUCUAGUCGGUACAAAAAUCAGAAAAGUUCUCAUCAGCCAUAAAAAUUGCACAUGUAAUAUAGUAUCACGUUUGUUCUACAACAAAUUUUAUAGAAUGCUUUAUUAAGAAAUGACAUCGAUAAAUAGUGAAUAAUUUCUAGAAUGAUAAUCAAGUCAUUUCGUCUGUAGUUUUUGGUGGUUUGAAAUUUGAAUAAUAGAAGAUUCAUUGUGACUGAAAUGUACACUUUAUUGCUAAGCCAACGUGCAUGUGUUGUUGUUUCCACGAAUUGAGCAAUCAUACUUGCAUAGAAACCACUCAAGUAAAAAUAGCUUGCUUAUCUCAUAUUACUAUGACAAUAGAUCUUCACAUGUAAGAAUAUUAUUCUUUGGGAAAAGUCCAUUUUACUACCCUGAAGAAAGUUGGUGGUUCACAUAAUCCCUGACAUUUAUUUCUGCUCCUUUCACCCCCAAAUAAUCCCAUACCGGUCAAAAUCAAUCCCUGGGUGGUUUAACUCGACUGGAUGCUGACAUGACAAUGGUCAACGACGGUUUUGACCUAUGUGUGGUCCUCCCUUGUCAGGUGGGUGGCGGUGGCCCAGUCGUCGGGCAUCCUCGUCCCUCUCCUCGUGCAGGAGGUAGCAGGGGGCGCUACAACUACGAAGGCGACGCGGGGAGGCGAGGGGGGCGACCAGAUCCAAGGGUGGCGGCCCCAUCUGGCCUGGUUCCGGUCGGAUCUAGAGUCCGAAGGGGGUGUGAAGAUGGAAAGGCGGCGAGCUUGUGGUGGCGACGACCCAACUAUCGGGCAUCGCCGUCCCUCUCCUCACGUGGGAGUAGCAGGGCAGUGGUGGUGACGCUGCAGCGACGCAGGCGGCGGGGGAGGCGGCGAGGGGGCGGCCCCAUCUGGUCUGGUUGCGGUCGGAUCCAGAGUCCGAUGGCGGUGUGAAGAUGGCGCGAUGGCGAGCUUGUGGUGACAGCGUGACUUGUACCUGAGAGAGAUACGAGGGAGAGUUUGGGUGAGAGAAAAGAGAAGGGAAAGGAAGGAGAAGCAAAGUGCUCGGGGUGGCGGCUUGGAACUCCGGCGGUCGCUGGUGUUAGCCGUAGGCGGUGGGGUCGAGUGCGAGGGCGCGGUGCUCGAGAGGAUGGCGGCUGCGAGGGGAGGUCGGGAGGAGCUCCUCUAUCUCAGCCCAGCCUGACGAGGGAGACCCACCGCAGGUCAAAACCGUCGUUGAUCAUUGCCACAUCAGCAAUAAAUCGACUGAAACCACCUAGGAAUUGAUUUUGGCCGGUAUGGGAUUGUUUUGGGGGUGAAAGGAGCAGAAAUAAAAGAUAGGGUUAUAUGAACGACCAACUUUCUUCAGGGUAGUAAAAUAUAUUUUUCUUAUUCUUUAGAAAAAUGUACUUAUAUCAGAAAAACGAUGGUGAUGUUACAAAAUCUAGCAAAGCAAGACGAUGGUGGAGUUGUUACUAUGAUGAUUGAUCAAGAAUUGCAUCUAUCCAAGUUCUUUUUACCUUUCUUUAUACCUACUAGUGCUACUGUGCCAUAAAAAAUGGUGGGAUUGCAAAGAAAGUCGUGUGAAGAAUCUGGCACAUAAACCAUGAAAGAAGAUGGAAAUCUAAUUAAAAAUAAAAGAACAACAAUACAUAUUUUGAGCUGUUAAGCCAUGGAUCACCUCACCAAGCCAUGCUGAAACUACUAGUAUUUUUUUGCAAAUAAAUUCUUGCAUUACUCAGAGCUUAAGAGUUACAAUCCGGUUCGACAAUAUUCAGGACCUCAUCUGGACCAGAGCCUAGCCAAACCGCAUUUCGGCGUUGCAACCUACCAAAAUUGGCCAUGAAAUGACUAGCCCUAUUGCAACAUCGACGGAUAUGAGUAAUGCAAGAAUCUCUCUCUCUCUCUCUCUCUCUCUCUCUCUCUCUCAUACUACUAAUGACCUCUUUGAUAAUAAAAGCAUACUUUCACUUAUUUCCUUCUCCUCCUUUGAUCAUUGUUACCACUUCAAGACUGUCUGAUGAUUCGAUCACAAUCGGCAAACUGCUCCAUUGUAAAGCUAGCAUAACACCUUCGAAGAUAGCAAGUAGCCCAGCUUCCAGAAUAUCAGUGCACGUGAAUAGGUACCUGCAGGAGCUGAAAAUUAUGACACGCUCAUCGUCCAUAACGAUCAUACGGGCCCCUGCACUACCCUCUGAAAUCGAUCCAUCAGUACUCAAUUGAACUUUUCCCACCUCUGGUCUAGUCCAAGGACUAACCGUAGAAUUACAUUUAUUAUUAUUUUUACAUGUGGACCAAUCAUGAUCGUGUACCAUGGUAACCGCUGAUUUGCCCUUGAAAGAAUCAUUUGGGUUACAAUGCAAGGUUUGUAGUGGUGUUAGGUAGCUGGACAGAAACCGAACAGAUACGUCGAUAGGAGACGCCGGCUUAGAGUGAACAAUCUCAUUCUUGACGUACCAAAUCCUUCAAAGCAACAUCAUUAGGCAAAUACGAGAGGGCUCAUUAGUUUCAACAAUUAAGUUUAUGAACCACUCUUUGUCGGGUUGAAUUUGGGUGCGAUCUGGGAGAUUCCAAACUGCCAACCUUAUUGUCCCAAGUAGCAAGAGAAUUAACUGCAAGACGCCAUGAGAAGGACUUCACCAUGGGGGAGUUGGGCAUCACUAAAUGGCUUUCCACAUGUCCCUCCUGCCAUCCGGUUGAGCAGUAGAUGAUGCAAUCAACGGGGUUUGCAAUAGCGUCAGCUGCUAACUUGUAUGCAGACCGAAUAGAAAAAUGCGGCUUUUCUCAGGAGUCCAUGCAACAAAAUCAUCAUCGAAACGUUCCGAGGGCCUUAGGUCCUCUUUGUUUCACAUGAUUUUCAAAACUCGGGAAUAGGAAUAACAUAGGAAUAGAGUGGCAUGGCACCUUAAAUACUGCAAGACUAAGAUUUUUGUGUGUGAUUUCAUGGAUGUUUGACUAUGCAUAGGGAAAGCAAGCCCUUUUUGGUUCAAAGGAUUUUCAUAUGUGAAUUUUCGAGGAUAGGAAUCCGUAGUAAGUUUUUAAUGAUGGUUGUUUGAUUCACAUGAUCGAAUCAUAUAAGAAUUUUUCCUAAGGACUCAUCUAUACUACAUUCCAUAGAAAGUUCAACAUCCACUCGAAUCUCUUGCAAGUAAUCCUUUUUCCUAUGAUGCAAUGAAACAAACCAAAAAUCAUGUAUGAUUCAAAUGAGCAUGAAAUUACAAUCCUAUGCUUUUUAUUACUGCAUUUUUGGAAUGUGCGAAUCAAAGAUGUCCUAAAUUUAAAAAGCAUAUGGUUUGCAAUUCUACAAAUGAAAAAAUUCUUAAGGAUUAGAAUCGUCUAAAAUUUCUUUAAGAAUCAUUUGAAUCAAAGAAGCCCUUGUAUCCUCAAGAAUUUCUUAGAGGCGACUGUGUUAUACUCUUAAGAUUUUUUUACUCAUGUACUAGCCCAUGUUAGGAGAAGUAAGCGAGGUGUGUUUGAUAAAUCUUGCAAGAAGCACAAAUAGCUUACCCUUUUUAAAAGGAAAAAUGGUAGUUUUACACCCUAAAGAGGAGUGGCAAAUCUUUCUCCGCUUCAAAAUACUUGAAGUUAGGUCUAUAUAGAAACAUACCAACUACAAGCAAAAUUAGUUUAUAAUCAUAAAAUGUACUUAUGCUAUAUAUAUUUGAUAUUAUGGAUGUUAGUAAAUAUUUAUACAAUUUGACUUAGGACAAACAUAAAACCUCAAGUAUUUGAAAACGGAGGGAGUGUUUUUUUUCUGGUGGAACCGGCAGCAAACAGUUUUCUUUUUCUGUUUUUAUGGUAUUUUUUUAUUUUCGCGAGGCUUGCUGCACCCGGGAACCUCAUCUACUCGCAAAGAAAUCAGGCCAUUUUCCAUGUAUGGCCCAUUUUCACCCUUACAUAAAAUACAUAUAUUAUACACUCAAAAUACCAAGGUGGGUUAGCCGCCGCCACGCCUCUCAUCCAAACCAUUUUCUGUACGGCCCAUUUGACGAGACAACAAAAGUUUCAGCAAACAACGAUUGAAACUAAGUGCUUGAGAGCCUUGAUGAUGUGGGUGUGUUAGCAAGUUACUCUAGAAUCAUGUUGUCCUUACAUGCCUUUCACUCCCUAAUUCGUAUUUUCAUUGCUCAAAGAAAGAAAAACUCUUAUGUGCAUUCCCGACAAACAAUUGUUAACUAGAGGAAUAGAAUUAAGUGCUACCAUGUUAUUUUAUCCAGUUGAGCAAGAACUUUUAGUUGAUUAUAUUUGCGUCACUAACAAUUGCAUAACAAUGUCACUGCCACAACUAUACUAAGCUUUCUGGUCAAGAAGCGGAGGGCUAUCAGGCAUACCAAUCGUAAGUGAACCAAAACCUUCUCGCUACUUUGUCUUACACAACUGAGUUCCUUAUAAUUUGGAUUUCUCUCUAUGUUGCUUGAGACGAUCAAGUUUAAGCUUGUGGGAGUUGAUGAGUGUUAUCUUUACACUCGUCUAACCUAAGUUUAAACCAAAAUAUUUCAUUAAAAUGAUAUAUUCGCUCUGAUAUUGCCACUGAUGACUUAUGAAUGCAAAGGAUUUCAAAUAUCCGACCUAUAUUUCGUUUCCAUGGGAAGUGGGUUAUUUAUGGACGAAAUCAAGCCAACACAUGGAAAGGAGUAAAGUGGAGAUUGAGAAGAUCAAGUGGGAGCGCCAGAGCAGAAGAUGGCGUUCCAUACGACCGCGCCUACUCGUACGGGCGGUCCUAUGGACUGCCAACGAAGGCGCCUGAUCCACCUGAACAACCUUUAUAAAAGGUCCGAUGCCAAAUGAGCAACAGAAAAUCGUAGAACAAGCCAACCAUCUUCACCAUAGCCAUCUCCAUCAACCCGAACCGCCGCUAUUUCUCAUCUCCACGGCCACAACCUUCACCACCACCAUAGUUCUCAACAAACUAGUCAUACUUAUAAUUGUGUAUCACACACGACAUCCAUUCUAAGACAUAUUAUCAAUCACUCAAAUCUCCAUGAUGUGUUCUUCGAUGAGUUCUUCGUGUGAUCUGAUCUCCAUGUGUUCGUAAUUCGGUAAGUUCAUUGGUUGAGGCAAGAGCCUUGCAACCUGAUGUAUUUGUUGGAGGGAUCGAUGGAAGUUCUUUGAAUGAACGUAUCAUAUGUGUAGCAUAAAGUUUCUUCGUAGUUGUCUCUUGUCUCGUUCAUGUUCUUCAUCCUUGCAGGUACCGAGGAUCAUGGAGAGCGACUUGCGGAGAGGCUAAGGGCAGGGAGGACGUGAAGUGUUAUUCUGAACACCAAUGACAGAAAGGUUUAGUACGGUAACACGGAUCUAAUCCUUGGAGAUUCAAGAGGUGUACUCAUUAAACACACAAUGCUUUUGUCUAAUCAUUGCAAUCUUAAUUACCUAUGCAGCCCCGCGCUAUGGAUAGGACCUUCGGUUGGACAACUAAUUCUUUAUGCACGACACGUGUCGGUCAAGACGUAAUUUGACACAUCCCCAACUUUGAUACAUAGCAAGAACAUCUUGAUGGAUGGAUACCGGAGCAUAAAUUGAGAUCAUGAUGAUCCCAACACAAAUAUAUGGUUGAAAGCAUUGGCUUGUUUUACGAUCCAGUCAAAAGCUGGAAUUUAACUCUCUACAAAAGCUUGUCUAAGACCCUAGCUUAAAAUGCACCAUCCUCUAGUGUGUUUGAUAACUCAGUUUCACCUUUGAGGGAAAAAGCAAGAAUCCUUUCUGCUCCAUUCCCAGAUCACUAAAGGAACUAAUCAGUAAACUACAACGAUGAGAUAUCCGCACCAAUCAUUUAACGACAUCACAUGGACGACGAGGUUCUUCAACAGCAAUGCGCGCGGGAAACGAGAGGGAGAGAUACACAAGCGUUGCUGCACCGGAUCCAACCACAAGGCCAAAAUCUAGGCUUUCAUCUUGAAUAAUCACUCCUACAUAUCCGAGCAAUGCCUUCAACGAGGUAACGAUGUAACAAAAACAUCAACAUUGUUAGGUAUAACCACUCGGGUCUGACAUAAGCUUUCGCCCCGAAGCUCGAGACUGGAUGCUUGAGUAGCACCGCUAUCGAAGUCACUCAUGUGUUAUCACCAACAUUUUUCGCGAUCCUAUCAACAACAUGCUAUGCGACCAUCACCAUUGCACCACCAUCACUUCGUGCCAAAUCAUUAUUCAUAAUUUGCAUCUCACUACUGGAGUCAACCAUCGGAUCAGGAGAGAUGACCCCUCCCAAAGACCUUUUGGUAACAACCAGAGUACACUGUCGGUCUCACCGCGGAAACAGGGAUAACUCACCUUUUACCUCAGAGACCCCACUUUCUUCUGAAACGUUCUCCAGAGAUCCCAUAUCAGAAGGUUUUGGUUUUCCAUGAAUGUGUGUCAACAAGUGGCCAUGAAAGCCGAGGUUUAGGCGUCAUCGAUGUUGGACAAAGUCUGGACAUAACAAUUGGGUUCCUUUUCCUUGAACUUCUAGAGUUUCUUGAGGCGACUAUGUGUCCCCCAUCGACUCUUGAUGAUCUUCCACUCAUGGACCGGCCCACGGUACGAGAAGUAACAUAUGUGCAGAUAUCAUUUUCUUUUCACUGGGGCUAUAUCUUGCCCAUUGCGAGACAUAAGUUAGUCUCGCCUUCAACGCCGAUGCGAAUGGGCCAACCAACCAAGAGAUUUUUCUGUGCACGUAGGAAAGUUCGUCUACUUUUUUAUUCAUUUAUGUCUUCAAUUAACUCAAAGUUCUUUCUUUUUCUUUAAAGAAUUGUGCCUUCCUUCUUCUUGUAAGCAAUGUUUUUCUUUUUAUUUGGUUUGGUUAUUUUUGAUAUUUGUUUUUUCCUUUUGGUUUUCUUUUUCUUGUUUAGUUUUCUAGUAUUAUUUUUUUGGGUUUUUUGUUUUUCUUCCAUUUUUUUAUUCUCCAUGGUUGUUUAUUGGUUCUCUUUUAUUUUUCGUUUUUUUCCUUUUCCUUUUUAUUUAUUUCUUUUUCUUUUUUAUCAUCUUUUUUCAAGACAUGUUGUAAUUUUUUUGUAUACAUUAUUUUUAUACAUGUUGAGCAUUUUAAAAAUGCAUGGUUAAUAUUUCCAAAUACAUGUUUUGAAUAGACUUUAAACAUUUUUAAAUACAUGUUGACCUUUGAAAGAUUUUUAUAUUAUAUAAACAUCUUCUUAAAAUGGCAUCGACAAAAUUUAAAAAUGUAUGAUUUUCUAAAUGUAAUUUAUUAUUUUUCAAAUGGUACAGAUCAUUUUUAAUCUACAGGGACUUGUUUCACAUUGUAUAUUUUUGUAAAAUGCCAAGAACAUUUUUGAACGGUGCAAAACAUUAACUUUUUACAUUAUAUAACAUUUUUUAUAUUGCCUUAACAUUUUAUUGGAUAGUACAAUUUUUUAAUAUAAUUAUGCGAACGUUUCUUACAUAUUGUAGUUGCCACGAACAUAUUUUUGAAAUGCCUUUAAAAAACAUAUUUUUGAAAUGCAUGGACAUCUUUUUAAUGUUACAAACAUUUCUUCAAUGCUAUCAACAUUUUUUAAAGCCAAGCUGGCCCAGCCCCUUGAACCGCUCCCUCUUUUUUCUGAGAGAAACGUUGGCAAAAAAUCGGAGGCAAGUAGUUUUUCGGAUUAUCGUGGGGUUCUCUGAGCCCAGCAACCUCAUCUAUACCAGCGUCCAGUGCGGCAGUGCCCAUUUCCCCUUACGGCCCAUUUCCAUCUUGAUAUAUAUAGCACUAGUACAUGGCACUGCACUCAAAUACCAAGGCCGCCGCCACGCCUCUCAACAAAACCAGGACCAGAUCCGAGCAGAUCGCAUGGGCAAGCGGCGAAAGAGGAGCAACCUCGCCGUCGUCGAGGAGCAACCGUCCCAAGAACGCGGCCACGAAGAGGAAUGGUCAGUUCAAAAUUGUUCCCCCGUCCUCUGUCCUGAUUUCUCUUGCUUUUCUGACGAUGGUCUACACACGAGCAGGCGAGAUUGGCUCAACCUGCCGACGGCGCUCGUCGACGACAUCGCCGACCGGCUGCUCAGCCACGACCUGGCCGAGUACAUCCGCCUCCGCGCCGCGUGCAACGAGUGGAGGAGAUGCACCGCCGACCCGCGCGCAGGGGCGGAGCUAGGCUAAUGCAAGGUAUGCAAUGCAUACCCAAUCUUUUUUGCAAAAGAAAUUCAAUAUAUAAGCUCCUAUAUGCUUUUAUAUCACAUAUGACAAUCUUUUUGUACGUACAGAGAAGAGAAACAAAGAAAAGAACGAUUCCAGUGCCACUUGGCGAAGAUUGGGCUACUACGUUGCUAGUUAGUGCUACUGGGCCUUAUCAUUGAGGCAAUGAUGCGGCUGGCCGAUUGACAAAGCCGAGGAGACAACACGACCUGGAACGUGUCGCCUCGAUCGUUCGAUUCAACCGCCGCUGCGCUGCGCUGCGCCUCCUCCGCCGCCUGUGACGCACAUCGUUGCGCCGCAUGCCCGUAUCUGCCAUUGGCAUAGUCGCCGAUCUGCCAUCUUGGAUCUUGCAGAUCGAUCUCCUCGCGCCUGUUCGCUGCUUCGCCUCCAAUUGAGAAACGGCGGCCGCCGCGGCACCACCGGUGCACACAUAUCAGGCACCGAUUCCUGUGAUUGUUUUUUUUUUUGAGUUAGCGAGUGUUCAAUCUUGAUUUCUCCUAUUUGUUAGAUAAGAUGAGAUGAUUGUUUUCACUCCCUAAUUUUGUUUCCAUUGACCUAUUGUAGCAUCCAGUAAAUUUUGGAUGUGGUUUGCAUUGGCUUGCUAGAAAACUUGUAAAGCAGUACAGAGAAAACAAGGUGAAUCUCAUGCAUAUAAAUUUCUGAAUUAUGAAUAUUUGAAUUUGUGAGACUGCCCACCAUGCCCGUAUGCCGCCAUCACUAUCUAACAUGUUUCUUUUGUUAUUAUUAUGAAAUUUUCUAUUUCUUACAAUGUCGUGAAGCAAAUUUUUUUACCACGCAUACCCAUAUCGAAAAUCCUGGCUCCGCCACUGCCCGCGCGAGGGAUGCAACCACCUGGACCCGCGCUUCCGCCUGCGCCGCCGGAUCAUGCUGUCCAACCGCACCGACGGCGACGGUCGCCGCUUCCUCAACCUCUCCACCGGCGCCAGCGCCCGCGCAGACCUACCACCGAGGGCCUCUUGCUCCUGCGUGACAAGGCGAGCCACGCCGUGCAGCUCCUCAACCCGCUCACCAGGGCCCUCACCGACCUCCCGCCCGUCACCGCGGACCUUGGCGGCGCAUACGCCGUCUGGACGGGGUCGUUCCAGUCCGCGGCGCGCAUCAUCUACGCCGGCGUCUCUGACGAGACCUCCCCAUCAUCAGUCGUGCUCCUGAUGGCUGGCCGUCACCUUGGGCGUGCCAUAGCCUACGCCAAUCCUGGUGACCAGCGUUGGGCGGUGGUGGAUGACGAGAUGUGGAGGCCCGGCAUCCCCAUGUCAUGUCGAUUCUCGUCGGCCUCAACCAUGCAGGGGCGCAUCUACUUUGCGACUGUCGAGGGGUACAUAAUACAGGUGAGGCUCUGCCCAGAGCCUCGUCUGGUGCCCGUGGUGGUGGACCAGCCCAACACCAAAUACAACAUGUUCUGCUACCUCGUCCCUCCCGAUGACGACCACCGUCGCGGCGGCAACAUGCUCAUGGUGCGCUACUACCUCAACCUCUAUCACCUCAGCGAUGAAGAGCGGAGAAUCAUGACGCGCAAGAGGAAGGUCAGGGACGUCAUCAGGGUGGAGCACCUUGUGAAGGAGCACCGGUGGAACCUAAUUCAGGUGUUGGAGGUGGAUGUGGCCGGGAAGCGGCUUGUUCCGGUGGAGGACAUUGGCCGGCACCGCGCCGUGUUUGUCGGGGAUGUGGCCUGCUUCUCCCUCUCGGUCAGGAGGUUUCCAUGCGUGGCAGGGAACGCGAUACACAUGGGGGCGCUUGGGGCUCGCUGCCCUCCUGUCGGCGUGCGGUAUCUGGCCGACAAGACUGCUGAUCUGUCGUUUGUGUUCGCCACCGACGUGCCAGGGCUUCUAGACGAUAUAUCAGUGAAACGGUACCGCCAGAGGAUACCGGAGCUGAAUCUAGUGCCUCUUGCUCGCCCUUGUACACUCCAAGAGUACCUUGUCUGUUGCGCUCUCGUCCUUGGCGGUCUCAAAGACUAAUUCAAGAGGUCAUCAUCAGCAACUUAAAGAAAGCAUGUUGUCUCCUCCUCUGUUCAUUUCUCAUUGUGUUGAAUCAAAAAAAUCUGAAAGAUGGACAGAACUGUUGACACCUAAUUUUGGCAAGAUACAGAUUGUAAUGGAGAUGGUCUCGGGUGAACGGGUUUUCAGCAUGAAAAGAUUCACGUCGCCGAGUGAAACCACUUUGAUGUUUUGGUUAUAUUCAUUCGACUUUAUCUUACGGACCGAAACUAUAUUCCGAGUGGCAUAAUUCAAUGUUCUGAGUGGUUUUUGGCCAAUCACGUCUCCAAAAUGACCUCAGAUGAAGGAGCACUCUUAAGGAAUUGUCUUCGUCUCGUCGAGGCAAUCAAUUUUGAUAUAUAAAUCAUCUCAAUCCGAGUUCAUAUGCAAAAGUUAGAGGCAAUACACUGCAGACCGAACUUCAACAGAAAUAUGGGGUGAGGUGCCAGACACUUGUCUAAUAGGUUGCGCGAGUAAUUCGGCCAUCAAGACGGCCUUGAAUCGAAAAACCUUCAACACGGAAAAGUUUCGUCUCGUCGAGCCAAUCGAUUUUCAUAUAUAAUUUGUCUCAAUCCGAGGUCGUAUGUGGCUUGGAGAGACAAAUCAAGAUCGGGCUAUGUUUUCAGUCGGAAAUCCGAGUGAAAAGUUUACCAUCCGAGUGGAAGUUUACGGUCGAGUGAAAAUUUACCGGUCGAGUGAAAGUUUGCUGACCGGAUGAACUUAUUAUUAUCCAAGUGGAAAUAUAGUCAUCCGAGUGGAAAUAUAAUCAUCCGAGUGAAAUUGUCGUCCAGGUGAAAAUAUUCUGAGUGAAAAGAUUACCAUCAGGACGAAAACUUGCCGAUUGAAUAAGAUAGUGCCUUCCGAGUGGAAAUAUAGUCAUCCAAGGGAAAGAUUGUCUUCCGAGUGAAAAAGUCCAAUCGGACGAUCCGAGUGAAAGUAUCUAAUAUCCGAGUGGAUGAGCUCAAGUCCGAGUGAAAUUGAACAUGUGCUCGAAAGUUUAUCAAAAUGACCUUGGAUGAAGAAGUGUUCAAUACAGAAGUUGUGCGUAUCAUCAAGAUGGUAAACUUUGAUUUUGGAGUCAUCAUCAUCAGAGAUAAUAUAUAGCCCACAAAUUCACUACGAGACUCGGAUAAUCCAGUCUACUGCAAGACCGAGUCCGACUGGAAGAUAAGGAUGAUCUCGAGAAGUAUUCAAGAUGGCCUUAUUUGAAAAAGUGAUCAACAUGAGAGUUGUUCAUAUCGUCAAGGCGCACAAGUUUGAUAUUUGGGCCGUCUCGAUCGGAGAUCAUAUGCAAGCCCGGCGGCCCGCGCAAGAAGAAAGACAGAGUUUGGGCCAGAUUCAGACUGAAUCCGAGUUGGAAUAGAAUUAGGACUCUAGGGCGUGAAUUGAUGUAAUUUUUCUUGUAAGAAAAGCCUAGAUGAAUCCUUUACUUGUACGGGAAGUCCAGCCGCCUCUUAUAUAUGUUGGGGAUGACGGCCGAUUGAACAACACACAAUCGAACAAAUCAAUAUACUACUUUUUCAUCUACGUUUUAUCUCUCCACUGUUUUUCUCUCUCGUUCUUCGCUGUUCUUCGUGUUUGAGAGCUGCGAAUUCCGAGGCUCUAGGGGCGAGCGAAUCGACCUAGGGCAGCCCAUAGCCGCCGCACUCCCUGACGGGGUCCCUCCCGGGGGUGUGGGGUUUUCGGGUCUGCAAAAGCGCCCGUCGACUGUCUUGCGUAUCGCGUUGUCGGUCGGGUCUCCUUCGACGUUAGCUGCGGUGCAUCACCCCCGGCGUCGAGGGUACACGUGACGUGAUCGUGUGUCAACACACUUUUUGGCGACUCCGCUGGGGAUCGAAGAUCAAUCAUCAUCAUCCACCAUGUUCGAUCUUCCCAAGCCAUCUGAGGUAGACGCCGAUAACAUCAUUAAGCCCAGUCUUGAUGAGGUAUCGGCCGAUCAUCGCGAAGUCUAUGAGGAGUACAAGAAGGCACGUGAGGAGAAGGACCUGCAGGAGUUCCUUGCAAAAUUCAAGAAAGAUCGCUCAAGUUCCCUCCUUUUCAAACUGAACAGGUUAAACCCUCUGUAAGUACUGCCUUUUCUCCUGAGCAGUGGGCUGAGAUUGAAAGUCGUAUGUUGAUGGUAACAAUCUAGUCUAUCAAACUUUUAUAGAAAAUACUAAUGCUUAGAAGAAUAUAUCUCAAUCGUCUAGUGGUAAUAAUGGUGUAGCUGCUAGUGUGCAAAACCCUAAUCUGGCUUUACCUAUUGCAUCGGCGCCUCCCGUGUCGAUGGCUUAUUAUCCUACCCAAACAAAUCAGAUUGUGGCUACACCCAUUAAUCCUAUUAUGAGCAUGACAGGUUCGGUGGCAAUGCUGAACCAAACUCUACCUAAAGCUACAACCACUCGACCACUACCAAAUUAUGGGUCGACAUACAUGCCACAAUUCCUACCCACAACUAGCAACCCUACUCCUUCUAUGCCAAUGCCACAAGAUGCAUCGUCCACUAUGGAUGAUGGUCUAGCUAAUCUUAGAGAGGAGAUGGCUAAGAUGCUUCGAGAAAAUUUUGGAGUUUAGUUACCUCGGAAUCGGAUUUACCAAAAGCCGUACCCUGAGUACUUUGAUGCCAUCCAGUGCCCUCCGGGAUAUAAGAUUCCAGAUUUUGUUACACUACUGCUAGGAAAAGGCCUACUAAUGGCGCACCAGUUUUGCCUACUAAUGGCGCAUCACUGGUAAUUUUUACUAAUGGCGCACCACUGGUGCGCCAUUAGUAUCUGGUAUACUAAUGGCGGCCACGGUGCGCCAUUAGUAUAGGCCACUGAUGCGCCAUUAGUAUAGGCCACGGUGCGCCAUUAGUAUUUUUGAAUUUUGAAGGCGGGAAAAUAGUAGUGGCGCACCGUCUAACCCCCACUGUGCGCCAUUGCUAUUUUUGAAUUUCGAAUUUGGAUCUGGACCGUGAUUUUUUGCCCAUUUUUUGCUAGUUUUUUGCUCGUUUUUUGGCACGAUAUUAUUUCAAAUUUUGUUCCUGUUUUUGGAUCUUGUACGUUCUUUUGCCGUGUUGUUUUGCCGGAGAGGAGUUCGCCGGAGAGGAGGAGGAGGAGGCCACCGGAGAGGCGCUCGCCUACAUCGCCGGAGAGGAGGAGGAGGUCGCCGGAGAGGAGUUCACGGAAGCAUCGGAGAGGAGGAAGGAGAAACCAUGAGGGAAUGGGAGGAGAGGAGGGAGGAGGAGCUCAUCGGAGAGGAGGGAGGAGAAACCGUGAGGGGAGGGGAGGGGAGGAGAGGAGGGAGGAGGAGGUUCCCGGAGAUGAGGAGGUCGCCAGAGAGGAGGAGGUCACCGAAGAGGAGGAGGAGGUCGCCGGAGAGGAGAAGGAGGUCGCCGGAGAGGAGGAGGAGGAUGUCGUCGGAGAGGAGGAGGGUAGUAUGGUGGAGGAGAGAAGGGAAGAUGGAGUGGAGGAGAGGAGGAGAUGAAGUGGAGGAGAGGAAAGGAGGAGAUGGAGUGAAGGAGAGGUGGAGUGGAGGAGGUGCGCCCAGCCAAUAUACGACAUAGUAAUGGCGCACCGUGGGCAGGUGCGCCAUUACUAACUUUUUUUUAUUUUUUUUUGAUUUAUUUUGAAUUUUGAAGGCGAGAAGAUACUAAUGGCGCACCAUGGGCAGGUGCGCCAUUAGUAACUUUUUUUUUAUUUUUUUGACUUAUUUUGAAUUUUGAAGGCGGGAAGAUACUAAUGGCGCACCAUGGGCAGGUGCGCCAUUAGUAACUUUUUUUUAUUUUGUUGACUUAUUUUGAAUUUUGAAGGCGGGAAGAUACUAAUGGCGCACCAUGGGCAGGUGCGCCAUUAGUAAGUUUGAAUUUUUUUGCCUCUCCAGAUCUUAAAAGCCUCGUAUCUUUUUUCUGUUAGGUUUUUGAGGAUUUUGAAAAUGUUUAACGGGGUUCCCCCGGUUAAAUUCGGAUGUAACUUUUCGAGUAGAUGAUUUUUCAUAUAAAAAACUUUUUUAUCCGAGUUCGUACGCAAAAGUUAUGCCCAUUUUUACAAAUUCUCGAGAGAUUUUGCAAAAAAGUCGAAAAUUCAUGUUUGUAAAUUUUGCUAACAACUAGACCACAUAUCACAUGGGAAUCUUAUUUUCUUUUAUUUUUUGACAUUUCUAUCAUUUUCUUUUAUUUUCUUUGAAACUGAAAAGGCGGUCCACAAGGGGGGGGUGCAUUUGGGCGAAUGUUUGGGCCAAGUUACUAAUGGCGCACCGUGGCAUGGUGCGCCAUUACUAAUUGAACUAGUAAUGGCGCACCACUCCCACGGUGCGCCAUUAGUAGUUUUGAAAAAAUUAAAAAAAUUUUACUAAUGGCGCACCGUGGACGUGGUGCGUCAUUAGUAUUUGCACACUAAUGGCGCACCAACACAUGGUGCGCCAUUAGUAUAUAGUAAUGGCGCACCACAUGUCUGGUGCGCCAUUAGUGUCAAUUCCAUCUAUGGCCCUUUUUCUAGUAGUGUUAAGUUCAAUGGAGAGGGCACAAAAACCACAUGGGAGCAUGUUAGUCAAUACUUAGCACAACUAGGUGAAGCAGGCUCACUAAGUGAGUUGAAAGUGCGUUUGUUUCCUUUAUCUUUAACUGGUACUGCAUUUUCAUGGUUUUCUUCUUUACCACAUGGUUCCAUUCGGGUUUGGUCGCAGCUAGAGCAGAAAUUUCAUGAUCACUUUUAUAGCGGCGACAAUGAACUCAAGUUAUCACAUCUAACAUCGGUUAAACAGAAGCAUGAUGAAUCGGUCUCCGAUUACGUCAAGAGAUUCACAGAAACAAAAAACCGGUGUUUUACUUUGGUGAUAACCGAGAGAGACUUGGCAGACCUAGUGCUGAGUGGUUUGAGAACUCCCAUUAGAGAAAAGCUAGAAGGUUAUGAGUUCUUAAAUAUCAACCAAGUCUUACAAAGGGUUUUGGCUCAGGAAAGCCGAAGCAAAGAUCUCAAAAAAGUGCAUAGAUACAAAGCCGAUCGUCCAAAGAUGAAUAUGGUGGAAUAUGAUAGUGAUCACUCGGAUGAUGAGGGUGAUGUUUUUGCGACUGAAUUUGUUUGGCCAUCUAAGACCAAACCCUUUACUUGCAAUGAUCUGAAACCGAUUCAUAAGAAUCGUGAUGAAGAGAUGAAGUUUACUUUUAACAUUGCUAAGUGUGAUAGAAUAUUUGAUGCUUUGCUGCAGGCUAAGAUUAUUAGAAUAUCUCAUACUUCACCGCCGUUUGAAGAGCUAAAACGGCGUGCUUAUGGCAAGUAUCAUAAUUCUUUUUCUCAUGCUACUAACGAUUGCAAUGUUUUUCGACGACAGAUACAAUCGGCCAUUAAUGACGGACGAUUGAACUUUUCUGAGAUGCAAAUUGAUAAACAGCCUUUUCCAAUGAAUACCAUGGAUUUGGAGGGGGAAAAGCUACUCAUUUGGCCGAAGGUAGCCGAAUCUGCUAAUAAAGCUAAUGCCAUUGUUGGUGAGCCCAGAAAAGACAAUGAGGACAACAAGGUCUUGGGGAGACAGGUUGUGCUUGGUAAGCAACCCGAUGGCAAGGAAGUGAUCAAAAUCACCAUCAAGAAUCCUACACUCGGGGGGCAACUGCAAGUGCAAGAAAAUGCUCGUGUGAGAUUUGUCAAGCCCAAGAGUCCAGAAAUUGGCAAGUGGAAAAGGAAUGAAGUUAAAGUACAACACAAACGGAUCAAGCCAACUUUUGAUAUGUUGCUGUCCAAGUACACCAACCAGUCGGCCGGUUCUAGCUUUAAUCGGCUGACUCAUCUGAAGCGACCAAGGUCACCAUCAGCUGAUAUGUUCAGUCACUAUAUGAAACCGAGUGGACCAAGGGUGCCGUUUCCAGAAGAGCAUACACAAUCUGUUUGGGAUCGACUUGGCUAUUCAUAUAGAGGCCGACUGAACAUUGGUGGCUAUCAGUCGGCUGGUCAAAACAUGCGACCGAAUGGAAAUUAUCCGAGUGUAAGAAUGCACCCAGGUGGAAGUUAUCCGAGUAAAAAAAUGUGGUCAAGUAGAUUCCAUCCGACUGAAUUCCAUCCGAGUGACAUCCAUUCGAGUGGAUUCCAUCAGAGUAAAAAGGUGCACCCGAGUGGAAAUUUCAUGCAUCUGGAAAGUCGAAAGGAAUGGCGUGUUAAAUCACCAAGUGUUGCAGCAGUUGAGUCGGGAAAAGGCAAGGAGAAAAUGGAUGCCGACUCACUUAUCUUGGGCACCAAAACAUUCGCCAUACAGCAGCCGAUUGUGCAUAGCAAUCCGACUGAGCCGAUACUUUCUAUCACGCCAAAGCACUCGGCUAAUGACCAUGAAGCAAGCACCAGCCGAGUAAAAACGAGAGAUCCUAAAUACACUCAGCCAAAGUGGUGUCCUCCAGGGCUAACAAAGACACAAAAGAGGAAACUACAGAGGUUAAGGAGUCAAGAGAUGGCAGAACAAGAGGCUGAGAAGCAAAGGGAUAAGUUGUUCAAUGACACUCGGCCUAUGGUACCUACAAAAUAAGUGUGGAGGCCCAAAAAAUACAAGAUGUUGUGGCUUCUACACCUAUCACAGCAGCACCUACACUACCAAAAGAGGACGACGCAAUCAUUGCAUCGUCUACGUUACCUAUUGCUUCCUCUUCACUCGGACAAGUUUCUAAAUCGGUGGACGCACUUGAGGAGAAGGCUGAUAUGUUGGACUAUGAGUCUACACCGGUUCAUGAAGGUAUGGAUAUCAAUAUGGUGUAUUACUUACCUGCUGAGUUUCGUGCUGUAGAUGAGGAAGGGGAGGUGGCUCAGCUCGAUUUUGGCCCUAAAAACGCGAUAUUCGAGAAGCCAAAAGAACCAGUAACGCAUCUGAAACCAUUAUAUCUCAGAGGUCAUAUCAAUGGGUUGCCGCUCACUCGGAUGCUUGUUGAUGGUGGUGCUGUGGUAAAUCCUAUGCCCUAUUCGGUCUUCAGGAAAUUGGGUUUGCCUGAUGAAGAAUUGAUCAAGAACAAUAUGGUGCUCAACGGGUUUGAAGGCAAAGAGAAAACUAAAGCCAAAGGUGUAAUGUAUGUGGAGCUUACAGUCGGAAGCAAAACUUUGGCUACUGCAUUCUUUGUCGCUGAGGUGCAAGGUAACUACAACGUUAUACUAGGCCGCGAUUGGGUUCAUGCAAACCAGUGCGUGCCAUCCACUAUGCACCAGUUUUUGAUUCAGUGGGUUGAUGAUGAAGUGGAAGUCAUUCAUGCGGAUAACUCGGCUUGUGUUGCUUUGGCCGAUGCAUCGGUGGAUUGGCAACAUCCCAAUGCUACUUGCUUGACGGGACGUGACUUAUCAGAAUUUGAUUUUCUCAGCGCGACCAAGAAUGGUUUUGUGCCUGUCUCUUUAAAACCGACUGAAUGCAAUCGGCUCCAAGGUAUGAUAUGUUUAAAUGGAUCCUAAUUCCGAGUGGUUACAAAAACGUCUUGUAAAGUAUCGGUCCAGUGAGAACGAUAUGUAUGAGUCUAUAGAGGAGUUGGAUGACACGGAUAAACUUGGACAAGGUUUUACAUCAGCCGAUCCGUUAGAAGAGGUAGAUAUUGGAGAUGGUUCAGUCACACGACCGACAUUUAUAAACAAAAAUUUGAAAGCCGAUUGUAAGGCUAAGUUAAUCGAGCUAUUGAAAGAAUAUGUUUGUUGCUUUGCAUGGGAAUAUCAUGAGAUGCCAGGGUUAAGCCGAGAGCUAGUGGAGCAUCGGUUGCCUAUAAAGGCCGGUUUUAGACCUUAUAAACAAUCCGCCAGAAAAUUUAAUCCAAAAACAUAUGACCGAAUCAAGGAAGAGAUCGGUCGACUGCUUGAAGCUACUUUCAUUCGACCUUGCAGGUAUGCCGAGUGGAUUUCUAACAUUGUCCCGGUGGAGAAGAAAGGGUCCGGUAAGUUGAGGGUGUGCAUUGACUUCAGAGAUUUGAAUAGGGCUACACCCAAAGAUGAGUAUCAUAUGCCAAUAGCCGAUAUGCUUAUUAAUGAUGCUUCUGGACAUAAGGUUAUUAGCUUUCUAGAUGGUAAUGCCGGAUACAACCAAAUUUUUAUGGCCGAAGAGGACAUGUACAAGACAGCUUUUCGAUGCCCUGGUUUCCUUGGUUUAUUCGAGUGGACAGUGAUGACAUUUGGAUUAAAAAAUGCUGGCACCACAUAUCAAAGGGCUAUGAAUUUGAUUUUUCAUGAUUUACUCGGUGUCAUACUUGAAGUUUAUAUUGAUGAUAUUGUUGUCAAAUCGGAUGCUUUUGAAUCUCACUUGGCCGAUUUGCGUUUAGCUUUUGAAAGAAUGAAAACGUAUGGACUGAAAAUGAAUCCUUUGAAGUGUGCUUUCGGCGUGUCAGCUGGAAAGUUUUUGGGUUUCAUUAUUCAUGAAGAUGGUAUAGAGAUUGAUCCCAAAAAGAUAGAGGCUAUACAGAAAGUGGAGGCUCCAACAUGCAAGAGAGAUAUGCAAAAGUUCCUUGGCAAGGUCAAUUAUUUGAAAAGGUUCAUAGCUAAUCUAUCAGGGAAAGUUGAUGCAUUUACUCCUAUCCUUCGGUUAAAGAAUGAUGCUGAUUUCACUUGGGGGGCAAAACAGCAAGAAGCAUUUGAUAUGAUCAAGAAUUAUUUGUGCACUCCUCCGGUGAUGAGAGCACCCAAGCAUAGGGAACUCUUCAGACUUUACAUUGCAGCAGAGGAAGGAGUUAUUGGUGAUGUUCUAACUCAAAAGACCGAAGGAAAAGAGCAUGCCAUCACUUAUUUGAGCCGCCGCUUAUUGGACGCAGAGACAAGGUAUACAUUUAUUGAGAAAUUAUGUCUAUGCUUAUAUUAUGCUUGCACAAAACUGAGACAUUAUUUAGUGCCGAGUGUUUGUGUAGUAGCUUGUCAAACCGAUGUCAUUAAAUACAUGUUGCAUAGGCCAACUCUUAGUGGUAGAAUUGGCAAGUGGGCUUAUGCUUUGAUUGAAUAUGAUUUGGCUUAUGAAUCUCUAAAAUCCAUGAAAGGCCAAAUUGUUGCUAAUUUCAUUGUUGAACAUCGGAUUAAUAAAAAGCAUGAUGUUGAUAUGAACCUUGUUUCAUUAGUACCAUGGAGAUUAUACUUUGAUGGUUCAGUUUGUAGCAAUGGCCAAGGUGUUGGUAUUGUUUAUAUAUCUCCUCAUGGUGCUGUUUUUGAAGCCUCAUGCCGCUUAGAAUAUUUUUGCACAAACAAUCAAGCCGAAUAUGAAGCAUUGUUAUUCGGCCUAGAGAUGUUACUUGCUAUAGGUGUUACACAUAUUGAGGCUUAUAGUGAUUCGUUACUAGUGGUGCAGCAAAUAUCCAAAGUCUUUCAGUGUUUGGACGAAUCACUUAAUGUUUAUCUUGAUAAAUGUCUAGAUAUAAUCUCUACUUUGGAUUGUUUUAGCAUUGCACAUAUAUCUAGACAUGACAACUGGAGAGCAAAUGAGUUGGCACAGCAAGCAUCUGGAUACCAUGUUGAUCAUGGCAUGUUUCAUAUUUCUCAAAGUCCGAUGUCUUGUCUUACCAGUAUAGAAGAGGCCAACCAGAACCCACUGAUUCGGUCAUUGACAAAAAAUCUAGUGCAGGUGACAAUCCCGACUGGAGGAAGCCCAUUGUUGAUUACUUGUGCAAUCCGAAUGAAAGGGUGGACAGGGCUGUUCGGCAUAUGGCUUUCAAGUAUACAAUGAGAGAUGAUGGUCUUUAUCGCCGAACAGUCGAUGAUGUUCUUCUAAAGUGUUUGGAUGAGGACCAGGCAAGAGUUGCUAUGGGAGAGGUGCAUGAAGGCAUUUGUGGCACUCACCAGUUAGCUCCCAAGAUGAAAUGGUUAUUGCAACGUGCUGGGUUUUAUUGGCCGACUAUGAUUAAUGAUUGCUUCAGAUAUUAUAAAGGGUGCGAAGCUGGUCAAAAAUUUGGUGAUAUUCAAUUGGCUCCUGCUGCUAUGUUGCAUCCUGUUAUCAAGCCGUGGCCUUUCAAAGGAUGGGGUUUAGACUUUGUUGGACAAAUUCAUCCAUCUUCCUCAAAGGGGCAUCGGUUCGUAUUGGUGGCAACUGAUUAUUUCACUAAAUGGUCUGAAGCAGUACCUCUCAAGAACAUGACACAUACAGAGGUAAUUCAAUUCAUAACCGAGCACAUUAUUCAUAGAUUCGGUAUUCCUCAAACGUUGACAACAGAUCAAGGUUCAUCUUUCAUGUCACACCAAGUCAGAGAGUUUGCCGGAUCUUAUAACAUAAAGUUGCUAAAUUCCUCUCCAUAUUAUGCCCAAGCUAAUGGACAAGCUGAGUCUAGCAAUAAAAUUUUAAUCAAAUUCAUCAAGAAAAAGAUUGAAGAUAAUCCAAGGAGAUGGCAUGAGUUGUUGUUUGAAGCUUUGUGGGCAUAUAGAAUUUCAAGGCAUGGUGCUACGAAGGUGACCCCAUAUGAGCUAGUAUAUGGUCAAGAGGCCGUUUUACCAGUGGAAGUAAAUUUGAAUGCUUUGAGAAUAGCCAAACAAAAUGAUUUAUCGGCAGUAGACUUUUAUAACUUGAUGAUGGACAAUAUUGAUGAGGUUGCCGAUAAACGUUUGGUUGCUUUGAAGUCCAUAGAGAAAGACAAGUUAAGGGUUGCAAGAGCUUACAAUAAGAAAGUUAAGUUGAAGAAUUUUCAAGUUGGUGAUCUCGUCUGGAAAGUGAUUCUGCCGAUUGGUUCAAGAGAUAGAAAACUCGGGAAGUGGUCUCCAAGUUGGAAAGGUCCUUUUAGAAUUACAAGAGUUAUUUCCGGAAAUUCAUAUUUGGUGGAAUCAAUACAAGGGGCAUUGUUACCUCGAGCUCUCAAUUGCAAAUAUUUGAAGAAGUACCACCCGAGUGUGUGGCAGGAAGCCUAAGUAGGCAAUGGCUGAUAUACGAUUAUCGCCCUUAGCACAAACAUGGCCGAUACAUAAUUAUCGCCCUGAGAAAAAUAAAUGGCCGAUGAAGUGUUGAUAUCGUCCUUAGAACAAACACCAUGCAUAUUAUUUUUCGGCGUGCAAGCUUUGCCGAAAAACAGGGGGGCAUGCAUUGACACCUGAUUUUGGCAAGAUACAGAUUGCAAUGGAGAUGGUCUCGAGUGAACGGGUUUUCAGCAUGAAAAGAUUCACGUCGCCGAGUGGAACCACUUUGAUGUUUCGGUUAUAUUCAUUCGACUUUAUCUUACGGACCGAAACUAUACUCCGAGUGGCAUAAUUCAAUGUUCCGAGUGACAUAAUUCAAUGUUCCGAAUGGUUUUUGGCCAAUCACGUCUCCAAGAUGACCUCGGAUGAAGGAGCACUCUUAAGGAAUUGUCUUCGUCUUGUCGAGGCAAUCGAUUUUGAUAUAUAAAUCAUCUCAAUCCGAGUUCAUAUGCAAAAGUCAGAGGCAAUACACUGCAGACCGAACCUCGACGGAAAUAUGGCGCGAGGUGCCAGACACUUGUCUGAUAGGUUGCGCGAGUAAUUCGGCCAUCAAGACGGCCUUGAAUCGAAAAACCUUCAACACGUAAAAGUUUCAUCUCAUCGAGCCGAUCGAUUUUCAUAUAUAAUUCUUCUUAAUCUGAGGUCGUAUGUGGCUUGGAGAGACAAAUCAAGAUCGGGCUAUGUUUUCAGUCGGAAAUCCGAGUGAAAAGUUUACCAUCCGAGUGAAAGUUUACGGUCGAGUGAAAAUUUACCGGUCGAGUGAAAGUUUGCUGACCGGAUGAACUUAUUAUUAUCCAAGUGGAAAUAUAGUCAUCCGAGUGGAAAUAUGAUCAUCCGAGUGAAAUUGUCGUCCAGGUGAAAAUAUUCUGAGUGAAAAGAUUACCAUCGGGACGAAAACUUGCCGAUUGAAUAAGAUAGUGCCUUCCGAGUGGAAAUAUAGUCAUCCGAGUGGAAAUAUAGUCAUCCGAGGGAAAGAUUGUCUUCCGAGUGAAAAAGUCCAAUCGGACGAUCCGAAUGAAAGUAUCUAAUAUCCGAGUGGAUGAGCUCAAGUCCGAGUGAAAUUGAACAUGCGCUCGAAAGUUUAUCAAAAUGACCUUGGAUGAAGAAGUGUUCAAUACAGAAGUUGUGCGUAUCAUCAAGACGGUAAACUUUGAUUUUGGAGUCAUCAUCAUCAGAGAUAAUAUAUAGCCCACAAAUUCAUUACGAGACUCGGAUAAUCCAGUCUACUGCAAGACCGAGUCCGACUGGAAGAUAAGGAUGACCUCGAAAAGUAUUCAAGAUGGCCUUAUUUGAAAAAGUGAUCAACAUAAGAGUUGUUCAUAUCAUCGAGGCGCAUAAGUUUGAUAUUUGGGCCGUCUCGAUCGGAGAUCAUAUGCAAGCCCGACGGCCCGCGCAAGAAGGAAGACAGAGUUUGGGCCAGAUUCAAACUGAAUCCGAGUUGGAAUAGAAUUAGGACUCUAGGACGUGAAUUGAUGUAAUUUUUCUUGUAAGGAAAGCCUAAAUGAAUCCUUUACUUGUACGGGAAGUCCAACCGCCUCUUAUAUAUGUUGGGGGUGACGGCCGAUUGAACAACACACAAUCGAACAAAUCAAUAUACUACUUUUUCAUCUACGUUUUAUCUCUCCACUGUUUUUCUUUCUCGUUCUUCGCUGUUCUUCGUGUUUGAGAGCUGCGAAUUCCGAGGCUCUAGGGGCGAGCGAAUCGACCUAGGGCAGCCCAUAGCCGCCGCACUCCCUGACGGGGUCCCUCCCGGGGGUGUGGGGUUUUCGGGUCUGCAAAAGCGCCCGUCGACUGUUUUGCGUAUCGCGCUGUCCGUCGGGUCUCCUUUGACGUGAGCUGCGGUGCAUCACCCUCGGCGUCGAGGAUACACGUGACGUGUUCGUGUGUCAACAAGAGCAUUCUAGUAUUAUACAAAACCACUUGUUAUUCUUCGAGAUCUUGGUUCAUUUCUACCUUGUGGUUCUCCAGGAAGUUCUGAAGGAUGGACAUGCAAGCUAGUCUAGAAUUAUGCAAAACCACCUGUUUUCUACCUCUACAUUUAAACCAAUGUUUCAGUAUUCUUGAAAUACUAGAUAAUUCUAAACCUACAUAGAAAAUGCAUAUGAACCUGUGGCGCUAAUCCUUACAGUGGGAACCAAACUGAACAUACAGACACGUUACUUGUGAGUAGUUCACGAAUAAUGGCCUAUAUAUAUUUGCUUCUUUGUCCCAGAGUUCCAAGUGUACCAAAUUCUGUAUAAUGCACUGUUAAUUCCAGUGAUUUGUUAUAUCUUUUGAAAAAUAUACAUUCAAUAACACUAGAACAGUUUGUAAUGCAUGCAUACCAAGUUAAGAGGCGCUGAACGGAGAUAACAGCUGAUCCCUUGUACGACAAACAAUGGACAGACCCAGACAAGGUGGGGUCUGGGGAGGGAUUAUAGGAACCUAGUCUUGCCCCUGCAAAGUGCAAUGCAGAGAGGCUUGUUCGAACCCAGGACCUCUUGGCACAAGUGGGAGGACUUCACCACUGCGCCAGGCCUGCCCUCUUGUACAACAAACAAUGGAAGUGCCAAAUUUAUAGCUUCCAAACUCAGUGUAUCAGCAACAUUUUUUUCGUCGAAUAUGCUCUCAGCAACAUUAAAGUACAAAGAUUAUAGAAGGAUCUAACUUUUAGACAUUUUUGCUUAAACUACAUGGCAAUCCUUCUUUAGAAAAAUGUAAGCAGCAAUGGUAGAGUAACUGGAGCUAUAUGCAUGCAAUUUGAUUUCAGAGGAAAAAAGAUUCAUAGAUGGACCAAACGAAAUUAAAAAACUUGAUCCAUCUCUCUUUUUGUUAAAUGAAUCUCAGACAGAGGAGAGCAUGUUCUUUAGGUUGAAAUCAAAAAAUUUGCUUAUCUUUGUGCAGCAUGGAUUUUUCAAAAUAGUUGUUUACAUUAUCUCCUUGCUUUAUAUCGAGCGAAUAUUUUUUUAGCAUUUAGUUCAGAAAACUGUAUACAGGAAGCGGGCUCUCUGUUACAGCUUGCUAGCCAUUUUUGGUUGUUAAUACGUAAGGGUGCCUUCUCUACUACAAUGAUUCAGGUUGGAUAUGCUUGCUGCCCACAUUUUUGUAAGUGAUGCUUGCUUAACUAAAAUGUCUUGUGAUUGUACUGACAUAUUACUUUUCUUCCUCAGCUAGUGCAAAUACAGAAGGGACAUCAGAAGAUUCACUCCCUGUGAUGCAUGUAUGUGAUGAUUUUGCGACCAUCAGGAUUGAUCCGUAUUAGUUCAGUGGCCCAUGAGAUGUUUGAGGGAAUGGCUGUAGUAGAUCAGCAAAUGAGUAUACAUGUAGCACUUUAGUUCAUAUAACCUAUGAUUUACUCAUAGGAGAGAGCCAUUUUUUGACCCAACUUGAGUUCUUUGAUUUUUGACAACAAUUAUUGAUGCUGCUGCUGCUGCUAAUAUUGAUCUGAAGUCACAAACAUUUCUUAGUCCAUGUAAAUUUGUACAAUAUAUGAACAUAUUGCUAUCUAAAUUCUGAAAUUACCAAACAUGGUCUUUUAUUUGUUGUGUAUGACAUCACUGAGUACUUUAAUUAAGCUAGCUGUAGUAAGAUCACAUUUUACAUGGCCGGUCUUCAAGUUAAAGGUUCUAAUACAGUUCACGUUUCCAGAUAUUUUUAAUCAUGGCGUUUGAUAUACUUCACACAUGUGUUUUUAAGCUAAGAGCUCCUAAUAUCACUGAGAGAGAUAAAAGAAUAGUAUUCAGAGAAAUCAUCUGUCCUGUGAUGAGAUUAGGUAUAGCAUUUUUUGUUUGUUUCUUCAGUAUCAUUUUAUUUUCAGUCUUCAGUUAGCUGAGCGAGCUAGAGAUAAUAUGGUAAACAAUUUCUAUCAAGUGGUUGAGCUCCUUUUUUCAAGGUCAAUCAGGUCAUUGGGCCAAGACAAUAAUAAGGUGAUUAAUCUUUUAUCAUGUGAUUUGAGCUUAUCUAGGUUCUAUAUUCUUUCAUGCCAGACUGAUACAGCAAAAGAGUAAAUCUGUUUUGUUGUACUGAAUUUUGGUAUAUUGUAGUUCUCCUAUCGACUUUCCUCGACAUAUUAAUUAUACAAAGAGUACUCCUGUUCUGCUCAGUGGAAAUUUCAGCUGAGCUGAGCAAUCUGUGCAAUUUCACAAAGCUUAUUAUGGCAUAUUUUAGUGAUUGCAUUAUUUGGGGCUAUGUUACAUCUGUAUGGUCGAAUUGAUUGCUAGAAAUGCAGAGUAACAUUUUGCCUUACGGAGUGAUAAUUAGGAGGCAUACAUAGCUGCAAGAGGGACCACUCGAAUCAAACAAGCUGCAAAUUUAGUAUCUCUAGCACUCAUGGAGAAGGUAUGCUCUUAAGAUUUUUCUGAUUCAACGUCAAGGUGGGAUUCAUAUAUGCACCACAAGGUUUGUGCAGUGUGCUUUGCAUCCAUCUCUUUUUCUGUUAAAUGAAUCUCAGGCUGAGGAGAGCAUGUACUUUAGGUUGGCAUCACUGUCAAGGACCCGCACCUCCCUGCUAAAUUGCUUAUGUUUGUGCAGCAUGGAUUUUUCAAAAUACUCCCACCGAACGGAAUUACUUGUCACAAAAAUGGAUGUAUCUACAACUAAAAUACAUCUAGAUACAUUUAUUUCUUGGACGAGUAAUUCCGAACGGAGGGAGUAGUUGUUUACAAUAUCUCCUUGCUUUAUAUUGAGUGAAUAAGAAAAAUGUAUACAGGAAACGGGCUCUCUGUUACAGCUUGCUAGCCAUUUUUGGUUGUUAAUACGUAAGGAUGCUUGCUGCCCACAUUUUUUUAAGUGAUGCUUGCUUAACUAAAAUGUCUUGUGAUUGUGCUGAGAUAUUACUUUUCUUCCUCAGCUGGUACAAGUACAGAAGGGACAGCCGAAGAUUGAAGAUCACUCUCUGUGAUGCAUGUAUGUGAUGAUUUUGCAACCAUCGGGAUUCAUCUGUAUUAGUUUAAGUGGCCCAUGAGAUGUUUGAGGGAAUGGCUAUAAGAGAUCAGCAAAUGUGUAUACAUGUAGCGCUUCAGUUCGUAUGACCUAUGAUUUACUCAUAUGGAGCCAUUUUGUGACCCAGCUUGAGUUCUUUGAUUUUUGACAACAAUUAUUGAUGCUGCUGCUGCUAAUAUCGAUCUGAACUACAUAGACAUUUCUUAGUCCAUAUAAAUUUGUACAAUAUUAACAUGUUGCUAUCUAAAUUCUGAAAUUUACUAAACUUGACCAUAAAUUUGUCGUGUAUGACUUCACUGAGUACUUUAAUUAAGCUAGUUGUAGUAAGAUUACAUUUUACAUGGCCGUUGUUAAAGUUAAAGGUUCUAAUACAGUUUACAUUUCCAGAUAUUUUGAAUCAUGCUGAUUAAUAUACUUCACACAUAUGUUUUUAAGCUAAGAGCUCCUAAAACUGUUUCUCCUAAAUGCAACUGCUAAUUCGGUAUCAAGUGGCGGGGGCGGAAAUAUGGUAAACAAUUCCUAUCAAGUGAUUGAGCUCCUUUUUUCGAGGCCAGUAACAAGGAGAUUAAUCUUUUAUUAUGUCAUUUGAGCUUCUCUAGGUUCUAUUUUCUUUCAUGCCAUAAGCUACGAUCUUUUGGUUAGACCUACUGAUACAAUGAAACAGUAACUCUGUUUUGUUGUGGUGAAUUUCUGUACAUUAUAUUUUUCUUAUCGACUUUCCUCAGCAUAAGUUAAUUCUAGAAAAGGAUGCUCCUAUUCUGCUCAGUUGAAAUUUCAGAUGAGCUAUCUGUGCAGUUUCACAAAGCUUAUUAUGACAUUAUUUUGGUGGUUGCGUUAUUGGUGGCUAGAAAUUCAGAGUGACAUUUUGUCUUAGGAAGUGAUAAUUAAGCAGACAUACCUAGCUGCAAAAGGGAGCGCUCGAAUCAAACAAGCUGCUAAUUUAGUACCUCUAGCACUCAUCCAAAAGGUAUGCUCUUCAGAUUUUUCUGAUUCAACACAAGUAGAAGUGAACAGAGGAGGGGACAAGAUGCAUGCUUCCCUUAACUUGCUGAUGAUGACUGAAUUAGUCUUUGAGGCCGCCGAGGAGGCCUGCGCAACAGACGAGGUACUCUUGGAGCGUACAAGGGCGAGCAAGAGGCACUAGAUUCAGCUCCGGUAUCUUCUCGCGGUACUGUUUCAUUGCUUUACAUUCUAGAAAUCCUGGCACAUCUGUGGUGAACACAAACGACGGAUCAGCAGUCUUGUCUGCCAGAUACCGCACGCCGACGGGAGGGCAGCGGGCACCGCGCGCCCCCAUGUACACGGCGUUCCCUGCCACGCAUGGAAACCUCCUGGCCGAGAGGGAGAAGCACGCCACAUCCCCGACAAACACGGCGCGGUGGCGGCCAAUGUCCUCCACCGGAACAAGUCUCUUCCCGGCCACAUCCACCUCAAACAACUGAAUCAGGUUCCACCGUUGCGCCUUCACAUGGUGCUCCACCCUGAUCACGUCCAUGACCUUCCUCCUGCGUUUCAUGAUUCUUUGCUCGUCGGCGCUGAGGUGAUCAAGGUUGAGGUAGUAGCGCACCAUGAGCAUGCCACCGCAGCGGUGGUCAUCCGGAGGGACGAGGUAGCAGAACAUGUUGUACUGGGUGUUGGGCUGGUCCACAACCACGGGCACCAGACGAGGCUCUGGGCAGAGCCUUACCUGUAUUAUGUACCCCUCGACAGUUGCAAAGUAGAAGCACCCCCGCAUGGUUGAGGCCGACGAGAAUCGACAUGACAAGGGUUGGUCUGGCCUCCACAUCUCGUCAUCCACCACCGCCCAACGCUGGUCACCAGGAUUGGCGUAGGCUACGGCACGCCCAAGGUGACGGUCAGCCAUCAGGAGCACGACUGACGAUGGGGAGGUCUCGUCAGAGACGCCGGCGUAGAUGAUGCGUGCCGCGGACUGGACGGCCCCGUCCAGACGGCGUACGCGCCGCCAAGGUCCUCGGUGAUGGGCGGGAGGUCGGUGAGGGCCCUGGUGAGCGGGUUGAGCAGGCGCACUGCGUGGCUCGCCUUGUCGCGCAGGAGCAGGAGGCCCUCGGUGCUGGUCUCGAGGUGGUGUAGAGAGAGCUCCGGGAGGUCGACGCGGGCGCUGGCGCCGGUGGAGAGGUUGAGGAAGCGGCGUCCGUCGCCGUCGGCGCGAUUGGACAGCAUGAUCCAGCGGCGGGGACGGAAGCGGGGGUCCAGGUGAUUGCACCCCUCACGACUCACGAGGGUCAGCGGUGCAUUUCCUCCACUCCUUGCAAGAGGCGCGGAGGCGGAUGUACUCGGCCACGUCGUGGCUGAGCAGCCGGCCGGCGAUGUCGUCGACGAGCGCCGUCGGCAGGUUGGGCCAAUCUCGCCUGCCCGUGUAGAUUAGACUAUCGUCAGAGAAGCAAGAGGAAAUUGGAUAGAAGGAAGGCUAACCCACCUUGUUGCUGCGUGCCUAUCUAUGCAAAACCCUAGGACGAAAAUGGGCCGUAGAGGAAAAUGGGCUGGUUGGUAGCUGUGAGGUUCGGCGCUGCGGGCAGAUUUGACGGGCGGCAGUUUUUCUAAAAAGAAAAAGAGUCAAUUACACCACAGGUGUUUAAACUUGGCACAAAAAGUCAGUUUAGUGCUGAAACUUGUGGCAUACGUCGAUCUGGUUACAAAACUUGGCUUGAUCGUUCAUAUACGGUCAGAAUCACGUUUGGAUACGAAUAGAGGGCUGAUUGGGAUCGCCAGCGUGGCGACGGGCCCAUUGUCAGUGCCUGCAAGGCGCGGGCAGAGGCGUGUGGCCUGGGUGUUUGCAGAAAACCCCCUGGAAGCUUUAUUUUUAUCACGAAAAAGCCCCUGCACAGGCGGGAGAGGUUUGGCCUGUUAGUUAUAUGGCCCCGCAUAUGGCUGAAUCAGUUUACCCAAACCCUCCCUCAUCGACUCCCUCGCCUCGUGCUCUCCUCCUAUGUCUCUCCUCUUGAUCGUUUGCAGGUCACGGCGGCGUUGAUCGGAGCGACGGCAUUGAUCGGCGGCGUCGAUGACGAUGGAGCCCCGUCGGCGAGAUCCCAGGGAACCAGCCCCUGUAUAUGGUGAGCAUGCCCUCUAUCUCUCUCUCUGUCCGCCACCUCUUUCUCCCCUGUUUAUGUUAGGGUUUUAGUCAAUGUGCUCGAAUCGGUGAAAACCUUUAAUUGGCCUUGAUUUCGUCAGUGGAUGCUUGCUAGAUGCCCUGACGUAAGAAGCCCCCUUUCCAUUCAUCCGUAAUGUGGGCUGUUUAUAAGAUUUCUCGCAGGUCCAAACGGGCUCUGUUUUCGUGAUCUGAAAUAUUCAGAUAUCUGUGAAUAAUUAACCCCCCCGUGUAGAAGAUUAUUAGAACAUGUUUGCUCCAGUGAAACCAUUGGAUGUGGUACAGCAGCUUGUAUUUUUGAUGAAAUUGUACUUAACUGAAUUUCGACACUUGCUAACUGAACCUUCGACAGUUGAUAACUGAAUAUUUGGACAACAGUAGAUAUUUGAAAGUUAGGAAUUUUGAGUAGUUUGUUUGUUGUUUUUUCAGUAAGCAGUGUUAACUACAAAUCCAGUAGUUAGAUCCAUUAUUUGUGACUGGACAUGACAGAAUCGUAAUGGAAUUUGACAUUAAUGUUAAAUGAAGAUGUGCAUUCUCAACUGAAUUUAUUUUGGUUGUGUGAACUAUAGAUCCCUGUUUUUUUUCUUUGCACUCGAUUGCAGAUGCAUGCUAUUUUUGGCACUAUGAAGUGAACAUGUUAGCUGUUUUAAGCAUAAUUAAUUGAAGAUGUGUAUAGUUUACUAAAUGUUUUUGCAUUCUUUGCAUUGUAGGUGAUUUUGAUGGGCGGUUCACGGUUGAAAUUCAUCACAGAGGAUUUUUCUGUGGAGCUGACAACAACAGAAGCUACAUUGACUAUGAAGUUGACUGGUUUGAUCACUGUGACUCUGACACUUGGUCCAUACUGUGGAUUGAAGACUUUGUGAAGCAGCUGGGCUAUGAUAGAGAAACAGGGCAGCAUGUUGUAUACUGGUGUCAGUCUGGUAGGACAGUUAAAGAAGGAAUGAGAGAGAUGACUUGUGAUGCUGAUAGCCUUGCAAUGAUAGCAGCUAGUACAUUCCACAAGAAUCUGUUGCUGCUCAUAGACCAUGGAGAGACACCGAGCAACCUUCUUAGAGAUGAUGUUCCAGUUGAUGGACUGCCUGAGUUGCCAAAGGUCGUAACCCCAACAAAAGAUGGCAAGGGCAAAGAACAAGCUAGCUCAGCUGAAGAGAGAAGUGACUCAACUAAAAGGAGAGCAAGGAGAUUGUUUACUAAAGCAACAUAUUCAGGAUGUGCUUCUGAAGAAACGGAGGAAGAAGAUGAAAAUGGUGCAGCAGGUUCAGACACAGAUGAGGAAUUCUAUGAAAGUGACUAUGAUAUUAUGGACGGGGAUGAUGAUCUGUUUGAGGAACAUGUUGACAAAGAGGUGGAUGAUCAUAGAGAGAAGGUUUACACAUGUGACUAUGAAACAGAGCUAGCUGAAGAUGCUCUAGAUGAUCCAACCAUAAUGUUAUCCAAAGAAGAGAGGGACAAGCUCAAGUACAACUUCAAGGCUUUUAAUCCAGAAACUGAUUUGAAUGCCCCUGUAUUCAGAUUAGGUAUGGUGUUUGGUACUGUUGAGGAGCUCAGGCAUGCUAUUACCUCUUACAGCAUCAGAAAUAGGGUUCCAAUCAAAAAGACCAGAAACACAUCAACUACAGUAGAAGCAGUAUGCAUUGAUGAUUGCCCAUGGUACUUGAAAGCAGGGUUGGACAACAGGAAAAAUAGCUUUGUGAUCAAGAAGUACUUUGAUGAGCACACAUGCCCUAAGACAUGGAAGCUCAAGGGUCUGACUGCUCCAUUUUUAACCAAGAAAUUCAGAGAUGAGUUCAGGGGCAAUGAGAAGAUGCCAUUGCAGAAAUUUGAGGAGAAGGUUCAGCAAGAGUACAAUCUAAUUCCAAGCAGGAGCAAAUUGGGAAGAGCUAGAAGAGCAUCAGUAAAGCAGAUCAGAGGUGAGGAUGAUGACCAGUAUAAGAUGCUAUGGGAUUAUGGAGAGGAGUUGAGACAAACAAACCCUGGCAACAAGUUCUACCUUUGCACAAAGGAGAUCUUUGAUGAAAAGACCAAGGAGACAAAAGAACAUUUCUCAACUUUGUACUGGUCACUGGAUGCGUGCAAGAGAGGUUGGUUGAUGGGAUGUAGGCCAAUAAUAUUUGUAGAUGGAUGUCACAUUAAGACCAGGUACAAAGGGAAUUUACUGACAGCGGUGGGCAUUGACCCCAAUGAUUGUAUUUUCCCCCUAGCAUUUGGGAUUGUGGAAGUGGAGUCCACUAGCAGCUGGGAGUGGUUUUUGGCUAGCCUAAAGGAUGACCUCAACAUAUGCAACACCUCUCCAUACACAAUAAUGAGUGAUAAGCAAAAGGUAUGUGCAACACCUUAUAUUUUUUUACCUUAUUGCUUGCUAUAAUAUAGUGUAGUUAGAUUUAAUGGAUACUUGCAUUGUUUAUGUGUUCUCCAGGGUCUUAUAGCUGCAGUUGCAAAGGUGUGGCCAGAUGCUGAACACAGAUUUUGUGUCAGGCAUAUGUAUCAGAAUUUCCAUAAGCUUCACAAGGGGGAACAACUAAAGAAUAAUCUAUGGGCUAUUGCAAGAGCCACUAACAAUCCAACAUACAAAAAAGCAAUGGAGAAGAUGAAGGCGGACAGUGUGCAUGCAUACAAAUGGGUUGAGAAAUGGCCACCAAGAACAUGGAUUAAAGCUUUUUUUAAUCCUUUUCCAAAGUGUGACAUCCUGCUCAAUAAUAUGUCUGAAGUAUUUAAUAGGUACACAUUUCUUGGCUGUGCUUUUCUGAACUGUUAAAUGCACUAAAAUGUUAAAUGAAAUGAACUAACAAGUUUUUUCAUUUGAAAUGACAGCUGGAUUUUGCCAUCCAGAGAACUUCCUAUUUUCUCCAUGGUGGACAACAUAAAUAGCAAGAUAACAGCAAGGUUGUACAACAAGCAGAAGGAAGUUGCACAAGAUAGGAAAUGGAGUAUGAGAUUGUGCCCAAAAAUUCAGAAAAAGUUGGACAAGUACACUGAUUGGGCUGCAAACUGCAUGGUCUUUGGAGCUGGUCAGAAAGUUUUCAAGGUUGUUUCAAUGAACCACUCCUACAUAGUGGACUUGGAAAUGGAAACCUGUGACUGCAAGAGAUGGGACCUGUCCGGCAUCCCAUGUCACCAUGCUAUUGCUUGUGCUAGAAAUGAGAGAAUUGAUCCUGGAAGCCUGGUGCAUGAGUGCUAUUCAGUAGAGACAUACAAAAAGGCUUAUGCUUUCAAUGUAAAACCUGUGAGGGACCAGGAACAUUGGACUAAGAUGUAUGGCAUUGAUGUACAUCCACCUGUGUACACUAAAGUAAUGGGCAGACCAAGGAGGAAUAGAAAAAAAGAUCCAGAAGAGAAGUUGAUGAAAGAAGGAGGGAAGAAGCUGACAAAGCAUGGUGUAACCAUGCACUGCUCUCUUUGUGGAAGUGCAGGUCACAACAAGAAAGGGCAUAAGAAGUGGGAGGAGACCAACAGAGAUGCACCGCAACCUACAAAUGUUGCAUAUGAUGAAGAAGAGGAGUAUGAUGAUCCUACAAUCAUUUCUGUAAGAUGUAACAUGUUGACCAACUCAAUUUACUGCUCAUAUACACUUGGCAACAUAUACUGACAAGUUGUUUCUGCUUUCUUUAGAACAUUAUGCCACACACAGUACAUGCACACAUGGAUCCAAGUCAAACCCCAGGGUCCAUGGUUUAUCUCAUGCAGCAAAUGGUAACCUUCUGUUGACCAUGUUAAUUUUUUUGGUUUCUGAAUUUUUGUCUAAUUGUGCAUUUUGGUCCAUCAGGAGAGGAGAGCAUACAUUCCAAGCAUGGAUCAUGGACCUCUUCCAGAAUCUACAUUUGUUGCACAAGCAAGAAAUGACAUACCCCCUCCCAGGGUUACAACUGCUAUGUCAAGAGGCAGGGUUAGAAGAAGAGGAAUCACUGAAGACAUACCAGAAGAUGUACCACAGUCGAGCAACCAAGCAGCUACAGCUUCAAGAGGAAGAAAGAGAAGAGCUGCUGGAGCUGGUGGAGCAGUUGGCAGGGUAGGCAGAGGAUCUGUAGGAGCAGUAGGCAGGGGAGGAAGAGGUUCUGGAGGAGCACACAACAAGGGAGGCAUGGGAGCUAGGGGAUUAGCCGGCGGAGCAGACGGAGGAUAUGUACAACAGUCAAGCAACCAAGCAGCUGGAACAAGAGCAGGGGAAGCAUAUACUGGACCAGGUGCUGGGUUCUGGAACCUUAUGUUUGGACCAAAUUCCGAUAGUUCUUAUGUGCAAGCAGAAGAGGAGCCAGUGACACAAAAUGCACCAGAAGAAGACUGGACUGGUGAUUUCCAAAGCUUAUAGGUCACAAUGCCAAGUGACUUAGUUCAUGAGUGAAUUAGAUACAAGUGCAAGUUUAUGUAUGAACUUUCGUCAUAAGACAUGCCAUAAGACUAUUUUCCCUUUUGUUUAUGCUGUAAUGUGAGGAUUUGAACAAGUGUUUCGCUGCUCUCUUUAAGACAAAAAUGCAGUACUAAUGAUGCUCUGCUGCAAUGAAGUUUCAAAUUGUCCUGUCAAAAACUGCUAUUUUUUCUUUACUGUGUUACUAACAAAAACUGCACUUUCUGAUAUUUUGAUGUCAAAACUGCAUAUGCAAAUCUGCAGGACAAACUGAUGCUUAUGCAUUUCUCUGAAUUCAUACAGACAAAAACUGCAUACACAAAUUGUUUUCCUCUGUUUUAGUUGUAUGAUUCUAAAGCACAAAUACUGAUUCAUCGAAUGGUAAUAUGGAAUUCUAAAGCACAAGCCACAAAAUACUUUGAAAUUCAGCAAAGAGUCGAUACAAAUUUUCAACACUGCCAAAUGACCUACUACACUGGAAUGACAACAUCACUUCUUGUCGGCCAUAGCAAACAUGAUUGCAACUAACUCAAAGUACAUGAACACAGCAAGCAUAAUCAUCCUAUCUCUAGCUAGAUUGUAACUGAUCUUUGUGCAUCCUUCCAAUCAUCUUCUUCUCCGGUCCGCGCUUCUCCUUCUCAGCUUCAAUCUGACCAUCUUUCUGCAUUAUCUUCUUCUCCAACACCUCAUUCUUGUUAGCAAGUUCAGCAAUGAUAGUCCUUUCCCUCCCCUCCCAUGGCUUGUCAAUCCAAUUGAAAUAACCACAUGUCCUAGCAUCCUGUAGAGGCACACAUUGCAGACUAUUAAGUACAUACACACAUUAAUUUGGUCAUGACAAAACGACAACCAGUGAUGUAACAGCAGUGGAGAGGGAUUUACCUGAUGCUUGCCCUAGUACACGACCGAGGUAAUCUUGGCCCAGGGUUCGUCUUCCUCCUCCAUCCACCAUCCUGGUUAUGCCGGUCCCUCCCAUCUAGAAACAGGGGCGGAUAGGUCCGAGAUGUGAGAGAGAAGAACAGUCAGAGGUCUAAGAGAGGGGUACUGAAAGAAGAAAUGUGUGAGCUAAACGCCGCCGCCACCGCCGCUGUGCCACUGGGCCGCUGCACCGCUGUGGCGCCGCCGUCGCCGUUGUGCCUCUGCUGGGCCGCUGUGUGCCGCCGCCGCUGAUGUGCCUCCGCUGGGCUGCUGUGCGCCGCCCUCGCUGCGCCGCUGCGCCACNNNNNNNNNNNNNNNNNNNNNNNNNNNNNNNNNNNNNNNNNNNNNNNNNNNNNNNNNNNNNNNNNNNNNNNNNNNNNNNNNNNNNNNNNNNNNNNNNNNNNNNNNNNNNNNNNNNNNNNNNNNNNNNNNNNNNNNNNNNNNNNNNNNNNNNNNNNNNNNNNNNNNNNNNNNNNNNNNNNNNNNNNNNNNNNNNNNNNNNNNNNNNNNNNNNNNNNNNNNNNNNNNNNNNNNNNNNNNNNNNNNNNNNNNNNNNNNNNNNNNNNNNNNNNNNNNNNNNNNNNNNNNNNNNNNNNNNNNNNNNNNNNNNNNNNNNNNNNNNNNNNNNNNNNNNNNNNNNNNNNNNNNNNNNNNNNNNNNNNNNNNNNNNNNNNNNNNNNNNNNNNNNNNNNNNNNNNNNNNNNNNNNNNNNNNNNNNNNNNNNNNNNNNNNNNNNNNNNNNNNNNNNNNNNNNNNNNNNNNNNNNNNNNNNNNNNNNNNNNNNNNNNNNNNNNNNNNNNNNNNNNNNNNNNNNNNNNNNNNCCGCUGCGCCACUGUGGCGCCGCCGUCGCCGCUGUGCGCCGCCGCGCUGUGCCGCUGUGGAGCUGCCGCCGCUGGCGUGCAGCCGCUCUGCUGAACCAAGGGAAGAGCCGCCACUCUGCUAUGGAAUUGGGGAUCGUGGGUUAGUGAUUUUAGACAUACAAAAUUCAGAUCGUGGGGUUAUAUGUGGUCGCGUGGCUUUUUCAUGAUAAAAAUAAAGCUUCCAGGGGGUUUUCUGCAAACACCCAGGCCACACGCCUCUGGCCGCGCCUUACAGGCACUGACAAUGGGCCCGUCGCCACGCUGGCGAUCCCAGUCAGCCCUCUAUUCGUAUCCAAACGUGACUAUGACCGUAUAUGAACGAUCAAGCCAAGUUUUGUAACUAGAUCAAUGUAUGCCACAAGUUUCAGCACUAAACUGACUUUUUAUGCCAAGUUUAGACACAUGUGAUGUAAUUGACUCAAAGAAAAACAACAACAACAAAAUUGACGGGCGGCUUUGCUACACGCACAUGCAUUUUUUUUAUUACGGGGCUGCUACGCGUUGGCCGACGAUCUUGAGAGGUCUGAACUGAGAAAAUCAAGCGGCUAAACGGGUUUCUCUUCUUUCCAACAAAGUUUUCGUUGAGGAAACAUUUGUAACAGAGUUUGUGUUGUGGAUUUUUUUUUUGCAACAUAGGUUGUGUUGCAGGAUUUAUUUUUUUGCAACAUAGGCCCUUGCAAAAAAAAAUAGGCCCUUGCAGAAUUUUGUUGUCUUCAUUUUUUUGGAAACAUAGGUAUUGUUGCAAAAAAAAAUUGUAACUGAGGUGAUGUUGCAUUUUUUUUUUAUCUUUGUCUUCACCUUUAUAUGGUGUUACGGAAGAAAGUUUUGCAACAUGACUGAUGUUGCAGAAAUCUUUCUUGCAACAGAUUGAAUGUUGCAAAACAAAACAUCACCAUCGUUCACCGCGAGCAUGUUGGACAGUGGUGAGGGAGGACUGGCGCCACCCUUUCCUGCUAUGGCGCUGCCGUCGGCGAGUGGCGGACCUCCGACAAGGUCGCCUCACCAAGUGAGGUGGCGCACCGUGCACGGCCAGACGUCAUGGUGGAGGCGGGCGACAACGGUGACGACCGUGCGAGACCCCGGCUGCGACGACAGACCGAGAUGGCGACCAGUUGUAGAUUUUAUUUUUUACAACAGAGCACCAAGGUCACCCGGCGCCAGGGAGCGGGAGGAGUCACGGACGCCAUGGUGGAUUGGUGUUGGAGGAUGGGAGUUGGGGAUGGUGUUGGAUCUGCUCAAAGGAAGCCUCCUGUGAGGAUAAGGCGAAGAAGAGGUAGCAACGUUCGUGCGUUGUUUGUGGGAGGCGGCGGAUAAAACCACGAGAUCGACCAGACGAAAGAAAUCAUUUCCCUUUUUUUAUAUGAACUAUAGGCGGCGAAAGAAAAUAAACUUUUUUAAAAGAUCUAGGCCAUUAGAUAUGAUCAAUCUGGCGGCUGACGUCUUCUUAUGGUUUGCAACAAACACCUUGUUGCGGAAAUAUUUGCAACAUAGGUUGCGUUGCGGAUUUAUUUAUUUUUCAACAUAAGUUAUGUCACGGGAAUUUAUUGCAACAUAGGCUGUGUUGCGGUUCUUUUCUAUCUUCACUCUUUUGAAAAUAUAGAGAUGAGAGAAGAAGAGAGGAACGCGAUGUUUACUACACGAAGAGGUACGUCUCGUAUUUCCUUGAGUGGGGCAUUGAGGGCACGUAGCGCUCAAAGAAGGUGACGGAAGCGUCGAUUGUUUUGAGCCGGUUGACGCUGAACGUUUCCCUUUUUCCUCACCAAAGUAAAUAAAUUUACAAAAAAAUGAACAUUUUCAAAAUUUGCUCACAAACUUUUCAAGACUCGGACAUUUUUUGGGAGUCAACUUUUUUUGCAAAAUAAAGGAACAAAAUUGAAAACGAGAACAUGUUUCAAAACUACGAACAACUUUUUCAAAAUGCGAACAUUUUUUUUAAAAAAAGGAGCAAAAUUGAAAAAGCCUAACAAUUUCCAAAAAUAUGAAUAUUCUCUUCAAAACACGAAUAUUUAUGAAAUUCUCCCAAACCUUUUUCAAUUUGUGAACAAAUUAUGUAAACAUGAUUUUGUUUUCUUAAUUUGUGAAGAAAUUUUGAAAAAAGGAACAUCUUUUGAGAAAAUGGUAAUGAAUAAUUUUGCCAAGGGAAAUACUAUCGCUCACCCGGCAGAUCUCGCGAAACAUCGACCGCCUUGUUUGAUCGACGCGCGUCCCAUGGACCCACUUUCUAAACAUCAAGCCUCCUCUUAUCCAGUCGCUCAUCCUAGUCCUCCAAGCUUAUCAUCUCAUGUUUGUUUCCAAGGCGCUGUUCCAUUGCACAUCAAGACGGGAUGUGCGUCGACUGAUAGCCACCAGCCACCCGGCUGCUGCAUUCCGUCCCCCCAGGGUACUGGAGCCGCUGGACUGCGCCACCCGCCUCUGCGAGGCAUGCCGUGCCAAAGCCUGCGUCCGCCAUUCCACGUCAUUGUCGUCCUAGAGGAGCACUGGCGUCCAUGGCUGCCGCCUCCUCGAGCUCACCCACAUCUGGUGCCGCCGCAACAACAUUUCCUACAACAUGAUCUUUGUUGCAUAAAUUUCUGAAACAUGACCUCUGCUGUAAAAAAGAUUACACACGUUUCUGUAACAUGAUAUUUGCUGCAAAAAAAAAUCUACAAACAUUUCUGUAACAUGAUCUCUGCUACAAAAAUAUUCUGCAACACAACCUCUGUUGCAAAUAUUUUUGCAACAAGAUCUCUGUUCCAAAAGGGUUUUUGCAACAAGACUUCUCUUGCGGAAGUAGAAGACCACACGUGGCUGCUCGAUUAUACAAGAUAUUAUGGUAAAAGAUCAGCCGGCCGACGCGUAGUACUCCCCUUUUGCCAAACGCAAACAUUUUCGUAGUUUCCCGGACACUUUUUGAAUUUGUGAACAAAUAGUGGAAACAUGAACAAAUUUUGAAAACAAAAACAUUUUCUGAAAUCAGUGAACAUUUUUUAAUAUGUAAACAAGAUUAAAAAAUGCAAGAAUUUUCGGAAAUUUUAAUCUUUUUGAAUUUUUGAACAUUUUUUAAAAAAAAUGAACAAAUUUUGAAAUACUAAAACUUUCCGAAUUUCUGAACAAAAUCUGGAAAAUUUAACAAAUUUUAAGAAAUACAAACAUUUUUAAAUUCCAAAAAAAAUUGGUGAAAAAAUAAAAUAAACUUGAAAAGGAAAAUCUAAAGAAACUAAAAGGCAAAUAAAAAGAAAAAAGGAAAAGGGAAAACGAAAAUUUGAAAGGAAAAAAUAAAAAAUGGUUUGGGAACUUCUAGAAGGCUCCCAAAACCAGGAAUGCCAUGGAGUUUAAACAGAAGUGUCUAAAAGUUAGAUCCUUCUAUAUUCUUAUACCUUGACGUUGCUGAAAGCAUAUUCGGCAAACAAAAAAAUGUUUCUUUCAGACUGAGUUUGGAAGCUAUAAUUUUUACACUUUCAAUGUUAGUCAUUGUGUUGUCGUACAAAGGAUCAACUGCUAUAUCCAGUUCGGCGCUACUUAACUAGGUACGCAUGCAGUCUGAAGUUACAAACUGUUGUAGUGUUACUGAGCGUAUAUACUUUCUCAAACGAUAUGACAAAUCGGUCCAAUCAAUAGUGCAGUAUUCGGAACUUGGUACGCGCUUACGACUCUGGGAUAAAUAAAGAAGCAAAUAUAUGUAGGGUUUGGUGUUGGAACAACUCAAGAGUAACGUCCGUCUGUGUGUUCAGUUUGGUUCCCGCUGUCCGGAUCGGCACCAUAGGUUCAUAUGCAUUUUCUGUGUAGCUUCAGAACUCUCUAGUAUUUCAAGAACACUGAAAUAUCAUUUUCUAUACUGGCUUGUAUGUUCAUCCUUCAGAACUUCCUGGAGAACCACAAGGUAGAAAUCAACCAAGAUCUUGAAGAAUACGUCAGCUCAAAUUUAAGACAGAACAACAAGUGGUUUUGUACAAUAUACUAGUAGAAUGCUCUGUCCAUCUUUCAGAUUUUCCUGAGGAAAACACAAGCAGAAAUGAACAUAGGAGGAGACAACAUGCUACCCUUAACUUGGUGAUGAUGACCUCCUGAAUUAGUCUUUGAGGCCGCCAAGGAGGCCUGCGCAACAGACGAGGUACUCCUGGAGGGUACAGGGGCGAGCAAGAGGCAGUAGAUUCAGCUCUGGAUCUGCUCUGGCGGUACCGUUUCACUGAUAUAUCGUCUAGAAGCCCUGGCACGUCGGUGGCGAACACAAACGACGGAUCAGCGGUCUUGUCCGCCAGAUACCACACGCCGACGGGAGGGCAGCGGGCACCGCGCGCCCCCAUGUACACGGCGUUCCCUGCGACGCAUGGAAGCCUCUUGGCCGAGAGGGAGAAGCACGCCGCGUCCCCGACAAACACGGCGCGGUGCCGGCCAAUGUCCUCCACCGGCACAAGUCUCUUCCCGGCCACAUCCACCUCAAACACCUGGAUCAGGUUCCACCGUUGCGCCUUCACAUGGUGCUCCACCCUGAUCACGUCCAUGACCUUCCUCCUGCGUUUCAUGAUUCUCCGCUCGUCGGCGCUGAGGUGGUCGAGGCUGAGGUAGUAGCGAACCAUGAGCAUGCCGCCACCGCGGUGGUGGUCGUCGGGAGGGACGAGGUAGCAGAACAUGUUGUAGUCGGUGUUGGGCUGGUCCACGACCACGGGCACCAGACGAGGCUCUGGGCAGAGCCUCACCUGUAUUAUGUACCCUUCGACAGUUGAGAAGUAGAAGCGCCCCUGCAUGGUUGAGGCCGACGAGAAUCGACAUGACAUGGGUUGGUCUGGCCUCCAUAUCUCGUCAUCCACCACCGCCCAACGAUGGUCACCAGGGUUGGCGUAGGCUAUGGCACGCCCAAGGUGACGGUCAGAGCACGACUGACGAUGGGGAGGUUUCAUCAGAGACGCCGGCGUAGAUGAUGCGCGCCGCGGAAUGGAACGGCCCCGUCCAGACUGCGUACGCGCCGCCAAGGUCCUCGGUGACGGGCGGGAGGUCGGUGAGGGCCCUGGUGAGCGGGUUGAGGAGGUGCACGGCGUGGCUCGCCUUGUCGUGCAGGAGCAGGAGGCCCUCCGCGCUGGCCUCGAGGUGGUGCCGGGAGAGCUCCCGGAGGUCGACGCGGGCGCUGGCGUCGGUGGAGAGGUUGAGGAAGCGGCGGCCGUCGCCAUCGGUGCGAUUGGACAGCAUGAUCCAGCGCCGCGGCCGGAAGCGCGGGUCCAGGUGGUUGCGUCCCUCGCGCGGGUCGGCGGUGCAUCUCCUCCACUCCUUGCACGCGGCGUGGAGGCGGAUGUACUCGGCCACGUCGUGUGAUAUAGGGUGGAACCCUAAGUGGAGAUAUUUCACGAAUUGGAGGGGGAAUCCCCAAGAUCAAGAUGAACACAAAAGAGAAAACAAGAGGAACACUCAAGAACAAGUCUAAUCACACAUCCACUAGACAAUCAAACACACAAAAUCCACAAGGUACAUGAACAAUCAAAGGGAAAUAAAAUACAUGGUAGAGUUCAUCCCAAAUCCUAUGAAGGAGAUGAGGGCUUGAUGAAUCCCUUAGGAUCUUCUCCAAUGGAGGCCUUGAACUCCAAUGGAGUCUCCUCUCUCAAGAGGAAUCCCACAAGGGGAGAUACAUGAGCUAAGCUCUAGUGUUUAGAUCUAUUCUUAGCUAAGUCUAAAUGGAGGAGAUGAAGGAGUAUAUAUAGUCCUAGGCAAAGAGAGGGAUAAGUGGGGGCAAAAUGGUAAAACAAGGGCAAAGCCCGCAGCAUCACACAGGGGGGCCCGUGCACACGGGGUAUCCAGAGACCCGACGCAUGAGCCUGUGCGCACGGGGUCCAUGAGGCCCGUGGACACGGGGGUCCCGUGGGCAUGGUACACGCCUGUGCGCACGGGGUCUUCAGGACUGCCAGCCUGGGAUGCCCGUGGGCACGAGGUCGGAAGGGCCCGUGCGCACGGGGUCGCCUGGGAGUUGUUGCCUUCUUCUUGGCGCUUCCUUCUCCGCUUCCAGGCUUCCCUCUUGGAUGGUGUAUAUGUUCUUUUCCGCAUGAACUCGUCCUCGCUAUGCUUGAAGCUCCGACAAUACCUAUGAAUGCACGCGGAAGGAAUGUCAAGUAGUAUACCAUCCUCAAAGGGGUCAAGUGAACACGUGUAAAGGAGAUGAUUCACCUUUAUGUAUGUGAAGUAGAUGUGGCACGUGUCACUUGCCAAACGAACUCUUGACAUGGUGAUGUCCAUAGGAUGCUCCGCAUCAUCCCCUCCCCCUUGGGAGAGAUCCGACCUCGGAUCGAAAUCCAAAUCACCAUGGGAAAGAGAUGAUGGUUUCGUGUAGAAGUUGACUUUCACCAAGCAUGCAUCAUCUUGUAGUUGCAAAUGGGCACUCUCCAAUGUCGCAUGGUCUUGUAAUUCCUUCAAAAGGAGCAAAGAUAACAAGCACUUGGAAAAACAAAUGUGGUUGGCGUAAGAGCAAAACCAAGCAUUCAAGAGGUGAUUCACCCAACAAGUGUUGUUAUCAAGCAUAGCAUAUGGUUUGACCAAGAAGUGUGGCAUGGAAUUUAAACAUAUAAGGUGAGCACAAUCAAGGACAUCAUGGAAACAAGUAUGCAAAUGGGAGGUAAAGAUGCUAAUAUGUGUGACAGGUUGUUGGGGAACAUAGCAAAAAAACAAAAAAUUUCCUAGGGUUUCACCAAGAUCCAUCUAUGAGUUCAUCUAGCAAUGAGUGAUCGGAUGCAUCUACAUACCUUUGUAGAUCGCGAGCGGAAGCGUUCAAAGAACGAGGAUGAGGUAGUCGUACUCGAUGUGAUCCAAAUCACCGGAGAUCCUAGCGCCGAACGGACGGUACCUCCGCGUUCAACACACGUACGGUCAGCGUGACGUCUCCUCCUUCUUGAUCCAGCAAGGGGUAGGAGAGGUUGAUGAAGAUCCAGCAGCACGACGGCGUGGUGGUGGAUGCAGGGCAUCACAGUAGCAGGGCUUCGCCGUAUACUACGCGACAGAGAGGUGCAGCAGGGGAGAGGGAGGCGCCAAGACACAAGGUGCGGCUGCCCCCUCCCUCCCCUUCAUAUAUAUAGGCUCCCCUAGGGGGGGCUCCGGCCCUAGGAGAUGAGAUCUCCUAGGGGGGAGGCGGCCAGGGCUGGAGUAGCCCCCAAGGCAAGGUGGGGUGCCCCCCCACCCCUAGGGUUCCAACCCUAGGCGCAUGGGGUGGGCCUAGGGGGGCGCACCAGCCCACUAUGGGCUGGUUCCCCUCCCCACUUUGGCCCAUGGGGCCCUCCGGGAUGGGUGGCCCCACCCGGUGGACCCCCGGGACCCUUCCGGUGGUCCCGGUACAAUACCGGUGACCCCGAAACUUGUCCCGAUGGCCGAAACAGCACUUCCUAUAUAUAAUUCUUUACCUCCGGACUAUUCCAAAACUCCUCGUGACGUCCGGGAUCUCAUCCGGGACUCCGAACAACAUUAGGGUUACUACAUAUACAUAUCUUCACAACCCUAGCGUCACCGAACCUUAAGUGUGUAGACCCUAUGGGUUCGGGAGACAUGCAGACAUGACCGAGACGACUCUCCGGUCAAUAACCAACAGCGGGAUCUGGAUACCCAUGUUGGCUCCCACAUGCUCCUCGAUGAUCUCAUCGGAUGAACCACGAUGUCGAGGAUUCAAGCAACCCUGUAUACAAUUCCCUUUGUCAAUCGAUAUGUUACUUGCCCGAGAUUCGAUCGUCGGUAUCCCAAUACCUUGUUCAAUCUCGUUACCGGCAAGUCACUUUACUCGUACCUUAAUGCAUGAUCCCGUGACCAGACACUUGGUCACUUUGAGCUCAUAAUGAUGAUGCAUUACCAGUGGGCCCAGUGAUACCUCUCCGUCAUACGAAGUAACAAAUCCCAGUCUUGAUCCAUGUCAACCCAACAGACACUUUCGGAGAUACCCGUAGUAUACCUUUAUAGUCACCCAGUUACGUUGUGACGUUUGGUACACCCAAAGCACUCUUACGGUACCCGGGAGUUACACGAUCUCAUGGUCUAAGAAAAGGAUACUUGACAUUGAAAAAACUCUAGCAAACGAACUAUACGAUCUUAUGCUAUGUUUAGGAUUGGGUCUUAUCCAUCACAUCAUUCUCCUAAUGAUGUGAUCUCGUUAUCAACGACAUCCAAUGUCCAUAGUCAGGAAACCAUGACUAUCUGUUGAUCAACGAGCUAGUCAACUAGAGGCUUACUAGGGACAUGUUGGUGUCUAUUAUUCACACAUGUAUUACGAUUUCCGGAUAACAUAAUUAUAGCAUGAAUAAAGACAAUUAUCAUGAACAAGGAAAUAUAAUAAUAAUGCUUUUAUUAUUGCCUCUAGGGCAUAUUUCCAACACAGGUGAACAAGCAUCUACCUCAAGAUCAUAGCAAACAUGCAUAAAGCGCUCAACAAAUGAUCUAUGGUAGGCGUAAGAGUCAUUCACGACACCAAGAGAAAUGAAAUGUCUAAACACAUGGGGCAAGUGAAAGACAAUCCAAGUAUAAUGUGCAUAUGGUGUGAUGACGAAAGUGAUGCACUCAACACAAAUGAUAUAGCAAUUUUGCAACAUGUGCGAGGCAAUUAAAUCGUGCAAACUAGUGGAGCGAAGAUGCAACACACUAGAGAAAAUCAUGGCAAUCAUGUCAUGUGAGCAAAUAAGAGGCAUAGGCAAUGCAUAUGACAUGUCGCAAGCACGAACACAUAGCAAGAGCAUAGUAUCAUCAUAGGUAUGGGUCACAAAUGGAACAUGGCAAUAAUAAGCAAUGUCCCCACCAAGCUUGCAAAUACACAUAUAAGUAGUAAAAACAAUCAUCAUGUGUAAUGCAAAGCAUGGGUCACAAAUGCAUGGCAAAGGCAUGGGAAUGAUAAUAUCAUGCAAAGUGAACAUGGCAAGAUGGGCAUAUCUCUACUCUUAAUGGACAACUUGGUUGAAUAGUCCCCCCCACUUUCAACCGGUUUAUUUUCAACCGGUUUAUUUUCAACCGGUUUUUCUUCGUCCCACCUCCCACCACCUCCCUCCCACCGGUUUUUCUCUUUCUCGUCUGGCCGACAAUACCCAACGUAUUUAUGGUAAUCAAUCACAAUUAAUCCACGUAUGGUAAGGCUAUAAACUUAGAAAUCUCAAAUAUGAUAAUUAUAGUAAUAAAUCAAUCCAUUUAUGGUAAGGCUAUAACUAAGGAAAUUUCGAAUAUGGUAAUUAUCACCAGAAUCAAAGCUUUCCAAAAAAGUUCUUCUUGCCAUACCCUAAUCGUGACCUCCUCAUCCUGAGGCAUUAUUUCCAUCUAUUUCUCAGCUGAAUCAGAACUUUCCAAAACUUUGUGUGACUAAAUCAAAAUUUUCCUUCCUUCCCUAUCAUCUCAAUCGAAUCAUGAGCUAUAGGUAAGUCAUUUCAUUCUCCACCUCGCACGGGUUGUACUGAUUUUUAUCAUGGUUUGGCCCCCUGCCGUACAAGCCGCUCGAUUCCUCCUCCCUCGCUCAAUUCCUCCACCCUAUCUUCUUCUUCAUGGUGAGCGACCCAGGCAGCGAUGCGUGCCCGUUAUGCAUCAGCGAGGAGGACCAGGAAACGUUGAUUGCCAGCCCCGCGCUCAUCAUGUGAACCCGUUCACCGUCAGGUCAUGCUGGUGUGUUACGGGUGUAGGUGCACCUUACCUUAGCCAUGGAGGUUUGCCGGUGGACAACAGAGGCCUCACCAUGGACACCAGUAUCCCUCUCCUCUUCCUGCGCCCUACCUCUCCUUCCUCAGUCUCUACCUCUCUCUCUCUUUUUCUCUGUUCCAGGAGAUCUGCAGCCGACGCCGCAGGCCCUGCCCGUUCGCUGCCGGUCACCUCGCCUCGCUGUUCGAUCUCACCGCUGGAUAUGCACGACUCCGCCGCCCUGUGCCGUCCUCGUCGGGCACCAUCAUGGCGGCGCGAACACUGUAUGCAGUGGCUACAAUCAGCGGUAGUUGGUAGUGGUAGUUGGUAGUGGUAGUAGUAUAUAUCUUUAUGUGAUUGGUCACAAGUUGUAGUUGGUAGUGGUAGUAGUAUAUAUUCACUAUAAUUGUUUGUACGAAAUCACAUUAAAAAAAUCACACAUAAAUCACAACAAUUGCGUGCAAAAACACAUAAUCUUACCAUAUUUCAUAGGGUGCUAUCAUUUUUCAUGUUUGUAGUUGUAUGAGAAUAUUAAAUGUAUUAUUAACAUGAUUAUUAAAUGUAUGAGAAUAUUAACAUGAUUAAUAUUGAACUCUUAAAGUUAACAUGAUUAAUAUUGAACUCUUACCAUAUUUUCAUAUGUCACUUGAUAUGUAUGAGAAUAUUAAAUGUAUUAUUAACAUGAUUAAUAUUGAACUCUUGAAGUUAAUGUGGCCCCGUUGCAACGCACGGGCGUUCUUCUAGUAAUAUGUAAUGGACAAUAACCCAUAACCAUGUGAGAGCCAUGUAGAAGAAAUGCGCGAAGACUUUGCGCGAAGAGAGCGGUGGGAAAGGAAAUCCAUGGGAUCUCAAGUCAUCAUUGCUCUCUAGAGCUCGUUUUGUCAACUCAUGUGAUUGUGAGGUUGACGAGUGUUCAUGGGUACCUACACAAAAGAGACACAAACAAAAGAAUGUGUGUGCGUGGUAAAUGUACACAUCAUCCAUCAUGAUGUGUAUGUGCAUGUGUGAGUUAGCACAAGAUAAGCAUCGCUCAAAGAAAUUUGAUGCAUGGGUAUAAGAACAUGUCAUCCAUCAUGAAAGAAUAGUUAUUGUGUAUGACACGAUGGGGAUGCAAAUUUAACAUACACGUAUAUGGCACAUCAAUAGCAUGUUUAUUCAUGGGGAGCAUAUGGUGCACACAAGUAGUGGGAUCAUGCAAUGGAUAGGAUGAAUCAAAAUCUCAUAAAAUGUAUGAGGAAACUAUGGGGGUCUCCUCAUGAGCAAUAGUGGAAACAUCAUAUGGAGAAAAUGGACAACAUCCAAAACAAUGCAUAUCCGAAGCUAGAUAGUCAUGGCAUGGCAUAUGAGAUAAAUGAUGCAAAGGAAGCAUAGCAAUAUCAUCACAAGGAAAACAAAUGCCAAUAACCAUGGGCUUGUCAUCUAUGCCAUAAGUGCAAAUUGGAUUAAUUUUAAUGACAUAUGCAUAGUCACUACGAUGAGAUUGCAAAGAUGACAUAUUGUUGAUCUCAUGCAUAGCAUAUGACAAGUCAAGCGGAUUGUCAAACACGAUGUGACCUAGAGAAUUGUCACAAGAAAUCCUAUGUAACAUGGCAUCACAACUAGGCAAUUCAACAUGCUCAUCAUCAUAUUCAUCAUAAAGUGGUAGGUCAUGACAUGAGGAAGUCACACUAGCAUGAAGCAUGUGAAUAGGUGGAUCAACAUCAUGCAAGCAAUCAAUGUCAAGAAUGUCCACUAGUGGGACUAGAGCAUCACCUUCACCUUUGUUACCUUGUUCAUGCCACUCAAGUGGUGUAGGUGAGGUGGUAAAGACCAAAUGAUGGUCAUCUUCAUCGUGAUGGAACCAUGUGGGGGGUGCAUCAUAUUCCACCAUGGCCAUCGUCAUGUCCAAAGGGAGGACGAAGCCGUCGAGGAUCGGCGCGUCAUCAUAUGUGAAACCUAGCACCAAAGGAGAAGACACAAUAGAGGUAGAGGUUAAGUUGUUAGAAAGUGAAAUGGCCUCAUAUGCCUCAUCAACUACCUCACUCUCUCUAUGUGAUGGUGGCUCACUCACUCCCUCAAGGUAGGUGCACUCAAUGUUGCAUAUGGUGGAGUCACUCAAAUCACUCAAGUGGUGGUGGCGGUGGCUCUCCUCACAUGGGAAUUGGGGAAACUCAUGAGAUAUGGGGCUAGUGGUGAAGUCACUCUCAAUCUCAAUAUGGUGGCUAAAGUCACUCAAGUCAUCAUACGUCACCGUGGUCGAAGGGAAAAUCCCAUGCUCAACCGUCCCGUCAUCGUCGCCAUGGAUGAAGGCCGAAGAUGGCACAUCAUCACUCUCGUCGUGGAUGAAGGCCGAAGAUGGCACAACAUCACUCUCGCCUCCUAAGAUGGAAGCAUCAUCCUUGCUCGCCACCUUGUCACUUGCCUCCAAAGCAUGUUCCUUGAAGGUCUCUGUAGUCGUACUCGUUGCCGCACCAUCUUGAAAAAGAGUCGAAGAAGACUCGGCAUCAUCAAUGCCACAAAGAGGGAUGGCGGUGAAGUCGAACUUGGGAGCAUCGUCUUGGAGCUCGUCGGGCUUGGACAUCGUGGUGGUACUAGCCUCAUGCUCGUCGUGUUAGAGCUUGGUCUUCGAGAAGUGUGCUUGGGGUGGAGAAGCCUUGGCCUUCAUGAGUUCUUGUUCCGCCUUGAGAGCACCAAUGUAGUUGUCAUCGAGGGACUUGUAGUUCUGAGGAAGAUAGUCUUGGAUAUGUCGUUGUUCAAUCCCAUCAUGAAGUGGAACUUCAUUGACAUGGGGUCGUCCGCGCUGGCACGUCGCAAGGCAUGGUUCAUCUCCUUGAAGUACUCGUCAAUGGACUUGGAUCCUUGGAUGGUGUUCUCCAAUUGGCGUAGAAGUUGUUCCGUGUAGGUUGGAGGCACGAACUCUCGCCGCAUAGCUUUCUUCGUCUUGGGCCAACUCAUGUCAUAGAUCUCUGAAGGUGUGUGAAGCCACCAUGUGGACACGUAGUCGUGGAAGUUUCUUGAGGCGCACUUCACUUGAUCUUCGGGAGGAACUUGAUGUAGCUUGAGGUAGACGUCCAUCAAACGCUCCCACUCAAGAUACUCCUCGGGUUCUAGAGUCCCAUAGAAAGGAAUCUCGUGGUUUGUGUCGAGGUCGUAGUAGCUCGUGGAGGUCGCGGACUUGAGCUUGGGGAGCUUCUCUUGGACGUAGUCUUGGGGUGCUUGUUGGCGAAGAUGCCGUGUGUCCGUAGGCGAAGAUGCCUUGAAGUCGCUUGGCGAAGAUGCCAAAGGAGAUGGUGAAGUCGUUGAGCGAUUGUUGGUGUUGAGCUCUUGACCUUCACGUUCGUGGUGGUGAUGGUGUCGAUGCCGAUGUGAUCUUGCCGGAGAUAGUAGCUCAGAAGCAUGUGCACUAGAGCGUCUUCUCGAAGAUGAGGAAGAUCGCUUGUAGGACUUGAUGAGGGCUUUGAUGUCCUCCAUUUGAGCUUGCAUCUUGGCGUCGUUGGAUUUGUUCGUGGCAUCGAACUCGUCGUUGUUGUUGUAGACCGAAGGUGAAAUGCCUUGCCUAUCCAUCACAAGACUCGAGCAAAGGUGAGUAGGAAAUGAGAUAAACAAUACCAAGUUAGCUUUUCCCAAAGUUGAGGAUGUAUCUCGUAUCACUCAAUGUGAGAUGAAAGAAUAGUGGAAUUGGUACCAGACUUGUUCACUCACACCUAUCAAGUAAAGCUUAUGGAGGAGCUUGGUGAGGAUAGUGGCACAAAAAAUUUGAUGCAAAAUGUUAGCAAGAGUCAAUAAUGUUGGAAAAGAUUCACAAAUUCGCAAGUGAAACAAGUAGACCAAUAGCAAUAUGUGGCACACGGAUAGAUAAAUGGGGUCGUGCAACCAAGGAAUGAGCACUAAAUGUGUAAUCCACGAAAAACGCUCGUGUUGUACAACUCAAGAGAGACGCUAGCACGAUUGCUCAAUAGGCGGAUACGACACUUGUGCACAACCUAUAAGAUGCAAAAUGUAUGAGCUUUCUAUCCCAAGUAUGCUAUAUGUAUGAUGUUCCCGUUGUUCUUCUCAAGAUGAUCCAAGAUGAUCGGAUAUGACAAUCUUAUGUGCAAUGGUAUGAUGCUAUGGCACUUGCUUACAAGCUCUUUGCUCUCUUUUCUUUUGCUUAAAAGCUUAUUCUCUCCCUUUUUUUUGAUAUGGCCACUAUGCGAAAUGCACAAACCAAGAUAGUAAUUGUGUAUAUGCGGGAACAAUCUUGUGACACAAGAGAUGAUAUGCUACCAAUAUGAUAUGGUAUGUAUGCAAUGGAAGGGUGGAUCACUAAUGUGCACAAGUAACGUUGCCGGCAAUACUCAAAUGGCUAGUCUCGAUAGGCAAGUAACGCAAAAUGGGCUAGGGGUUAUCAAUGCAAUUGCAAGGGGAAUGUACAAUGGUGUCGUCGAGGUUACCAUCCUUGAUGAUGAUGAGUGGCGGUGUUCUUGAUGUAGAUACCAAGAUGAUGUAGACCCGUCCCUAAGUAGCUGAAACACCUUAGGAAACAGUAAAAACCGCAAACUCAAAAUCUCCAAAGGAAAAUGUCAAAUGGUGGUAGCGGGGAUGGCAAUGUGGAAGUGGUGGUGAUGGAUUAUGAAGAAGCAACCGUCCCUAAGUAGCCGAAACACCUUAGGAGACUCAAGUCACCACUCAAACAACCACAAAUGCUAAAUGGAGCAAAAUGGGUUAGGUUGCGGAAGGCUAUGUUGGGUUUUGCGGAUGAUAUGGUGGAAGGCCAAGGCAAAGAUGCCAAAAUGUCAAAAUUUGAUGGAGUCAAAUGGUGUUGAAACCAAGAUGAGUAGCUCGGGCAUGUCGCUAGCUUUUCAACGAGCCAAAGAACACCCAAAUCGGAGUUCGGAAGUGGAAGUUAUGACCGAAAAUAUAAAGUGGACGCGGCUGAUUCUGGGAGGGCCGUGCGCACGGGGUCCAGGGCCCGUGGGCACGGGGUGCCGUGCGCACGGUACACACACCGAGGGCACGGGGUCACCUGGGACACGUGGGUUUGGCAGAUUGCUUCCCGAUCUGGGCUCCAAAUGGAUGGAUCUCGUUGCUGGGGUUUAGCUGGGGGUAUGGGGGUGGUAUGGGGGUGGGAGGUCGAAGGGGCAGCGACCGAAGCGCACUUGAAGGGUCGUGCGCACGGGGUCUGUCUGGCCCGUGUGCACGGGGUGAUCUGUGAGCGGACGAACUACUCCGGAUCCGUGGGUAAUCUCGAAAUUGGGGUCAAAAUCGAAGGGUGGAAGGUAGGGGAAGGUGGAGGGAAGCUAGAUCCACUUGAAACCAAGCAAAUCCAUGGAUCAAAUCCAACAAAACAUCACCAAACCAACAAAUCACAAAAAAAUUGGGGCUAUUUUUUGUGGGGAUUUUCGAAAUUGGGGAAGAACACAACAAAACUAGGCUAGAGAACAAAGAGGGGUGCUCCAAUUUCGUGAGAAACCAUGGCUCAUGAUACCAUAAUGAGAUAGGAUGGAACCCUAAGUGGAGAUCUUUCAUGAAUUGGAGGGGGAAUCCCCAAGAACAAGAUGAACACAAGAGGGAAAACAAGAGGAACACUCAAGAACAGUCUAAUCACACAUCCACUAGACAAUCAAACACACAAGAUCCACAAGGUACAUGAACAAUCAAAGGGAAAUAAAAUACAUGGUAGAGUUCAUCCCAAAUCCUAUGAAGGAGAUGAGGGCUUGAUGAAUCCCUUAGGAUCUUCUCCAAUGGAGGCCUUGAACUCCAAUGGAGUCUCCUCUCUCAAGAGGAAUCCCACAAGGGGAGAUACAUGAGCUAAGCUCUAGUGUUUAGAUCUAUUCUUAGCUAAGUCUAAAUGGAGGAGAUGAAGGAGUAUAUAUAGUCCUAGGCAAAGAGAGGGAUAAGUGGGGGCGAAAUGGUAAAACAAGGGCAAAGCCCGCAGCAUCACAAAGGGGGCCCCGUGUGCACGGGGUAAGUGGAGCCCAUGCACACGGGGUAUCCAGAGACCCGACGCAUGAGCCCGUGCGCACGGGGUCCAUGAGGCCCAUGGACACGGGGGUCCCGUGGGCACGGUACACGCCCGUGCGCACGGGGUCUUCAGGACCGCCAGCCUGGGAUGCCCGUGGGCACGGGGUCGGAGGGGCCCGUGCGCACGGGGUCGCCUGGGAGCUGCUGCCUUCUUCUUGGCGCUUCCUUCUCCGCUUCCAGGCUUCCCUCUUGGAUGGUGUAGAUGUUCUCUUCCGCGUGAACUCGUCCUCACUAUGCUUGAAGCUUCGAUAAUACCUAUGAAUGCACAUGGAAGGAAUGUCAAGUAGUAUACCAUCCUCAAAGGGGUCAAGUGAACACGUGUAAAGGAGAUGAUUCACCUUUAUGUAUGCGAAGUAGAUGUGGCACGUGUCACUUGCCAAACGAACUCUUGACAUGGUGAUGUCCAUAGGAUGCUCCGCAUCAUCGUGGCUGAACAGCCGGUCGGCGAUGUCGUCGACGAGCGCCGCCGGCAGGUUGGGCCAGUCUUGCCUGCCAGUGUAGAUGAUCGUUAAGAAAUCAAGAGAUAUUAGGAUAGGAUAGGAAGGCAGGGGGAUGGGCUGACCAUUCGUCUUCACGGCGGAGUUGGGGCAGGGGAUGCUGGCGGGCGAGGUUGCUCCUCUUUCGCCUCUUGCUCAAAAGAGAGGCGUGGUGGCGGCUGAGACUGACCCGCCUUGGUAUUUGAGUUCAGUUCAGUACACGUGAGGAUGGAAAUGGGCCGCGAGGGGAAGUUGGCUAAUUGGUUGAUGAGGUUGCUGGGCUAAGAGAGCCCCACGAAAAUCCGGAAAACUACUUGCCUCAAGUUUUUCUGCCACUUCCUCAAGUUGUUGGGCUAAGAAGACAGUCAGAAUAGAAGAAAGAAAGAAGUCCAUUUUUCACCCUCAAAUGUACCCCAAUAGACAAAUCCCCCCUGAAGUCGAUUUUGGUACAAUUUUAACCCUGAAAUAUCUAAAACCAGAUAAAUUUGCCCCUUGAGUGGUUUUGCUGUGAUUUAGGUGGUUUUAGGAGAUGAGGUCGUCUUCCUCCUCUCUCUCCACUGAAGCCAAGUCCUGCAUAAGCACAAACACAAACGCAUGGUGAGCAUCUCCCGAAAGCAAGUGAAGUGUGGUGUGGCACGCCCAGACCGGGGUGAGGAAAUGGAUGAGGUUGAAGACGGGAGUGGCGGGCAUGUCGACGUCCUUAUCUAACUUGGCGAGCGCCCACUAGAGGACGUAGGCGUUGGGCUUGGAGCGGCUGAGUGCCAACACGACGGCGGUGGGCGCCGCAUCCGCUCUGGUCCCCUCUUCCUCUUGCGUGGCCAUUGGUGGAUCUCACAUACCCUGUUCAUCAGAGAGUGGCGGGGAAACGGAAUCGAACAGCAAUGGUCGCGGCCGGCGGCGACCGCUCUGGUCGAAGAAGAGCAAGAUAGAGGAGUACGUACCAGGUCGACUAGGUUAGGGGCUCCAUGAUACGCUCUGGUUAAGGACUCUCGCUGUUGUCGCGCGCGGAGCCGACGACUAGGUUAGGGGCUCUCGAUGCAAUGACAGAGGACCUCACCCUGCACUCGCGCGCCAGGUCGGGGAGGACGGCUGUAGUGGCUACCGGGGCAGCGCAUCAUGGAGGAGGGAGCUCGGUGUCGGGAGGAGCCAGGAGCGUCAGGAACACCGGAGGUAGCUCAGGGAACGCGACAGAGUCGCCAAAGCUCGUAGGAGCUAGGGAUUCUGCCAUGACGGAGGCAGCAUACCGAACACGGGGAAGGUAACUGCAGACUGUAAUUUUGCGCAACUAGGUCCAGUCGCUUUGUCAGACUAAAUGAGGGAGGCGCGGUGAAGCUUUGUGACUUGGCGGCGUGGCUCAAGGUAGCUGGUGGCCUUGUGUGCGGCGACGGCGGCGGUGGUGACCGCAGCACUGGCGUGCGGGGCGUGCGAUUCGUGCCAUGAGAGGCGGAGAGGAGGGGAGGAGAAGGGGAUAGAGGGGCUAGGGCACUCGGGGGCGAGUUAUAUAGGCCUAUGGCAGCGUUGUAGCAGCUCGGUGGCGAGCAUCGGCAUCCAUGGAGUCGGAUGAAUGACAUGCAGAAGAGAGGGGGAGAGGAGGAAGACGAUGCCAUCUCCCAAAACCACCUAAAUCAUUGCAAAACUGCUCAAGGGGCAAAUUUAUCCGGUUUCAUAGAUUUCAGGGUUAAAAUUGUACCAAAAUCCAUUUAAGAGGGGUAUUUGUCCAUUGAGACACAUUUGAGGGUGAAAAAUGGACUUCUUUCUAGAAGAAAAGGGAGCGCCUCAAGGACGCCCUAAAUGGUCCAGCCCAACUCGGCGGCAGCGCCGGUUCCGUAGCUACUUUUUUUUUGUUCUUUCUUUGUUUUAUUACUUCCAUACUUACAUUUCUGAAAUAAAAACAUAUUUAAUUAAAUUUUCGAAAAUGUUAAUUGCUUGUUUGAAAAAAUGUUCAUACAGUGUAAACAAAUAUGCAUGCAACUUCUAAAAAAUGUUGAUAGCAUUUAAGUAAAUAUUCGUAACAUUUGGUUGAGGAGGAAGACGACCCUAAAAAAUGUUCAUACAGUGUAAACAAAUAGCUGAGCACUUGGCGAACUUGGUACGCCGACCGGCCACCAAGCCAAAAACCCGAGAAGACAUAUGGUUGUGAAGAUGCCAUGCACGUCGGAGUGGCAAAAAUACGAUGAUGUCGUCGACCUAGAGAGACACACUCAAAGUCACGAGACGAGCAAUAAGGUGGUGAAGUUGAAUCGUACCUGGAGCCCCAUUGAUGAGGACGUACUCGUACACACGGAGUAGAAAAAGAUGAAAAUCCACUCCCUCCAAUGUUGGCUGAAGCCUAGCUGUCAAAGCGUCUCAUGGAGGAACGACCAAGAGACCGAAUUGAAGGCGCGAGCAAUGUCUGGCCUGAGAAGCAUCAAGGGACCCUGAGGUUAUGGAGAAGGCGCGCCGUCUGCUGGACAGAGCAAGAAAAUGCAGAUACAUAAAAUGAUGUUUAGAUGGCUGUUCAAGCCCUGGACAUAAGCCGGCACUUCAAAUUUCGCCGACUGUUUUUGUAGCUGUCGGUGGCUGUGACGGCUUGACCGUGACGCGAAGUUAGCGUCCGCAAAAUUAGCAGCCGUCGAGAUUGCAAAAUCUGUACAGUGGCAGCCAGCAGCUUGUGUUACGGCGCGGGCGCCCACCGUUCCCGUUUGCCCACGGCUCCGGGCGCGGCCCGCGGAAUGAACCGCCCGCGCGUCCACCCUUCCUUUUCCCGAGUCGCCGCCCCCCUUAUCUCUCUCAAGAAAAAGGGACAAAUGCCGUCCCUGGCUCCCAGCGCGUGCGUGCCCUUUGCUUCCGUUGCGGGGAGGAUGCAUGUGCACACGCUAGCGCCACGGUACGAAAGAGCAAGUGAUCCUCACGUAUCGCCUUCUUUGUUACUACUCGUCCAUGCUUAACUUGCCCGCAAUUUUUUUACUCGAACCAACCGUCGUUUAAUCCAAACGUACGCACGCACCCGGGUUGGUAACCACCACAGUAAACUUCAAGCCUAGCGGCCACGCUCCGAGGCGGACAAGGCAAUUAGGGCUCAACUGACUCUCGUCGUCGCUGUCGUUGGUUCACAUUGUUCAUAGAGCAACUCCAACACGGUGACCUAUUUGAUCCUCGUGUGUCCGUUUGUGUCCGCGCGGACAAAAACCACAUCCAGACGUAGCAACCAUUUUUAUUUUGUGUUCGUUCAGACCUAUUUCAGUCUCAAAUUUAUGCCAUAUUUAGGUCAGACGAAUACAAAAACAGACGUUUUCUGUGUCUGCCUCGUCCGUCUGUGUCCGGGCCUGGCCCACGUGUCACCCACCCACCCUCUCUCUCUCUCUCCUUAUUUUAUUCACUGGCCCACCACCCCUACCCUACAUCUCUCAUCCUGUUCUUCUUCUGCCACCGAGCCGCCGCCGACCACCUACCAUCGACGACUCCCGCAAGACACCACCGAGCCGCCGCCGGCGUGCGGCUUCAACCCGCACCCGCCACGGGCGAGGACCGAGCUGCGGUGAUUGUGGCUCCCUCGGGCGCCGCUCAAGGCCUCUAGCUGCUGGCCUCGGCGUUUGUAGCGCGUCUUCCUGGGAUGGCAGUUGCGCGUGGCGACAGGCCGCUGCGUCCUCUCGUCCCCUGCAUGCUCGCGCCGCCCCGCCGCGCCUGGCCUCGCCUCGCCUCGCCCAACCACGCCCGGCCUUGCGCUCGUCGCGCUCGCCGUGCCGCCCCCGAUGUGGGGUUCGAGCUUGCCCGUUGACCUCCUUGCGCGCUACGAGCUCCCCUGCCUGCCAUGUGUUCGAAGAAAUGUCAUGGCGCCAUGGACAUUAAAAAUGGGUUGGCUACCAUUGGUAGCACCUGCCGACCCAAUUAAAAAAGUGGACACGAACGGGCGGACGACCGACCCGGACAGACAAAAAAGGACAAAAUUGACAUCCGUUUGGGUCGGCCGGUCGGAGCUGCUCUUAUGGCCAUGGAGGCGGGAUGGAUCCCGGUCCUUAUCGAUGGGACAUAUCUUACUCCAUUUUUAGUUAGAGUUUUCAAUUUUAAUAGAAUUUAUGUUCUAUUCAUGAAGAUGAGACGACGAAGGCUCCCUGAAAAUUAAAUAAGGUCUUUCUUGCCUUGUUCCCGUCCACGGUGCGUCUAGCGGUGUCGGUGGAUGUGUGGAGGUGUGUCUUUGGUGCUUCUCACCAACUCGGACGGGAGUGGUUUUUUAUUGAACUGUUGGACCCUGUCUUCGUUCGUGUGUUUCCACAUUGGAUCCUUCCUAUCUAAACUUCUCUUCAUCAACAACUGGUGUUGUUUUGGUGUGUCGGUACUUUGGGGCCCUAACAUGAUGACUUCUCUACUAUCUAUCACAACAAUUCGGUGAGGAAGGGGCAAUAACGACGACUAUCACUAGAUGAUCUUCAAACUUGGAUGUAAUUAUUUGUUACUUCCAGUAUUCUCUGUGCUACCAUGACAGAUGAUGAUUAGAUCGAAAGUCCCCCCCCCNNNNNNNNNNNNNNNNNNNNNNNNNNNNNNNNNNNNNNNNNNNNNNNNNNNNNNNNNNNNNNNNNNNNNNNNNNNNNNNNNNNNNNNNNNNNNNNNNNNNNNNNNNNNNNNNNNNNNNNNNNNNNNNNNNNNNNNNNNNNNNNNNNNNNNNNNNNNNNNNNNNNNNNNNNNNNNNNNNNNNNNNNNNNNNNNNNNNNNNNNNNNNNNNNNNNNNNNNNNNNNNNNNNAGAUAGAUAAACAAAACGGAUAGCGCGGAAUAGGGGCGGCGGAGCAUAGGAUGGCCGAAAUAGGGCGUGGCGGUGGCAGGGUGAAUAUUAAGAUCAGGCGGUUGGGGCUCUCGCGGCAGCCGUUUAACGUCUGGUCGGCUGUUAGCGAUGAACCAAAUUUUACAUCACUUUUAACAAUUUUUUAGUCGGGACAAAAAAAAUGAUUGGUCGCCAUGUAGAUUUAGUGUUGUUGUUGGAGCUGCUCUUUGGCCUCCCAAACACAAAAAAACCGUUUUUUGUCACGACAACAUUUUUUCAUUUGAUGUUGGAGAUGCUCUUACAAUCGACAAAAACCUAGAUACGCAUAUCUUCAAAACAACACGAAACAUGAAGAUUCGGUAGCGGGGAGGAGCUUGGCGGGGACGACGAUGAAACUAAAUCAGACGACGUGCUAGUUCGGGGGCGGCGAUGCGGUGCUCGAGGCCCGUGACUGGGUGAAUACGACAGUUUGAAGCAUGGUGGGAUGACCGAAAUUAGAGGAGAUCUGGCGGUGACGCAAGCUCGGCGACGAUGACCCCCCAAGUGGAGGGGUGGUGGUGGCUGUAAUCGAAAUUGGCCGGGGCAGUGGAGAUGAAGACCCAAAUACUUCUGGGUUUUUUUCUUCACGUAAUAAAGACCCAAAUACACCAACCCUAUGUAUCUUUUUGGUCUGGCCCCCAAAAAAGUUUGGUCGUCAGUUAUGUUAUGUGGUAUGGUCAAAAUGAUAAAAAUAUUCUGCUUUGUUUACUUUUCGGGUACUUUUUUGUCUGUCAUUGGAAAUGUGUGAGCUCAUAAUUUUUAUUUUUAGUAACAAGAGCUCUCAAGAGAAAAUUAUUCCUCUUCGCUAAGAAAGGUGACUCUUAGGCGACAAGGGCUUCCUGCGUGUGUUGUCGCUCCAGUCUGCCUCACCGCCUAUGGCCUUUGGGCCAUGGAGACGCGUUGGACCUUGACCCUUGCUGGCGGGAGGGCUCCUGCUCCGUUUAUAGGUGUUUUUCUAAGAUUGAUUAGGGUUCGUGUUCUGCUCAGGCAUGUGAGGCGGUGACUGCUCCUUAAAGAUGGAACAAGGUUCUCCCCGCCUAGCCUCCUCCCCGGCGAUGCGUCUAACGUCGUCGAAGUGCGUGUAGUGGUGGUGGUGUGUGUCUUCGACGGAUCUCGUGGGAUUCGGCUGGUGUUGGUCUUGGGUGGAUCUUCGCGCACCAGAUUAUUACUUUUACUGCCCCAAGUAAAAAUUAAAAGAAUCACUCGAGCUAACCGUCACCUUUUUUUUCUUCGAGAAAACAGCGAACCGCUAUCUAAUCGAAACGUACGCCCGCACCCGGGUUUAGCAGUAACCGCCGGAGUAAACUUCAAGUCUUAGCGGCCGCUUGGCCCCACCACGCACGCCCCUCCCUCCUCGUGAUGAUAAAACGGCCAGGCCCACCGCCCCCUUCCUCUCGUUUUCUCCGUUUCCUCCUCUCCUCUCCCCUCGCUUCCCUUCCGCAUCGGCGCCCUACCCUACCAAACCCAGUCCACCACCCCCCACUUCUCCCCUUUCCUUUCCAAAUUCCAUCCCAAUUCCAUCCAAAACCACCACCACUACCAAAUCGUAUACAAUUCUCAGAGAUUCGAAUUCCCCUUAGCACCACUGCCAUUAUUAUCUUCUCCGUCGGGAAGGAAGGAAGGAAGGAAGGAAGGAAGGAAGGAAGGAAGGAAGGAAGGAAGGAAGGAAGUCGAACUCGAACUCGAGGGUCGGCCUGCCUAUUUGGGUGCCUUUUGUCGCCCACUGUUGGGUGCGCGUCUGAGCGUCUCCUCAAUUCUCGUGCGGCGAGGCAAGUUUUCCCCCUCCCCCUCUCACCCCGAAAUGGAACUCCCCUCCUUCCUUUUUACCCCUUUUAUCUUCUCUCUCACUGUUCUUCACCCUCUUCUCGAGUGAAAUCCGGCCGAUUCGCGUCGCGGAAUUUCGAUCUGUUGCGUCCGGAGGUUCGAUUGACGGUUCAACUGACUUGGAUUUGUGGCGUGCGUGCAGGGAUCUGCCCGUCUAUGGUCGCCGGCGGGAGGGCGGUCCUGCGGCGGGCGAAGAUGGGCGGCGACGACGACGACGAGUACGUCGUGGACGAGGACGAGGAGGAGGAGGUGGAGGAGGAGGAUGACGUUGAGUACGCGGCGGCCGCGUGCUCCGACGAGGACGCCUCCGAGGAGGAGGCCGAGGACGAAUCUGACGCCGACUUCGACGGGGACGCGGAGGAGGAGGAGGAGGACGACGAGGAUUUCGAGAUCGACAAGCCGCGGCACCGGCCGAGGCGCCCUCCCAGGCCUCCCCCCAGGCCCCGCGGGCGGGGCAGGAAGAAGGCCAAGUCGGACGACGACGACGAUUCCGACGCCGAUUCCGAGGAGGAGGAGGAGGAGGACUUCGAGAUCGACGCGCCGCGGCCCAGGCGGCGGCCGGCCAGGGCUCGCGGCCGGGGCCGGAAGCGGAGGCGGAGGCAGGAGUCGGAGCAGGAGGAAUCCGAUGCGGAUUUCGAGGAGGAGUUGGAGGAGAUCGAGACGCCGCGGCCCAAGCCUCGCCGACGGGCCAGGAAGGCCAAGCCGCGCGACGACGACGACGACGACGACUCCGAUGCGGAUUUCGAGGAGGAGGAGGACGAGGAUUUCGAGAUCGACACGCCGCGGCCGAGGCGUGCGCCGACGGCUCGCUCCCGGGGCAGGUCGAGGAAGCAGGAAGAAGAGUCUGACGCGGAGUUGGAUGGGGAGGACGAGGGCUUCGAGAUCGAGACGCCGACGCCGAGGUGCGCGCCCACGGCUCGCUCCCGGGGCAGGGCGGGGAAGCAGGAAGACGAGUCUGACGAGGAGUUCAAUGGGGAGGAGGAUGGAUUGGGCAACGAGGAGGUGGAGGUCGAGGCGCCAUGGCCGAAACGCCCAGCCACGGUUCGGUUCCGGCGCAGAAGGGAGGAGCAAGAGAUCGAGUCUGAUGCAGAUUUCAAAGGGGAGGAGGAAGAAGUGGAGAAUGAGUUGGAGGUCGAGACCACACAGCCAGCCAUGGACCCUUCCUGGGGUAGGAGUGAGGAGCAAGAGGAUGAGUCUGAUGCAGAUUUCAAAGGGGGGGAGGAAGAACUAGAGAAUGAGGAGUUGGAGGUCGAGACCCCACUGUCAGCCAACUUUCGCUCUGGUGGCAGGAAUGUGAAGGAGGAGGAUGAGCUUGAUGCAGAUUUCAAUGUGGUUGAGGAGGAAGUUGAGGAUCAGGAAGAGGAUGACGAGCUGGAGAUGGAGACGCCAGAGUCAGUCAAGUAUCACUCCGGUGGCAGGAAUGUCAAGGAGGAUGAGCUUGAUGCAGAUUUCAAUGUGUCUGAGGAGGAAGUUGAGGAUCAGGAAGAGGAUGAAGAGCUGGAGAUCGAGACUCCAGAGUCAGUUAAGUAUCGCUCUGGUGGCAGGAAUGUGAAGGAGGAGGAUGAGCUUGAUGCAGAUUUCAAUGUGGCUGAGGAGGAAGUUGAGGAUCAGGAAGAGGAUGAAGAGCUGGAGAUCGAGACGCCAGAGUCAGUCAAGUAUCAGUCCGGUGGCAGGAAUGUGAAGGAGGAGGAUGAGCUUGAUGCAGAUUUCAAUGGGGCGGUGGACGAAGUUGAGGAUCAGGAAGAGGAUGAGGAGUUGGAGACCGAGACGCUACAGCCGAGGAACCUGUCCGAGGCUCGUGGCAAGGGCAGGAAGGUGAAGUCAACACGCUCUAGCCGGCAGAGGCACGAGGAUGAUGAUGAUUACGAGGAAGAGAUCGAGGAUGAGGAUGAAGACUUUGAUCCGGAGGUGGACGAAGAUGAGGAGGAUGAGGAGGAAGAUGUUGAAGAAGAAGAUGAUGAUUUGGGGGAUUAUGCCCCAACUCGUGCCACAAAUGUUAGACCUAGGAACCACUUGGCCAAGCGGAAGCCAGCGGCUGGGCGCCAACACCGUAAGAGGAAGAGUAGUUCCAAGGGAAAGACAAGGAAUGGCACGUCAGCACGUCGGCGUAGGAGCAAGCGGCGGGUGGCUGACGACUAUGAAGACGAUGAGGAGGAAGAGGAUGAUGAUGAUUUUGUUGUCAAGGACGACGUGGAGGAAGAGGUCAAUUACCGGCCAAGGAAGAAGGCCAAGGUUGGGAGGAAGACGAGGGAAGGUACUGCAGAGCCAGUUGCUGUGGGAGAAGCAUGGCCAUCAGUCGAAUCUGACACAUCAGAAUUUGAGUUUGUGACAUCUGACGAGGAUCAUGCUGAGAAGGAAACACCAGUUGCUGAGCCUGCGAGGAUCAAGAGAAAGAAGGGUAGGAGGAAGAGGGGUUCUGAAUCAGACUCGUCUUCAGACUCUGAUUAUGUCAUAUCGGAGGAGGAACUUAAGGAUUUGGGGGUGCCUAGGCCCCAAGAGAUCGUGCCACAGCUGCCUUCGCCCCCAGCACGAAGGACCAUUGCUCCUAGGAGGGUAGACGAGAAGGGAAAAGAGCCAGAGGAGGCUUUGAAACAGAUAUGUGGUAUCUGCCUCUCAGAGGAGCAGAGAGCUACAAUACAGGGUGUGCUUAAUUGCUGCUCACACUACUUCUGCUUCGCGUGCAUCCUUGAGUGGUCAAAGGUGGAGUCGAGGUGUCCACUGUGUAAACGGCGUUUCAACACAAUUACCAAGUCAUCAGUGGCAGAUCUAGGAUUGGGGUUGAGGAAUGCUCCUGUUAGGGUAGAAAAGCGCGAUCAGGUAAUGGUUUACUCUCCUGGUCACUAUAAAAUUACAUAUCCACAGGGUAUAAAACCAUUCUGCAUUGCUUGCCCACUUAAUAUUCGAAUUGGUUAGUCAUUGAGAUGAAAUGCAUUUAUGUUCGAACUACCACUAAAAUAUAUGAAAAUCCUGUCCCCGUAGGAAUGGAACAUACAUUUUGCUGUUACUUAUUAUAAUAAGUGUGCUGUGUUGUUUCUAGUGACCAUCCAAAAUGUUGGUUAGUGGAUUAAAAGUUUUAAGCAGAUAUGACACGGAAAUUUACCAAUUUAGGGAUAACAUAUCCAUUACAUCCACUUUGCCAUUCAAACUCAGGGUUCGAUGAUGUAAAUUCAUAUUUCUGCAAGUAAGAGCUUUUCUUGUUGUAUUCACAACCUUGAUGUUGAUGUAAAUCUGUAGGUGUUGAGGACUUUAUAACCUUUUGAAUUUUGGAUUAUGUUCCGCAUGACAACAUAUAUAAAACCUCUUAAUUGUUAGGAUGCUAACUGAAACUUGUGCACUGGUUAGCUUAAAAGUAAUGUUAACAAUAAACCGUGACAGUUUGCAUGGUUGUCUCAUUUGUUCUGUUUCUUCCUUGAACAGGUAUACCAGCCCACUGAAGAUGAAAUGAGGCGAUGGUUGGACCCAUACGAAAAUGUUGUAUGUAUAGAGUGCAAUCAAGGCGGUGAUGACAAUCUCAUGUUGCUAUGUGAUAUAUGUGAUUCCUCUGCACAUACUUUCUGUGUUGGUCUGGGAAGAGAAGUACCAGAAGGCAACUGGUACUGUGGUGGGUGUAGAUCCAGUGUGGAAGGGCCUUCUCAUGCACAAACACAGGAUAGGGUGGUUCACCGUGGAGAUAGUAACAUGAACACCGCCGAUAGCAGUUCUGGUUCGUUGGGCAGAUCUACAUCAAGUGGAGUGUUCCAGAGACCACCACCAAUAAACGUUCAGCCUUCUUUGCAAGGAUUUGAUCUAAAUCUCUCUCCAAUAGAAACACCUGAGGAAGAUAAGCGAGCCGAGUCACAUCUCUCAGCUGAACCUGUAUCAACUCCUACUGGGAGGCAUGCAACUCUUGAUAGAAGGCGUGCCUUGAACCGACGCAUUCGUAUUCUUCUAUUUAGACCUAGGACUGCAACUAAUGCUUGGCAGAAUAGCAUUCAGCAAGACAGAAGCGCACCAGCAACAGAACAAAAUCAACGGAACGCCUGCACCUCUACAGAUGUGAGCCCAUCAUGUUCCAGGGCUGAUUUUAUGCAGAGCCAGCAGAGUAGCUCACAUUUUGUACAGUCUGCAAGUAAUCUUAAUCAAUGCACUGAUGAGGGUGGAAGCAAUUUCCGAGAAGUUGCAAAUGCCAAGGACCAGCUGAUUCCUAUUGUCAAGAAGAGCAUCAAGCACAUUUGUGCCCGGUCCCCAUUGGGUACGUAUAGCGGUCUGAGCAAACUGUUUUAUCGUAUCAAUUUUUCGAGCACCCACAAGUUAACAUUUGGGUGUAAUAGUUUGAUUUUAUCCUUAGCAUAUUAGAUUACCUAGAGAUUGAGUAGCCUUGUAUUUUCAUAUUUAAAAUGGUUGUUAGAGAAAAUUAAUUCAGUUUAUGCUAGGGCAUCAUCCCAUUGUAGCAGUUGUGGUCCCAAAAUAAAUUAUCUAAACUGGAAAUGUCUCAGGUUUGUGGCUAUUAGUAGCCUAAAUAAUAAUUGCCUGUCCUUUUUAUAGUCCUUUUUUCUGCUAUGCUGUUGGCCAUUGUAUGCUGAACUAAAUGCAAAGACAGCUGUGUUGGACUAUAUAUGCAAUCUUGCUAAAGCAUGACUAUUUAACUGGAACUAACCUCUCAUCCUUUAUGUUUCAGAUCAAUCCUCUUUCACGAAUGUAGCACGGCGGGCGACACACACUAUCUUAGCGUUGUCUGGUAUUGCGCACAACAAGGAUAGGGUUGUUUCUACACCUUUUCCUUUUCCUAGCCAUUGUUGCCACGCCUGUGAUGGCCGAGAGCCAGCGUUUCUCAUGAGAACCAUCUGCUCGUCAUGCUUCAACUCAUUCGUUGGUGAUGUCGUCAGUCACAUCGCUAAUAUGUUUUCUUGAAGUAGGUGGUCUUUUCAAGCUGGCAUUUCUCUCUCUGCUGUCAUCAUUCUUUGAAUUUAUAGACACUUGGAAAGAUUAUACGGAUACGAAGGUGUUAAUGGAUGUUGGAUAGCUUGAAAUAUAGAUCAUUUCUAAAUGAUGCAUUCUCUUUUGGAACUAACUUCUUAAUUGACUUGUCAUUAGCCAUCCUGACAAGUUUCAAGGCUUCCAGCAAGCUGCUACAGUCUUCAAUGAUGAUGCCCUCCAAUGAUCUUUUUUAUUGCGAACUGUGUAACUUGCUUUUCCUUUCUCUCAGUAUUAUAUGCUUUAUCUCCAACAGAAGUGGAGCAUCUUAUAUAUCAUGAGAGAAAUCCGGAGGAGAAAAACUGAACAUUAAUAUGUUGAGCAUGCCACUAUGAACAUUAGAAAUUGAGAAUAGGAUAUAGGACCAAAGUUUGUAUAUACAAGCAUAUAACCACAUGUGCGAGUCUGCUAGAUCUGAUGCACUGUUAAGAAAAUCUCUGCAUAUCAUUCCAUUAGUGUUUGUUAUACUUUGGAAGGAAUAACCUUUCUUGGUAGGAAUAGCUUGUGUCCUUUUCACUUGGUGUUCUCAGUUCGGUAUCUUUCUUGUCUGCACUUGGUGAAGCCCCCUCUCAUAACUGAAGCGAGGCGGUAUUCGAUUUAUCGGAUUUUGAGCUACCUGCCCUUUUCCCUUUUCUUGCUCUGAUAUUCCUCUUCCGAGUCUUCCUCUCGAGUCCUAUAUUCUUCUUCUAGGGUCCUAUAUAUCUAAAUUCAACAAUUCCUGAACCCUUUUUAUCUUUGUGUUCAUCUGUACGGUUUGUGCAAUUAUGUUACCAUCUUGCCCUUUUCCAACCGAAACAUACUGUUACCUUUCGUGCAGAUUAACCUAUUGUUGAUAUGAGCUGUUUAACUCCCUAGGUCAUGCAAUCAUUUAAGGGUUCAUCUUCUCUCUUUUUCGUGGGAUUUUNNNNNNNNNNNNNNNNNNNNNNNNNNNNNNNNNNNNNNNNNNNNNNNNNNNNNNNNNNNNNNNNNNNNNNNNNNNNNNNNNNNNNNNNNNNNNNNNNNNNNNNNNNNNNNNNNNNNNNNNNNNNNNNNNNNNNNNNNNNNNNNNNNNNNNNNNNNNNNNNNNNNNNNNNNNNNNNNNNNNNNNNNNNNNNNNNNNNNNNNNNNNNNNNNNNNNNNNNNNNNNNNNNNNNNNNNNNNNNNNNNNNNNNNNNNNNNNNNNNNNNNNNNNNNNNNNNNNNNNNNNNNNNNNNNNNNNNNNNNNNNNNNNNNNNNNNNNNNNNNNNNNNNNNNNNNNNNNNNNNNNNNNNNNNNNNNNNNNNUGCACUCUAGUUUUACUUUUAAUAUGUUCAUGUAUGUCAGUUCUUAUUAUAGGUUGUGUCAUGUGUGUUAUUUGCUCUCCCUGGGGCCUAUGGGCUGACAAAUUUGCAGUUGGCAUGUGCUUUGUUUUUGGGGUUGGAACAAAAAUGUGUUUACACAAGGUUUUUGGAUUCUUCCCACAAGACCUGCAUCCAAAAUUUACUGGUAUACAGCAGCAUUGCUCAUUCAUUGCCUGCCAAAAUGAACAGUUUUUUCAUGUCAUCCACCCACCGUGUGUGUCGGCGCGCAGCUGAAAAAUCAUCUGAAGGAAGUCCUAUCUUGUGAUUGGGUUUGGAUAUUCAUGCAUUUUAUUCAGCGCCCAUAUGGUUACAAGUGUGUGUGUGUUUUCUUGGUGGUUUGAGGUUCUUUCAGUUUUUUUUAAAUCUUUUUUGUGGGAACUUCCAGUUGUUUACUAGCAAUAUUUUACCCAGUUGCAAUCAGAGGGGUUUGCAUCUUAAAGGGAUUGCAACUGGCAUCCCAAGCCCGUCUGCAUCAGGAAGGGAUAAAGCAGCAAAUCCUGGCACAAAAGAAGAGAAUAAAUAUCUCCCUCUGUUCUCUUUUCUGUAGACAAUAAAGCAACACCGUAACCCCUAGCAGUUCUCUUACGAAGCAAGGCAUAUACAUGUGUUCCUUCUCAUAGCCGCCAAGCUGAAGGAACGGAUAUGCAUUUCGCAAGCAGCCUUUGUUGUCGUCCCCGGAGGGGAAAGAUAUCUCCGGUCUCGGGGGCUUUCGGCUCCACCACGCACCGCAUCGUGGUGAGGUUCCAGUCACGGAGCACACGCCAUGCCUUGCACUCAGACUCAUCUCCCUUCCAUUCGUGUCCGUCGACGCGGACAAGUUGAACAUCGAUCUGUCAACAAAUUAAUUACUGUAAUACCACUCCAGUAAAAUAUUACGGUAUAUUAUAUUAUAUAUGUAUAAAAUUGGUGAAACGGACACAUUGCUUGUCUCGACGCGACGAAAGGGACACUCGUGCCGAGGACCUUGAGAGGGUGGCAUGUGACGCGGAAAGGUAUACAAUGCGACUAUCUGGACACACAGUUGAGUGAGCCCUGCUUCCGAGGCAUCAGAUUCCCGAUCGGACGGUCAGCGAGGCGACGCCGAGCGCCAUAUGACCCGAGGCCCCGAGCAUAGGAUGCCGCUGGCCGCCAACUCGGUCGCUGCGGCCUCUUGAUAUCACGCACAGCAGCGGCCCUCUCUCUGCCUCGCGCUGCAGCUAGCUGGCCUUCAUUGUCGCGCCCCUGCCCGCCCUCCAGGCUCCCACCUCCCUCUCCUCUCUCCCCCUGCCCUCCAGCGAAGUAAAGAGGGAUGGCGCCGACGUACCGGCCUUACGCGGCGGAGUACGGCGUGGUGGAGCGGAAGGUGCCGGGGGCGCGGUGGGUGGCGUCGGCGGCGGCGGCGUCGUCGGUGGCGUGGUUCGUGGGGGACCAGGCGGAGAUGAAGCGGCGGGGGCGGGUGGCCAGCUACAAGGCGUACGCCGUGGAGGGCAAGGUGAAGGCGUCCCUCCGCAGGGGCCUCCGCUGGAUCAAGGCCAAGUGCUCCCACAUCGUCCACCGCUAGCCCGCCCGCCGUCUUCUUCUUCUUCCUUGGUAUUCGUCCUCCUCCUGCUCUGCCUCCCAUGGAUUCGGACCGCGCUCCACCACCACCUUGCGUUGCGUGCUCUUCUUUCUCUGCCUGCCUGCCUCCGAUAUCUGGUCUGGUCUCAUACUCUCAUGGGUUUUGGCUCGCCGGAUCUUGCAGGUGGCUUAUCAGGAUCGACGGUGGCAAGAAGGGAUGCGCGAGGGAGAUGGCCUCAUGGAGCAUUCCUUGCGAGUAGAUUAGUCAGUAGUGUAAGAUCAUCAUAUGCAUGGGUCUUUCUUCUUCUUCUUCUUCUUCUUUUUCUUCUUUUUCUAGCUUUUGUGUUGUCGAGAGAGAAUGUUUGUUUCCGGGCCGGGUUGCAAGCAAAGUUGGCCAUCAUCACACGCGAUUCCUUUCUGCUUCACUUCACUUUGCUUCUGCAAAGCAAGCAUACCUGAUUGUUGUGUCCGUUUGAUGCUGAGUGCUUGCAAAACAAAUUACUCCACAGUUGAAUUAAAUCCAUCGCGCAAUGGCACGAAAGCACGCGCAGGGGAAAUCAAGAAUGAAAAUGGAUCGAAUAGCACACGCUCCAGUCCAGAAUCACGGGACAAACCCUGUGGCACGUGGCGCUGGCCGCCCUGCCACGUCGUCUCCGCUGGUCCCAGCCAACAGGUUGUCCACACGGGCCUGGCUCGUCAGCACAAACCCCACUUUUGCCUGCCAACGCGAGAAAAAAAAAAUGCAUCCUACUUUGACGCGAAAAAAGGGUUCAAUUGGAGAAGUGGGGUAUCAAUCCCCAUACCUCUCGCAUGCUAAGCGAGCGCUCUACCAUCUGAGCUACAUCCCCUUGCUAGUACAUAAUAUUCUCUUCAGCUUAUGUACAGAAUCAAGAGCCUUGUUGAUUUUUAUUUUAUUCCCAAAUAAACGUUGUUGAGUUCCCACCUAUUCCAUGGUCGACGAUAAGGCAAAACGGUACUCCCUUCGUAAACUAAUAUAAGAGCGUUUAGAUCACUAAUUUAGUGAUCUAAAUGCUUUUAUUAUAUUAUUACUUUAUGAAUGGAGUACUUCAUAAUCGUAUGAUUGGUUUUAGAAAUUGUUUGUAUUCCUUAGAAAAACGACCAAGUCUUACAAUUUAUUACCAAGUUAAAGAAUUAAAAUACACACAAAUGGCAAAGCUCCGUCACAUAAAAACUAGAUGUCACAUCAAAGUCCUUCAAAUGACACAUGCCAAGACUAAUCAAGCAGGGUGAUCCUCUGUCACUGAUGUUGUCCAUAUUCGUCAUGAAGUGCCUCGCUGCGCUCAUGUUUGUUGCCGUCGAUGCGUGUAUGUUCAACUUCAUGGGUUAGUGUCAAACACACGCUCUUAGCCCUCAACAAAGCUAUUUCCAGCUUCGCGGAGACAAGAUGGAAGAGCUGGCCAAUAGGCUCGCCUCCCGUGUUAGAACCAGGCCUCACCUCAUCGCUACUCUCAAUCGGCUGAUCAUGUUAUUUCUUGCACUUAAAGUAAACGAUGACGAUUCUAUUUGUUUUUCAAGAGUUCAAUGAAUCCUCCAAGAACAUGGUAUGCAAUCCAAAAUGGAGCGCCCAGUUUGCAACCAAUGUGAACACAAUGGACGGUAGUCAAAGAUUCCACAAGUCUUGUUGUCCCAUUUCUAACAUUCAGUGCACCAGACGAUGGGUUGUGAGACUAGCUACAGUAGGGAGUAACAUGGACUAGUAACAUGCAUACGUUACUUUCACUAGUUAUUCUAGAAAGUUUUUCUCAGGUGUUGUGCAACCAAAUAGAGAAGAACAGUUAACAAGUAUUCUUCCAUCAUGUCAGCAAGUAUUUUUGAGAGAUUUUUCUGAACCUGUGGAUUGUCUCUUGGUGUUGUGCAUUUGUUUUUUUUUCUUACUUCUCUUUGGGCACUUUUCCUUUUGACAUGCCUCUCUGUUCUUUGCUCUUCUCUCUCCCUCUCUCCCAUGGCGUCUACUCUUUCUUCUUCUCUCUCCCCUCUCCCAUGGCGCCUCCCAGAUGAGUUCUAUGUGUUAGGUGAGAUACGUGAAUUGGUUAGAGUAGUAGAGUUCGGGCCCUUGUGUGGGAUGCAAGUUGAAGGAGGAUCCUAGGAAUCGCAAUCGCCAGUUGUUUUCUGAUUUUAAUUUUUUUCUUUGUCAGGUGAUUUGUGAUCCAGGAAAGGGUAAGGAGUGUGGGCGACCGAUCCAAUGGGAUUUUUUUUAUUUUGGUUAGUUAUAUUAGAACCGGAUCAGAUUUUCAGCCCGACCCAUUUUUUUGGGCAUACAAACAUACAAUUGUCGUAUGUUUUUGGACACACAACUGUCAACAUUUGAUUUGUGUGGAAAUUUGAAUGUUUUCCAAUUGUAAAUCAGUCAAAUGCUAAAUAGAUAGUCCGUGCUUUUAAACCAACAAACUUGCAUCACGCGCGGUUGUGCCCAAACACAAAAUACAUCAGCAAACUUCACAUGUGCUUCGCCCUGCCUCUGUCUUCUUCCUCCCAACGAACCACCGUCCGUUGCGCCGGUGCCAUCCCCACCCACGACGACCCCUUCCCGUGGAUCCACGCAUGGCAUCCCCACCCAUGACGACCCCUUCCCGUGGAUCCGCGCAUGGAGCAAUGCUAGCGUCGGGCAAGGCAGAUGCGUUGGUGCGGGAACGAAACCCCGAGCUAGAGAGGCCGCACAGCUGCGUGCCGAGGUAUGAGGCCGAGGAGCGGAUGUGUAGACAGCUUUGGAGGACAAGUGCUAGAGUUGAUGCUUUCGCGAUUAGGAUAAGAAUAUAGGACAAAAAAAAUACCCAUGGUACAUAAGUAGGGAAAUCUCAAAUUCAUUUGUGUAGAUCGGGUACGGGUAUGUGAUUGUGCCUGGGUGAAGCCUUUACCCGUACCCAAACCUAACGGGUGCCAUCCCACUUCCAUGUCAUGGGUAAGAACAGAACAAAUCACUUCAACCCUCCUUUUGUUUGUUGGAUUGUAUGAAUUUUAUAGCAUAGAAUUUUCGAAGGAAACAUUUCUUUCAAGCCAUUUGGUUUGUACGAACGGAUUCUUGUGCCUAUGUAGUAGGAUAGGAACCAAUCCUUCACAUUUCAAAAUGAAAAAAGCAUUAGCCUAAAGUCAAUUAAAAAAAUCCUAUGAUAUGCAUUGAACAACAUUUUUUUAUAGGAAUUAAGAUACAUGUCAUCUCAUUUGUUAAGAUUUUCUUACUCUUUCAUAUCUCUUUCACGUGAUGCACAUAUAUCUGAGUUCAAUGUUAAAACCAUACAUCGAUGUAUCAAUGGCAUAUUAUCAUUUUUUUCCUUCUUAAUCCAAGCACCCAAUACGCAAAGACUAAAGUGUGAUUAUGUUACAUCAACUUCACACUGUUGUUCUUUUAGUUAUAAGGUGCAUCAGAAUGACAUGCAAUCACAGAUGAAGCAUAGAGAUUUGUUGUUCAAAACUUCAAAUGUCUUGCAUGUUUGAUCAAGUUUACAAUGGUUUCAAAGUAUUCAUGCCCAAUAUAGGGCAUCUGCUGGAGCAAAAGCGUUUCAGGUGAUGACAAAUAUUCUUUUUGUGAUGUAAAUCUACCUUUUGUGCGCCCAAGAUCCAUCACCUGUUCUGAUGACUGAAGGCACCCAGGCACUAUUACCAUCACAAACACAGUAGGUACAUAAAUUUGCACGCACAGAAUAUGUAAAACUAGGUUCGGUGAACCGAAAUGUUUAAAGAAACUCUGCAUAAGCAACAUCCAACAGAACAAACACGAUAUGAUAUUUAAGGUAUCUCAUACGCGGCACACAGAUAUUGCACAGAAAACAGUUCUGAACUUCAGAUGCUCCAAAAUCAGGCUAACCCUUCAUGAUACCAGAAAGCUAAAGCUUCAUGUCAGACCUUCACUUCUUGGCCUUGGCCUUCUUUGGUGCCCUGUAAACGAUGCAAAUUGGAGAAGGUAAGAUAAAACAGAACAAAACACAUUAACUAUGUGGAGAAAGAUUUUGGAUGGAG
RNAcentral lists this long non-coding RNA (92335 nucleotides) under Triticum aestivum (bread wheat). RNAcentral describes it as "long non-coding RNA (TAES_LNC020127)". The stretch from base 216 to 350 matches the Rfam family "MIR1120/MIR1122 microRNA precursor family". The record is from RNAcentral. Lineage: Eukaryota; Viridiplantae; Streptophyta; Magnoliopsida; Poales; Poaceae.